This 170516-nucleotide long non-coding RNA is filed under the name Vitis vinifera (wine grape). RNAcentral describes it as "long non-coding RNA (VVIN_LNC000787)". The record is from RNAcentral. Lineage: Eukaryota; Viridiplantae; Streptophyta; Magnoliopsida; Vitales; Vitaceae.
UUGGUAAACCAACUUAAUGACUUAAAAUGACUUAAUAACUUAAUUUAAGUCAUUAAGUAAAUUAAGUAUGUUUGAUAAAAUAACGUAAUGGUAUGCCUUAAAGUAAAAUAAAAAUAAAAAACUUUAAGUAAUAAGUAAAAACAAGUAACUUAUUCUUAAGUUUACAUCUUUAUCUUACCAUUUUACCUUUAUUUGUCCUAGUUAUCUUUAUAAUUUCUUUUGUUAUUCUAUGGCCUCCAUUGUUACUCAAAUUUCUUUGCCUUAAUUAUAAUUUAUGAGGAUAUAUAUGUCAAUUUGAUGAUUUAAAACAAAUUUUAAGUUAAUUUUAUCAAACAACCUUAAUACUUAAUGCAAGAAUUGAGUAAUAAAUUUUAAGCUAGGAACUUAAGUAUAAUUUAACUUAAAAUUAACUUAAGUCAUUAAAUAAUAAAUACUAAAUUUUAACAAACAUCCCCUCAAUGUGAAUCCAAGUCCGUUGUCAUUUGCUUUUAACUGUUGUAUACAAUCAUAUCAAAAUCAGGAUCAUUAGUACAUAAUAAAGGAAGUCCCAUGUAAUAUUUUCCAUCUUUUCUUUUCCUCUAACACAACAUAUGAUUUUCAUACUACUCUGCCUUUAGGUAUUUAAUAUGCAUGGAAGACAUUAUUCCUACAUAUAAAAGUUUAAGGAAGCCUUGAUGUUAGAUUUUCCUAAACGGGUCCAAAAAUCUGGCCCAUAAUAUUAUAGGAUUUCCAUUGAUUUAGUUUUCCUUUUUAAUUGUCAUUAAUAGCCAUAAAUUAUGGCAUUGACUCUGUAAUGGACAGAGUGAAUAUAAAUAGAACAUUUGUAGUUAAGUCCCUAAGCUUUCAAUCUAUAUUCAGAUACAUACACACCAUCAUUUUGAGAUUGAUUAAAGGUUUAGAAGCACAUCAACUCAUCUUAAUAUCAAAUUGAUUUCCUAAUUCCCAAACCAUCAAUGGUCAAAGGUAUGUUUCAAUUCUUCCUUUAUUUCCACACUUGAUACAUGUCAUUAAGGUUUUGAACAUAUUUAGAUUGGUUUUAGCACCAGCAUUCACUACACACAUAAGAAUGAUAAUAGAAAUGAAAAUUAAGGUCAACUGAAAUCAAAAUCCAAAGCUAUAAAAAAAUUAAAUAGAGGUUAAAUGGACUCCUAUUAUUACAACUCAAACUAUAAUAUUGAUAAAUCUUUUUGGGUCAUCUAUCACAUGGCAGCAUUGGUGUUUUGACAAGAAAGAACAAAGUUAGUAAUUAAAUAAUUAAAAAUGAUAAAAUAAUAAAACAAAAACUCAUAUGUAAAUUUUUUGAGCUUCAUAUCUGCAUAAGGCAUAAGAUUCAUGAACAUAAAUUAAGGCAUGAAGAAUAGUGAGGUCAACUAACACAUGCAAUAAAGAAAGAAAAAUUUUGUGUGUAUGUAAGGUCAAUGUCUAUAGAAUGGUUGCAUGCAUGCAUGCGUAACCUUGAAAGUGAUUUCACUUAUCCAAGGAUUAUACUUAUGCAUGCAUGUGUUACACAAGUGUGAAGACUUUUCUUAAUUUGUGUCUUUUCCUAGACACCAAGCAUCGACUAGACUGUCAUCUUGAAACAAUUUUAAGGAAAAUGGAACAAAAGCAACAAUUUCAAAACACUUAGUCCUAUCUAGAAAUUAUUAUGUUAAAAUAGUUUUGAAUUUAACAAAUUUUGGAUUGAAAAUAGUCCUUUAAGAUUUUUUUUUUUUUUCAAACUAGAAUGAUUUUUUAGCAAAUAGAUAAAUAAAUAAAUAAAUAAAAUUUUUUUUUCAUAUAUGAGUCAUUGAAUAGAAUUUUAUUGCCACAAACAUCUUUUAAUAAUACUUGAAAACUUAUUUCUGAAAAUAUUGUUAAUUAAAAAUACCCUCAUUCAUUUUUCUUUACCUAUGGAUUGAGAUGGCAAGUUCAUUGAAUGAGAAAGUUGUAUAUACCAUCAUUUUUGUCAUCUUCUUCAUAUUUUAUUAAAGUUGGAAGUAUAAUUGAAAUUUGUAUGCAAAUCAAUCUAUAUAUAUAUUGUGGUAACAAAUUUAAAUGGAAAAAAUAAAUUAAAAAAAAAGGGUAAAUUAGGGAUAGUAAUGAGUCAGGUUCGGAUAGGUAACCUCAUCCCAACUCAUAUCUCAUUUAUAUAAACCUAUUCUCAUCAUUGUUCUAGUUAAAAAUUUAAAUGGACAAAAUUGUUUAUUAUUUAUAAUUUUUGAAUUUUUAAUUUUUUUAAUUUUAUUUAUAUUAAAAUAAAUAUAUUAUAAUUUUUUAUAACUUAUUUUAUUUGAAAAAUAGAUUUUUUUAUUAUUAUUAUUUUAUGUGUUAAGAAUGAGAAAAUAAAAAAUAAAUACAACUAUUUUUAAAAUUAAUUAUAUAUCCAAUGCCCAAACCCAUACAGUGUUUUUAAAAAGCAUCUCAACCUCGUCUCUAACCCAAUAUUUAUCUUUAAACUUAUCCUAUUGGGAGAAAGACAAGGUAGGUAUCGAAUAAUUAACAAAAAAAUAAUAAUCUAUUUCCUAGAAAAAUUAGUUGAACCGAAGUAUUUUAGAAAAUGAUAAUAUGAUCAAUACAAAAUAACAUCUAACUCUCUUAUUAUCUAGAAUUAAUAAAAAAAAAUCCUAAUUAAUCUUACUUCCCUAAGUAUGAGAUAUCCAAUGUCUAUGGCAGGAUCACCUAAUUUGGAGAACAAAAGCACUCCCCAUAAUUCCCUAAUUAAAUUCAAUACCCAAACUCAAUGAAGACAAGUCCUAAAAAGAAAAUGAAUACAGGAAAACCUAAAGACUACUAAAAUGACAUAGGACAACAAAUGAGGAAUAAGACACUACGAGAAGAUUCUAAGCUAUGGAAUGAAAUAUUUCAUUCAAAAGCGAAAGCUAUUAAAGAUUUUUAAGAGAUGAAAUCCUAAGAUAAACUAAAGAAAUGGAAUUGAAAAGAGAUGGAAGAAAGAAGGUAUGUACACAGAUAUGGGCAGAAAUAAAUGCUUGAAUGCCUCCAAACUCCCAAACGAACAGCUCACAAAUCCAAAUGUAGAACUCCAAAUCAAUACAAAAGAAAAAAGAAAAAAGAAAAACCCUCUCUCACCAAAAUACAAAAAUCCUAAAAAUAACAAAGAAAAGAGAUAAAUGUCCCAAGAGAAUAUGAGUCAUCCUACUUUAUCCUAGGGUUUCUAUAGACCCUCUAUUUUGUCAUCUUAGCACAUGCAAUACUAGGUGUUUUCCUGUACUUUCUGUUUGCCCUAUAAUCAUCCCUUACUCUAUCUUAGGGUUUUUGUAAACUCUCUAUUUUGUCCUUUUAGCACAUGCAAUAUUAAGUGUUUUCUUUUGGUUCUUGUUUGCCCUAUAGUCAUCCUUCAACGAUCCUUUGUCACUCAUAUGGCUUGCUCUCUCUAAGCCACCUUCGGAGAUCCUUUGUUGAAAGUUUUAUCUAUACCCUCAUCGUGAAUUUAGUAGCCUCUUAAGUUUAGUUUUAGGUUUAGGUCAAUUAGAUUUUUUUUAUAUUAAAUCCCACUUAGAUGAUUCUAGGCUUAAGUCACAUAGAUACCAUUUCUAAGCUUAGUUCACUACUUAGAUGCUUUUUUAGGUUUAAUCCACUUAAAUGUUUGAUCUUGAAUUUGAUUGCUUAAUCUUAGAAUUAGGUGAGCAUUACUUUGAUUCUUGAUUUUUGAUUGCAUAUGAUUAGAUAUUUAUAUUUUAUUUAUUAAAAAAAUUGCACCAGAGUGAUUUUUUUCUAAUUGCAUGAGAUUGCCUCUGGAAAGCAUACUGUCUCGGUAAGCGCUUUCUAGUUUCCGAGUCAUUAUUUUGAUCAUCCUUCUCCAUAUCUCCCACUCUAAGAAACUUAUCCCUGAUCUCCAGCUGAAUCUUUACAAGAGAUCAGAAACAAAAAGAAAUUGUAUAUCCAAAACGAAUUUAGAUGAUUCUGAGGAGAAUAGAAGAACACAACUAAUUAAGUUACACAAUGCUUACAAAUAAGGAGAUUUUGCACUCCAUGCAUGAGUUUUAUUUGUACUGACCAAUGCUUAUAAUCAGCUUAUUACAUACCACUAGAAUGAUAGGAUAAUACUUGCUUACAGGUAGUUCGAUAAUCUUCAAUAAGGACGCUGUCCGAUGUAGUUGCCCGGAGGAUAGUAGUUACAUAUGAUGUACCACCAUCCAUUGUUGCACUGAGCCCUAGCACACCCAAGACUCACUGAGUUACGCCAAACAACUUGAGUAUAGUGCCUGCAUUCCCCACCAACGCAUGAGUUGGAGUUGUAAUCAUAAUUAGGCUUCUCCGCCACCCACAAGUUCACUGCCGCAGUGCCUGUAAAUGAACCACUGCCCUUAGCAAGGUUCUCCCCAUAAGGCCCAUUCGAAUGCACGAGAUUGCAGUCCCCGAUCUGUUUGUUGGCAUAGCUCUGAGCAUAGGCGGCUACGGUGUUGUUCCAUGUCAUAGGCCCAACACUAACUUGUGCCCGAGCAGUAUUGUGAGCAUUGAGGUAGUCUUGUUGUGAGUUUUGAGCAUAGGAGGUGUGAACCAGCAGGGCCGAGCCUAUGAGACAAGCAAGUGCUACUGAAAUCUUACACAACCCCAUUUUCAGUUGUGAAGUUUACUGUAAUUGAUGUCGAAUGAGGACUGCUUUGAUGGGUAUUUAUAGGGAAAAUGAGCUGAAAAUAGGGUGAUCAAGAGCAUCACAAACAACCGUUACUUCAAGCAACUCCAAGUGGCCAAAACAUCCUACUUGGACACACAAGACUUUGUGGUGGCUUGCACAUGUAAAAGGACAAUAAUCGAUACAACAACUGACACAGUGAUCAAAAUGACUUUGAUCUUCACCUUAUUCUUGACAUGUGAUAAACAUCAUUUUGAAAAAAGUUUCAAGAUAUCUUCUAGGGUUUAGCCCGGGCAUCCAGGCUAGUUUGAUCAAGACUAGUAACUACGAGUUUCUAUUUCCAACAUUAAACCAAAUUGAAAGAAAACUCUAUAUGCUUGCUUUCAUGGUUGACAUAAAAAUUUAGCAGAACUUGAAGUUUAGGGUGGCAUUUCCAAUAUUGACAGAUUGAAUUCUUUCCUGAUUCAAUCACUCUUCUAUGAUUAAUCCGAUCUAAAUCUACACGAUAUAUCACCAGAAACUUGCAGAGCAUUGAGAGGUGUAUAUUAUGAAUAAAACACAUUCAGAAUAAUAUCAAAGUUGGGACCAUCAUGUGUUACAAGUGCCAUGUGAUCAAGUUAGGACCACCAUAGACUUUUGUGGCCUUGCGCAUGGGAUUUGUAGUAACCGUAAUAUUUCAAGACUAUCACGUCUUGUUUGGUAACAUAUUUUGAAAAUAAUUCUAAAAAAUAAUUUUAAAGUACAAUUUUUAAAAAUUAUUUUCUAAUAUUUUAUAAAACAAAUGUGUUUGAAAAUGUGAAAUAUUUUUAACAUGUUUUUAAUAUUUUUAAAUCUAUUUUAAAAAUAAUUUUUAUGUCUACUAUUUUAUUUUUAAUCAUUCUACAUGUUUAUAUAUAAUUAUUUUUUAAAGUAAUACUUAAAAAACAACUGAAAACAAAUAAAAGAUGUAAUUUGAAAAUACCUUAUUUUCUGUUUUUAAUAACAAAAAAUAUAAAACAAUUUUUUGGUUGUGCAACGUGCUUUUAUUUUUAAAAUUUUUGUUCUAAAGAACAAAAAACUGUUCUUGAAAACAUUUGUCAAGCAGCGCUUUAACAUCUAAUGAAAAUCAAACUUCAACAUCUAAUGAAAAUCAAACGCUAGAUGCUCUAAACCACUAUAAAAGUUAUCGACAUAUUUAAAAUUAAGGGAGUCUCCUUUUGACCAAUUUAAGAUCACACAAUCACCAUCAAGAUUAAUAUAAUGUCAAGCUUUCUCUCUAAUAAUGAAUAUGGAAUUUUAGAAUUACCCUAAAAUUGUAGGCUUGUAAAAAUAUAUAUUUACUCAAACUCUCAACCAAACAACUAUAUUUAGACUGUGUUUCAUAGUAAUUAUAAAAGAUGUUUCUAAUAUUUUUAAUAUUUACAGGAUUAAAAUUUUCAAAUGUUAUAAAAGGUAGAAAUACUUCUUAAAAUCACUAUCAAAUGCAUUCUUAUAAUCUAUUUGGCAAUACUUUUUGAAAGGGUUUAUCCCUAAAAACACUUCAAAGCAUUUUUAAGGUAUAAAAUGGGCGUUUGGAAAUUUUGAAAAACACUUUUAAAAUUUUAGAAAAACAAUUGACAUAUUUGUUUAGAAAAAAUGCUUUUUUGAAAAGAAAAAAAAAUCAAAAUUUUUCAUAUAUUUCUAAAAUACAAUUUCCCGCUAUCCUCCAUCACUGUUCGCUUCCUUCUCAUUCUCUUCUUCCUCUUUCACUUCCAUUUCAUAAAAAUAAUUUUUUGAGUUUUUUUUAAUAAUAUAAAUGUUUAUAUAUAUAUAUAUAUUUUUUUUGUAAUUAAAUUUUUUUGAUUUAUUAUAAUAUUUUCCUUUUAUAAUAAAUAUCAUUUUUAGUACUUUAUUAUUAUUAAAAACGUUUUUAUAUUUAUGUGAUAUAUUAUCAAAAAUAUUAUUAGAAUCACUUUAUCAUAUUCUGAUAAAAGUGUUUUUCAUAAAAAUAUUAUAAAAGAAAAACGCUUCCAAUAAAAAUACAAUCGCUAGAAGUAGUGCAAAUGGGCUCCUACAAGUAAGAUGAAUGUUAUCUUUAACUUGGCAUGAAUGAUCAAAAUUGGGACCAUGUGUACAUGAUAGUGGAAGUCCCGUGUAAUAGUUUCCACCCUUUCUUUUCCUCUGACACGGUAUGUAGACACUUGGUUUUGUGCAUGUGGGAUGGAUGUUAUAUGCCUUUCAUAUGUAUGUCCACAUUCUUAGCUUUGUCGAAAGGUCAAAAGGCCUGGUAUCAAAUGAUCAUCAUUGAAUGUCAAAGCCAGUAAAUAAUUAAAAAUGAUAAAAUGAAAUCGAAAAACUCUUUCAAAUCUUUUGAGUUUCAUGUCUAUGCAUAAGGCAUAUGAUUCAUGAAUUUUGCGCACAUGCAAUAAUUUGAAAUAGUUGUUAGUAAUCACAAAUAUAUACUUUGAUUUUUAUAAAUGUAUCAGAUAUAUCGUGAUAUAUUAAUGAAUAUUUUAACAUAAAAUAUAAGUAACGUAAAAAUUAAUUAAAAUUCUAAAAACAUUAAGAAAAACUUUUUAAAAAAAAUUAUAUAAGUAAAAAUAGGCAUUUUAAAGUUUUUUUUUUAAAAAAAAAUAUUCAUAUAUAUAAUUUACCAUAUUUGAUAAUAAUAUCUUCUACAUCCAUAAAAAAAAUAUAAAUUUUAUAAACUUAUAUUUAUUAUUAAGUUGCAUUAUAUAUUAUUUUACAAUAAUAUUAUGAUAAUAUGUCUAACUUUAAAUAUAUAUAUUUAAUAUUAAAAUUAUAAUAUUUUUAAUUUAAAUAUAUUAAAUGAUAUCAAAUAAAUAAUAAUAUAUGUAUAAAUUUUUUAAUAUUUAUAUUUUUUAUUUAUUUAAUAUAUAGAUUAUAUAAAAAAGACAUAUUAAGAAAAUUAUGUUUUUAUAUGUUUUUUAAUAAAUUAAAUCAAAUAUAAAAAUUAAAUAAUUAUAAUUAAUUUAUUUAAUAAUAAAAAAAUAAAAAUAAAAUCGAUGAAAUAUCGAUCAAAAUCAAUGAAAUAUCAGUAAAAUAUUAGUAAAAUAUCUAGAAAUAUUAUUAAAUAUAUAGAGGAUUCUGAAUAUUUUAAACCUGGCAUGUGUUACACAUACUGCUAGACACCAGGCAUUGACCGAAUUGUUAUCUUGAAACCGGUACCCAAAUGUCUAAAAUGUUAUGGAAAAUGGUAUAGAAUAAAUAAUUCCAAGACACUUAGGCCUAUAUGAAAAUUAUUGUGUUUAAACAGUUUCGUCCUUAACAAAUUUUGGUUUGAAAAUAUUCUUUUAAGAAUUUGUUUUGAAUAUAGAAUAUAUUUUUUAGAACAAACUUGUGACAUUUCUUAUUCUUUUUCCUUUUCUUUUUUCUUUUUUGUUCUUUGUCAAUGUUACGAAUUUUUGCAUUAUACAUCUUUUUAAAGAAUAAAUCAAGGACAUUGGUUUUCAAAUUUGAGUUCUUUAACAAAAUUUUAUUGCUACAAACAUUUUUUAAUCAUUACUUUAUUUUUGAAAUUUUUGUUAAACAAACACUUAAGUUGUAUUUGGUUCUUAGAAAAUAUUAAGAAAAAAAAUUGAAAGGAAAAUUUUUUUUUCAUAUUUAGUUGUAUUAUAAAAAAUAUCAAAGAAAAUCAAAUAUAAUUAAAACUAAUUAAAAACUUCUAUAUUUUUACAUGGUUUUAAAAAUCGAACCUGACCGGCCGAUCCCGGUUCUUGUUUGAUCCAGCUAAUUGAGUAGGGUAAGGGUUGAAUCGGAAUCGAACCAGUUGAAUCGACUGGUUCCCUUCGAACUGCACGGUUCAACCUUUUUUUCUUAAUUUUUUUUUAAGCCAAAAAAACUUUUUUUUAAGCCAAAUUUUUUUUUUUUUUUUAAGCCAAACAAAACAUUUUGAUGCAUUUUGCACCAAAACGACAAUGUUAGUUAAGGGAACCAAAUCACUCUAUGAGGAUUCCGUCCAACCCAUUUGUCAUCAAGUUCGAUAAGUUUUUAGUUUUACAAGUUAAUGAUUCUUGAAUACCUUUUAUACCCUACAAUCCCUACAUUUUUUUUUUUAAUCUAUUUUCGAUGUGAGAUUAGUUAGUGGGAAGAAAAAAAUUUGCAAACUCGAGAGCUUCUGCUAGAACUUUCAAGUGUAAAAAUUAAAACUUAACCAUUAAGUUAUGAAACUUCUUCAUUGUAUUAUAUUUGCAAAUAAUAUAACAAUUAAUAAUUUUUUUUCAAAUUUUUACUGUAUAAAAGUAUAAAGCACUUUCACAUUUAUUAUAUAAUAAUUAUAUAAUGAAAUUAAAAAAUAAUGUAAAUUAAUUAAUAUAAUAAUUUUAAAAUAAUAAAAUACAAAAGACAUGCAAAUAAAAUUAAAUAUUAUAAUUUUUUUAAUUUUAAAUAUAACUUUAUAUUUAAAUAUUAUAAAUGUUCUAUUUAAUAAAUUUUAAAAUAUUAAUAUAGUUAUAUUUAUCUUCAUCAUUUAAUUUGAUAUACCAAAUAUAAAAAUGAAAUAUUAUGUAAAAUUUUUAAUUAUAUUUAAUUUUAAUUUCUUAUCAUUAUUUAAAAUUUUAUAUAAUAAAUAAAUUAUUAUUUAUGACGUCACCGGUUCGAUCAUGGUCCGACCAUCAGUUCAAUCGUGGUCCGACUAGUGAACCGUAAACUGCUAACUUUUCCAAUUCAAUCAUCGAUCCAAUUCUAAAAUCGAAUAAAUUAUUCUCUAAACUUCUUAAAUACUAGCACUAUGUCUUUUUGGUUGAACUGUGUUAAUUUUAAUGGACGAAAAUGUCAUGUGUUGUACACGUGACUAAAUAAGUAAGAGUAGAUUUGUAAAUUGAAUCACAUAAAUAGAGCUCUCUCUCAUUUUUCUUCUUUGUUCUUCCUCUAAAACCCUAAGUCCUCAAACAUUCCCAAAUCUGAAUUCCUAGAAUCCUGAAAUUUGUGAAGAAAAAACAUAGUUGGAUGAGUAAUAAAUCAUCCUAUUCAUUGCUAUUAAGGAUCGCAAUGAGGUGGGUUCGGGACAGGUUGCCUCCAUCCCAACCCUGUCCCGUUUAUUCAAAAUAAUUCACAUCUCAAUCUCAUUUAAAAAAUUAAACAGGGCGAGGUGGGACGAGGUGGGUAUGAUAAAUUCUCAUACUCGUCCUACCCCGUCCCGUUUAACUUUUUUUUAAAUUUUUAAUUUUUUUAAAAUUACUUUUAAUUUUUUUAAAUUACAUUAAAAUAAAUACAUUUUAUAAAUAAUUAAAUUUUUAUAUUUUUGAUAACUUAUUUUAUUAAAAAUAGUAAAAUAAAAAUUAAUUUUAUUUAAUUUAAAAAAUUAAUUUAAUUUAAUUUAAAAUUUCAAUUUUAUAUAUAAUUGAGGUGGGGCGAGAUGGGACAAGGCAAUACCCGAACCCGCCCUGGGUUUUAAAAAAAUUCCCAAACCCAUCCCAUUACCAUCCCUAAUAGUUAUUGUGGUAAUGAGGCUCGUAUUCUAACAUUUUGGACCAAUCUAAAUAUGAGAAGGUUUAUGGGAUACAAUAAACAUAAGGUAAUAAUGUCUUGAUUUCCAAAUUGACUCUUAGCCAUUUGGUCUUUGUAGAUAUCUUAUUAUUAUGUGUUCAAUUUUUGUUACAAAUAUAUGAAGAAUAUGGAUUCUUCUUGUGGUACAAUGCUCCCCCAGACUAUACAACUAUUACCAUUAUAAGUGAUUCUAUGACUUUACAUUUGAGUUAAGUGUCUAACCAAGAUCUUGAGUCUUAAAAUCUUUAGGGUUCCUCUUUUUCAUCGCCAACUCCAAUUUGCUUUAUCCUAUUUUGCUUCUUUUCUUCAUCAUCAUUCUGUUUCUAGGGUUCUUUUUCUUCAUGAGAUUGUCUCUAAAAAGCAUUUUGUCUCGAUAAAUACUUUCUAUCAUCUGAGUCAUUAUUUUGAUCAUCCUUCUCCAUAUCUCCCAUUCUAAGAAACUUAUACCUAAUCUCUGAUUAGAUCUUUACAAAAGGAAAGAAACAAAAAGAAAUUGUAUAUCCAAAACGAAUUUAUAUGAUUAUGAGGUGGUCUCAAUAUCCAAAAACCAUCUUAUACGGUUGUUAAUCGAAAAAUAAAUAGAGCUUUCUCCCACUUACACAUGCACACAUACACACCUCCACACACCCUGACAUUUGCUCCAUAUCACAUUUAUUGAUUAAAAUAUAUUUCCUGAAAUUUUCCGAUCGAAUGAUGAAGGUCUCUACACAUUAAUAUUUGAUUAGGUAAAAAGUUUAGUAAAAGUUAGUCAAAAGCCAACAAAUUGAAUUUUUGCUACAUAAGAUUCGUACAUUGAGAAUUUCAGAAGUUCGAUUUAAUUUUGAAAGUGAUUUAGUCAUCAAAUUUUUUGAGAUUGGAUAGGAAAUUUGAAUAUUAGUUGUUGAAAAUUAAUUUAAUUAUCAUUAGGUGAUUAUUAGUUAACCUUAGUUGAUAUAUUGGGAAUAAAUUCGUAUCAUGUUCUAUUAUUAUGCUAAAUUUUUUAAGAAAUUGAAUUUAACAAUUAUAACAUUCACAUAUGUUUUCUUUCCUAGCUUUAUUUUAAUAUUAAAUUUGUUAUUAUUAAAAUAAUAACAUAAAAAAUCUAUGAAAAUAUAUAUUUUUAGGUGUUAAAAUAAAAUUAAUUAAUUAAUAUUAGGAAAUUUAUUAAAAUAGAAUAAAAUAAAAGUUUGUUCGAAUGGUGUUAAUGUUUUUCCUUUUCUUUUUGUUCAUAAUGGUUGAAAUCUCCAUAUUUUUCUUUCUUUCUUUCUUUCUUUUCUAUUUGUUGAAUUCCUAAGCAUGUAUGGCUUCACCAUGAUAAGAUAGAAGAUGGGUUUCUGGUUCCACUUCUUCACACGCCACAUUAUUUUCAGGUAACUCUAUUUGAAUUAAAAUAAAAGAAAUGAGUUUGAAUUGUAAAUUUAUUUUUUAUUUUUCUUCAUUUUUUCUUUUCUUCUACUUUUUCUCUCUAUUUUCUUUUCCUUACAUUUUUCGUCAAAUAUCUGAACCAAACAUAGCCUAUAGCUUUAACAAAACUAUGAACUUUAUAGUGUAAAUAUGGCCUAUAACUCUAUUUUGUUGGCUAUAAACAUAGAUAUCAACUUUAUUAUUUGAAUCUUUAAGUAAAGAUGGUCGUAAUAAGAAUGUAUAAUAAAGAUCGCAAAACCUCAAUAGAAAGAAAACCAUAUUUAAAAUAAAUAAAUAAAAAAGGCAAAUAUUAAGAGGGUAUUUAGUGUAUUAACUUAAUGACUUAAAUGACUUAAUUUAAGUCAUUAAGUAAAUUUAAAUAUAUAUAUAUAUAUAUAUAUAAUAAAAUAACUUAAUAUCACAACUUAAAGUUAAAAGUAACUUUAAGUAUUAUGUCAAAAUAAUUAACUUAUUUUUAAUCUUGAAUUUCUUUUACCUCAUUCACUCAUGUUUAUUGAGAGUAUAUUUUACUUUCAUAACUCAUUUUUUACAGUAAAUAUUUUUACAAUUAUCCUAUAUAUCUAUAAUAUUUUAAAUAUAAAUGUUUAACAAAUAAAUUUAUUACUUAAUAUUAAUAAAAAUAUAAAUAUUAAUCAAAAUUAAUAAGGAUAAAUAUGUUAAUUUAAUGAUUUAGAAUAAUAUUAAGUUGACUUUAUCAAACAACUUUAAUACUUAAAUAAAAAAUAAGUAAUAAAGUUUAAGUGAACAAUUUAAGAACAAUUUAACUUAAAACCAACUUAAAUCAUUAAAUAAUAAGUAUUAAGCUUUACUAAACACCCUCUAAUUUAAUUUCAUUCAUCAAAAAUAAAUUGUUUUUUUUCAAAUUCAUACAUUCCAAUCUCAGUCAAUUUGGUUCCCUUGGAGGUGAUAAAUGCCUAGACCUAACUCAUCACAUAUUUGAUACAGAACUUCCCAAUUGGAGCCAAGCCUCCUGUCCCUAGGAUUGCUCGAGUAUUUUCAAUGCUCGGGAAAGCACCAAGCCAACUUUUAAAUUCCAUCUUUGCACUUCUUUGUCAUAUUCUUGGAUAGUUGUUUAGUGAUAUGUGGCCAUCUUUAUUAAAGUGUCUUCACAUUUUUCUUCCGUCGAGUGCAAGGAACUUUGUGUACCUUCUUCAUUUGCUUGUGAUUCCCACAUCAAUAGAAAUUCAUGUUAGUGGAUUGUAUUCAUCCCAUAUUAAAGCUUAGGCAUUCUAGUAAAUAGGUCAAUUCAAACAUAAUGCAAAUAACAAUCGGAUUAAAAACAUUAAAAUUCACAUACGACCUAAUUAUCAAAUAGGUAACAUAUUGUAUAACUCAUUUUACUCAUUUAAUAAUAAAAUCUUUAUAUUCAAUAAUCAAGUUGAUUUAUGUCUUGAUUAUUUUCUCAACCAAAUAUUUUUUUACAACUUAAUUGACCUAUUUAUUCAAAAGCAAAUUAAAAAUAAGUCAAAUAUAGGUUAAAUAAUUUAAAGUUAUAAUUAGGUUAACCAGCAUGAUUAUUAAAUGAAUCAAUUCAGGUUAAUUUUGUGUUAUGCAGGUUGACUAAAAACCACUCAUUUAUUAAAUGGGUUAUAUAGAUAGAUACAAAUCUAACUAACACACGAUUAUACUCAAUCUAAACCCACAAAAUAUGUAUUAAAUUCGAGUUGUAUACAUGAAUUGUAUUGAAUUUAUUAGGGGCAAUUGUAAUCCCUAUUCUUGUUCAUGAAUCCAAAAAUAUGGCCAAGCUUUCGUCCAUUUUUGUGAAGUAAUGAAUCACUGCUAGAAGGAAUCUUCUCUACCUCAAAGCUCGAGGUAAUGGUUCUAAUUAAUAUAUUAAUUCCCCGUUAAGCAAAGGGUCAUAGCUUAGUCAAAUUUAAUAUUGACUUUAUAUUUUAAUUAUUUCUUCAUGAUUUAUGAUUUUUAUUUAGGAUGCUUUUGAUAGUAUUUUUACUUCUAAUUAAUGCUUUCAAUAGAAGUAUUUUAUUUUAAAAUAUUUUUAGAAGAAUCAUUUAUCAAGUAUUUUUUCAAGAAACACUAAAAAUAAUGUUUCAACACUACAAGUGAUUUUUUAAAUUCAAGCAUCCGAUUUUUCUUCAAAAAUACUUUUUAGGUUAAAAGUAUUUUUAAAAAGCAUUGUCAAACAAACUCUUAUAGAACAUUUGUUUAGUUUUUCAAACCUUCCUCAUCUUCUCAUCUUUCAUUUCUUCCAACCAAAAACUAAAUCAAUGGAGUAAAAUAUUUGUAACAUAUACAAAUUAAAGGAAUAUUUUCCAACCAAAAAUUAAGCAAAAUAUCUAUAGUAUAUGCAAAUUAAAAUAUUGAAAUUAAUAUUAUUAGUAUAAUCAAAAUUAUAAUUAGACAAUAUAGAAUGAAUAACAACCAAAAAAAAUUAGUAAAUUUAUUUGAUAACAAUGUAUAUAGUAAAUUUACUUUAAUCAUAAGUGGUAUCAGAGCAAGGCUUCUUGUUAAGACUUAACCGUCUAAGAAGUAAUGGCUAUUCCAUCAAGCUCAUCCAAAAUUGAAAGUUUUUCAACCACCCGACCUCCACUUUUCACAAGAACCGACUAUCCCUAUUGAAAAACUAAAAUGACUUGAUUUAUCCAAUCUACUAGUCUUGAUUUAUGGGAUGUCAUUGAAGAUGGUCCCCACAUUCCUUCAAAAUUAGAAAAUUGAGUGAUGGUUCCAAAACUUAAGCAUGAAUGGGAUGAACUUGAUAGAAAGAAAGUUCAAUUAAAUGUUAAAGCCGUUUUUAUCUUACAUUGUGCUAUUGAUAGAAAUGAAUUUAAUCGUAUUUGGCAUUGUAAGUUGGCUAAAGAAAUUUGGAAACUAUUAGAAGUCACUUAUGAGGGAAACGACCAAGUUAAAGAGUCUAAAAUCAAUAUCCUUAUGCAUGAUUAUGAAUUAUUUUCAAUAAAGGAUUUUGAAUCUAUUGUUGAGAUGUUUUCUAGGUUCAUUAUGAUUGUGAAUGAACUUGAAGCCUUGGGAAAGACCUACAUCGAAGUAGAGAAAGUCAUGAAGAUCUUAAGGUCUCUACCAAGGAAAUGGGAAACAAAAGUGACGGCUAUUCAAGAAGCGAAGGAUCUCACCAAGCUCUUACUUGAAGAACUCAUUGGGUCACUCAUGACUUAUGAGAUAAAGUUGUACAAUCAUCAAAGAGUUGAAGAAAAUGAGAAAAGUAUAGCCUUUAUGGCUAUAACAAAUGAUGAUGAAGAGGAAGAGAGUGAAAGUGAAAGUGAUGAGGUAAACUCCAACUCUAACCAUUUUGAUUUUCAAGAUGAGCUUCAAAAAUUAUAUUUUAAUCUUGAAAAACUUGGUUCCAAAAAUAUCCCUCUCAAGAAAAAGAUUUCUUGUCUUCUAAAUGACCUCAAUGAGGAUAAUGAAAAUUUUGAAAAUAUUGAGAAGACAAAAAUCCCUUUUGAAAAGGAAAAUGAGGAGCUAAAAAUUCUCAAAUGGCCAAAAGACUUUUGAUAUGAUUUUGGCAAAUCAAAAAUUGCAUUUUUGAUAAAAAGAGGUUAGCCUACAAGCCUUUCAAAAAUCAUUUUUUUUUAAAGGAAACCUCUAGUUUUUCGCCUUUCGCUAUUUGCGAUUUUUGUGAAAGAAGGGGUUACUUUGGUGAUAUUUGAAAAUCCCCUCAUGUUCUUCAAAACUCUAAAUUAUUUUGGAUUCCAAAGGAAAGAAAGACUAACCCUCUAGGACCCAAAAAGAUAUGGGUACCAAAGGUUUCUUAAAAUUGUUUAGUAGGGAUCCAUGCAAAAAGGAGGAUAUGCUUACCUUGGAAAGAACGCGUUGACAAUAUUGGUAAUGGUAUCCCUUCUAAAGCUAAAUUUGCAAUUGGUAUCAUUUUUCCUAACACUUGGUAUAUCUUUUGAUAAUAUAACUUUUGGUAUCACUUUGAUAAAAUUGGCAUAUUUGUUAAACCAAGGUUUUGGAUUUAAAAAGAAUAUUUUUGAUAUACAUAUGUAAAAUUGAAUGAUCAUAUGCUUGUGUGCCCUAAAAAUUUUUAUUUAAUUCAUGUUAAAUAUCUUUUUAAUGCAUAUGUUCUCCCAUAUAUAUUUUUCCAAAUCAUGCUUUAAAUUGGGAAUGCUCUAAAAAUGAGCAAUCUUUUAUUUGGAAACUAUUCUCAAAUGAAAAAGGGGAAGAUUCAUUUUCAUGAGAAAUCAUAUCAUGCUUAUUGUUUAUUUUUUAAACUUUUGAUAACAUGUGAUUCCCCUUAUAUACUUUAUUGAAACUUUUUGUUGAUGACAAAAAGGGGAAUAAGUAAUGGUAGGUUGCUAACUUGGGAAGAUAUUUCAAUAUUGUUUUAGCAAUCCUAUUCAUAUUAAUGCUAUGUGCUUUAUUGGUUAUAUUUGUAUGCAUCAUUUUUAAUAAUAAUGUCUUGCCAAAUUGCUAAAUGCUCUUUAUGCUAUUUAUGUUUGAUUAUAUCAUUUUGAGCAUCCUUAAUAUACUCCUUGAAGUUUCUAAACUUGAAAAUUUUCUAAAUUCAAAGGAGCAUAUAUUGAAGGGAAGCUUUUUAGCAACCUAGGUUUUGUCAUCAUCAAAAAAUGGGAGAUUGUGAAACCAAGGUUUGGUUAAUCUUGAUUUUGAUGAUAACAAAACAAGGUUUAGAACUAAUGAUCAUAUUUCAAGUGUGAUUAGGCAAGACGAUUUCCAAAGUGGCAAUGACAAAGACAAAUCAAGCCAAGGAGAAAGCAUGAAGAAGAAGACCACCUCAAAGAGAAGAGUUUUUCAAGACCAAAGCUUCAUAAGAUCUCUUUGUAAGGUUGUUAGUGCACUAGGACUUUCAUGCAUUUCAUUCUUUAUUUAUGCACCAAAAUCAUCCAAGAGUAAUAUUGUUUUAAAUAUCUUAAGAAUUGGAUGAUUUCAUGUUUUCAACUAAAACCUUGUGUUAAAUGAUUUUCAAACUUGUGUUAAAAGGUUUUAAGUUGAAAAAAGUUGGACCGGUUGUGCUAGUCAGGUCGAAGACCGAUUGAGGAAGGCCAAAAAGUUUAUCUCUCUCCCAGUGGCCUUCUCUUCCCGGUCAAGGUUGAACCUCAACUGGUAGCCAAAAAAUGGCUCAACCGGUUGACCAGUUGUGCUAGUCCGGUCGAGAACCGGUUAAGGGAGGCCAAAAAGUUUCUCUCUCUCCCAAUGGCCUUCUCUUCCCGGUCAAGGUUGAACCUCAACCGGUUGAGGUCCGGUUGAGGUCCGGUCGAGGUCCAGUUAAGGCCCAACGGUCACUUUCCAAGCAUUAAAUGCUAACGGCUAGUCAACCGGUUGACCCCUAGCUCGACCGGUCGAACCCCCAACGGCUAGUUUGGCUUUUUUCUUCUAUAAAAAGGCUCCAAUUUCAUUGUUUCAUAAGUUUAACCUUCCCAAAUCAUUCUUGAUUAUAUUUGAGCCUUGGAAGAGUGUUUUUUAGUGCACCAUCGUUUCAUAACUUGAAUAUCUUUAGUGCACCAUUCAAUCCUAGUUUUUCUUGUAUCUUUGAGCCUAAAGUUCUAUUACUAAGAUUUUUGUGAGAUCAUUAUUUGUAUAUCUUUUCGAAGAAUUUUCUCAAGUGAGGGGUAUCAAUUGAGAGGUUGUUCAAGAGAUGGAUAUCUCUUGAAGAAGUGUAAAGGGUGCUUGGAUCCAAAAGUCCAAGAGGGUGAAUUGGAACCAUAAUCCAAUUGUAAAGAGAUUGGAAGCUUGGUUGAAGCUUCAAGAUAGUGGAACCCUCACUCGAUUAGGAGGUUGAGAAGAGUGGAUGUAGGCAAAGAAAUGUCGAACCACUAUAAACUCUCAUGUUUGCACUCUCUCUUCCCUAACUCUUUUAAAUUAUAUGCAAUUGUCUUUAUUUUGUUUAUUAUAUACUUGCAUAUAAUUGUCUCUUAUUUUUGCAUAGUUUAAAUUUGUGAAAAAAAGACCAUCACCCUAUUUACCCCCCACCCCCUCUAGGGUGAUUACCAUAGUUUGGAUUAGUCUCAAAUUCCUAACAAUAAGGGAUACAAAAAAAAAUUAUUUAAUUAUAAUGGAUAAAGUAAAUUCACUUUCCAACAAAUGUAACAUUUGUGGUGUACCUCAUAAGCAUGCUAAAGUUUCCCAUUGCUUAAUCAAUUAUUCUUAGAUCUAUGAGCCAAGAAACAUCUUCUCUAAAUUUACCACUAAUAUAUUGGAUCAAGUUUUCUUUAUGGUGAUGAAUACUUGACUUCUUUAAAACUUCUUUUCUCCUUUCUAUAUUUUAUUUGACUUGAAACCCUGUCUUGUUUCACCCUUCUUGAAGAGUUAAUGGAGUAUUUUCAAUGUGCCCUUUUUUCUUUAUGAAAUUUGCCCUAUAACGCUAUUCUUCUUUCCACCCUCGUAAGUGAUUGUGGUUAUCACCUUUGGUAUCAAAGUCGUUCUUGUUUCAAAUUGACAUAUUUGUAUAUUCUAGUGAACAUUCAAAACCGUUGUUCUUCUUCCAAAUUGUCAUAUUUGCAUAUUCUAGUGAACAUUUCCCCCAUACUCGUAGACUUCUUAUGUGAUACGAAUCAAAGUUAGGGGUAUAGGCCUCUCUUAAAGGCAAUCCUGGCUAAAGUGUCAUCGAAACUCUCCAUGUGAACUAUGGUUACACUAAAAUUCUUGGCAUAAUUACAAGUGGACUCUCCAUGUAAUUGGAUAUAAUAAAGAGAGUCUAUGUCACACCUUUGCCCAAAUGGGCACAUAUAUUGUGAAAUAAGGUUGUGCAUAACUUUGAACACAAGGAAAUAGAUCCUCUUUGAAAUAUUGUGGAACUACACCAAGACUAGUCCAACAAACUUAAUUUGAAGGAAAUACUCUAAAAAAAAAUGUUAGAUAUGUAUGUCUUGUAUCUCAAUUACUCUUCUAUUUUAGGUUUAUGUCCACAUGAAUAAUGAUAAGCUCGUCAAUGAAGCAACAAUACUUGUUAUUUAUAUACAAUUUCAUCAUUUAAGAUCAUUUAUAUCCAUUAAGGUACCAUUCAUGGAAGGAUGGGAAUACAUUCCAACCGAGAUAAAAGGUGAGGGGACUGAUUUGUAAUUCAUGUGAAAUAUGAAACUAGUGUGCAAAAUGUGAAAAAUAAGGGAUGUUAGUAUAAUUUAUUUUAAAAUUAAUUAUUAGAAAAUAAAAUUAGUUAAUAGAUACACAAAUGAAUAAUAAUGAGAAGAAGAAGAAUUAAAGUAUCUAUUUAUUAAUAAGAAUGAAAAUAUCUAUUUUAACUAGGAUUAAAAAAUGUAUUUUAAUAAAUUCCCUUCUUUUCUAAGCAUCUAAGAUGCUCAAAAUUAUAACAAUUAUAACAACAUACUGUUAAAUAUGAAUGAGAAAUAAUUUGCUAUUUUCAUUUUCUUUUAUUUUCACCCGAUUCACUCUGUUUUCUUCAUUUUGCUUAACCCAUGAUGGUAAAACCCUUCUUUCAAUAUUAGGAAAAAUAUCAAUGAUGAGUUGUAGAAAUAUUUGACAAAAAUUUAUGAAAAAAUAUUAGUGGAUCGAAAAUUUGAUGAAAUCUCUUAAAAGUAUUGUGAAAUAAUGAUAAGAAAUAAUAAAAUAAAUAAUAAUACCCAUGUUAAAAUUGUGUUAUUGAACAAAACAAUAUGCAUAUUAUGGGACCUCGCAUCCAUCCAGGCAUAAAUCCAUUUCCCUUCUAGGUAUUAGGUGGACAAAGGGCUAUCUGAACAGUGCCCAUAUUCAUUGCACGAGUAAUAAAUGUUCUAAGUCGUUACAACAAGAGCAAUCCUGAACAUAAAUACCUAACUUUAAACCUAGAAACCGUUAGUCGCUAAGCCAAUUAUGGGUCCAUUUAAAGCAUUAAAGAGACACAUGAAACGUUACAACUUUAUCAAAAUAAAAGGUCACUAGACAUGAAGUUUAGGUAUGAAAUAAGCUCCCUAAAAGCUAUUAUCUAUCUUUUUCAAAUAUUAACUUAAGCUUCGAAGGGACGCACCGAAAAAACCAUUUGGACAUACUUUAUUGCGUGCAUGCUCGUCGUUCGCUCAAAAGAAGCUAACCAGAAAAAACAUUAUUGGUUGUGUACCAACACAUAUGAUAAAAAUUGUCACAUAACAUACAAAACUUACAAACAUAUUUAAUGUUAAAAUGAUGAUUUCUUAUGAAUAUAUUCAAUAAUACAAUUAUUUUCAUAUUAAAAAUAUUUAUGAUUUUAUUUACAAGUUUCUAUUAAUGUAACAUAAAUAUAAAAAAACUUAUUAAAAAAUUAUUAAGAUGAUUUUUAUAUUUUUAACAAUUGGUUAAAUAGAAUUUAAAAAUAAAAUAAUUAAUGUCUUAAUCUCAUUCCAUUGAUAUAAACCUAUUUCAAUUUGCUCACAAAUUAUGUUAGUUAAAGAUAUAGACAUCGAGAAAGAGAAAUAUAAUAGAAGUCAAUAUUUUAUUUUUAAAAUUUUUCCUUUUAAUUGUAUUCAAUUUUUAAGUAUUUUAGUUUUAAUUGUAUUUUAAAUUUUAAAUUUUUUUUUUAUCUUAUUGUUGUUCAAUAUUCCUAAGGAUGUUUGUUUUCAGAGAGGAAAAAAAAUUCCAAAUCAAGUCUCCUGGCUAGAAAAAAGAACUAGAACUAGAAGGGAGAUCAAUUAUUUCCCAUUAAGCAUUUAAGCGUCAACUUGUUAAUUAGUGUUAUCGACAUAACAAGUAAAAGGAUCAUUUUGAAAAAUAAUUAUCUAAUUUAUGAAAAAAUGCAUGUAUUUUAAAACAUUCUUAGAUGAAUGAAGAUAAAACUUAUUUAUAAAAUUUGAGGUUUUUUUUCUAUAUUUUUUCAAAUUAAUGAGUUGUAACCCACUUUUUUUAAAGAAAAAAUCUCAAAUAAACUUGUUUCUCUCCGACGGAGUAGGAUGGAUGCUCAAAAAAAAAAUCUCAAAUCCACAUGUAGCCUAUUUAUUUUCAUCACAAACUUGUCUCCUUCGAAGCGGGUAGUAUGUAUGCUCGAAAAAAUCUAUCUUAUUGUUAUACUUAGUACAAGGCAUCCCAAAACUUCGGCAAAUUUCACCAAAAUUUUAAUCCUUGUUUGUUGCAUGGCCAAAUAUGGUAAACCUUUCCCUAGAAAGAGGAAAAAACACUAAAAAUUGGUAAAAAUAAUUAAACUUGAUUUGUACUCUAUCUAAUACUCCUUUUCUUCAGUUAGUUCCUUUUUUUUUUUACCCCUCCUCCCUUCUUUGAAUUUUUGAUAGGAAGAUGAAGAAAUUCACAAUAAGUAUGAGAGUAGGAAAGAGAUAACGGAUUUUUGACACAUCAAAGCUUGAAAGAAUCAGCAUAUUAAUUACAAAAAAAUGAAAUUAGCUUCCCAUAGAGGCUCUCUCUUGUCAACCAUGGGGGACAUCUUGUACAAAAAAUGAAGCUCAGUUCAAAAACUUAUUGUUUCCUACAAUGGCCGGUAUCAUUAGUAUACAAUAUAAGUAAAUCCCCCCAGAAAUCCAUGCACCAAACCAUGAAUAUACGAACCUUUAAAGAUGGUAUACUCUGAAUGAACAAAUGAGUAUAGAGGAAAAAAUGACCCGUCACGAAGGGCUUAGGGCUGGGACUGCUUCACCUUGGCUCGAAUCUUCUCUUCUAACAAAGAUGUAUCUGUCUCAAGGUCAAAAAUUCUGUUAAGGGCAUGCAUAUUCUCGAGUGUCUCGUUUAGAGUCCGGUUUUCGUUCUCAUCGCAUCUCAGGUGUUGGAUUGGACCAUGUAGAAGCUUGUUCACUAUGCCCAUGCUAAGAUCAUAAAGAGCUGCCUUUUGUUUCUUUGAGAUACCAUCACCCAUCUUUGACAAACAUUUGUCCAGCUCAGAAGCUCUAAUUCUUUCAGCAUAAGCCCUGAGUUUCUUGAUGGUUGGAACAGUCUCUAACGAGUCCUUCCAAGAUUUGAAUUGUUUCAAUUCCUCUGCAAUAAUCCCCUGAGCUUCCAUUGCUUUCCGAAGGCGAUCCUCCUUAUUUGCUGCUACUACUUCCUUAAGAUCAUCCACAUUGUAAACACGUACAGUCUCAAGAUCAGAGACGCACGGUCCCACAUUCCUGGGAACAGAGAUAUCUAUGAAGAGUCUCAAGCCUCCAAUUUCCUGGCUCACAGGGGGAAGUGCCUCAACAUGCUCUUUCAAGAACAGUGAGUUUUCUGAGGCCGUGCUGGUGAAAACCACAUCAGCCUCGGCAGUGCAUGCUAGCAUUUCUGAGAGGGGUUUGUAGAUGAUCUCAACAUCCUUAAGCUCCUUGCGGAUCGCAGCAACUCUCUCCUCGCUUCUGUUCACAACUACGAUUUUAGUGGACCCUUUUGCAACCAAGUGUUUGAUGACAAGUUUACCCAUCUUGCCUGCUCCAAUCACCAAUGGCCUGACAGUAGCAUAGGAAGAUUCUGCAAGCUUUAAUAGGGCAAGCUCUACUGCAGCUGAACUGACGGAAACUGACCCAGCAGAAAUAUUGGUUUCAGUUCUAACCCUCUUCCCAACAGUGAUUGCAUGCUUGAACAACCCACUGAUCUUCCUAUCAAAUCCAGGGACUCCUUGUCCAGUUUUUACAACUUGUCUUACCUGGGCAAGGAUUUGACCUUCUCCUAAAACAAGAGAAUCAAGCCCAGAUGAUACUUCAAAUAAAUGCCGUGUCGCAUCUUCAUUGUAUAAUGUGAAACGGUGCUGACAAAUCUCUGAUACAGAAACCCCACUUGUCUGCCAACAAAAUAAUCAUAGUCACAUCACCGUUUAUUUAAAAAAAUUAAAAAUAUAUAUUAAAAAGAGAUGAUCCAAAGCAUAUUGACAACAAUUUGGAUUUAUUUGGGAUGUUCUUUGUACUAAGAGUUUAUGUUGUCAUGAUCCCAUUCAUUUCAGUAAUCUGCCUUCCCUCUGUUUUGGUUGGGGGAAAACGAAGGGAUCUUGGACUAUCAAGUUUCCCCACACAAAAUAAAAAGAAAAUUAUGCAAUACAAUACCUUUGACAUCCAUUCCGUCACUUCUUUAACCCCACGAUGCUGAGAGAGAGCCACGACAUAUAUUUCCAUUCUGUUACAAGUGCUAAGGACAGCGGCUUCUUCUAUAUGGUUCAAAGCACAGAGCUCAACAAUGGCCUGUGGCCAGUUUGCUUCUGGAAUGGCAAGUUUCUCGCGUACCUCAACUGGUGCUGUAUGAAAACUAAGCCCUAUGACAAUAAUACUGCUCCUCUCUUUCGUAUAUCCUGAUAGAAAAAAUAUAAAGAAAUGAGUCUCCACAACAAUCAACAUGUAGACUUUGCUAAAAUGCACUUAAAAAUGAAGUAAAAAGGGCAGAGAGAGAAUAUAACAUCAAAAAAACUGAAAGCUGAUAUUAUUUCCAGUUAAUUUGCCACAAACUACAUGGAAUGGAGAAUAUAUAAAAUGUCAUAUGCACCCACAGCCUCAAUUCAAGAAUACUUGAAUGUCCAGAAAAGAAGUAGAAUAUAAAGGCAAAUCCAUCUGUCCGAAAUUAGGUAAACCUUCUCACUAUUUGACUGCAUAACACCUACUUAAUCCAUUAGGUAUAUUAAUUCCUGAGGAAUCAUGCAAUAUAAUUGCCCAAAACUGAUAGUACAUUUUUUUCGAGUUGGGAAACCUAAAUAUUGUUGCCAGCUUUUGCUGCUACCAAGAGGGAAGAAAAGUAAUGACUGCAAAUAGGAUGAGAUUUUCAUCUCAUGAGGAGCAUUAGAGGAAAAUGUGUCCCUGAGAGCAAAUAGCAAAUGAAAAACAUCAUUUUGACACUUCAAGUGUACCCUUUAUCAAUGUCUUACUCAGUAUUAUAUGUUAGCUUCCUCCUAGUAGAAGAUACCAAUUAGAUUACAUGAGGAGAAAAGAAUAAUGUCCUUUGACUCUUGAUGACAUUCAGCAAAAGAAAAUGACUGUGUCUGAGGUCCCAUAAAAUCCACCUUGAUGGAGUCAUCAUGGUUGCCACAAAAGGUACACUGGUUGAUGGUGACAUUUCAGCAAAAUUCGGAGACUUAUCCACUUUAUCCAAAAAUGAAGAGCUAUUGAAUUGCAGAGAAUCACAGACUAUUUUAAAAAAUAACAGUUAUUUUGCAUUUGGGACCACAUUAUUGAGUUCAAUUUUUAAAUGCCAACACUAAAACCGAUAGUUGGAUAAUUUACUAUAAUAAGAUACAUACCUUAUGAAAGAAAAACUUUUACUGUAAAGUAAUCCAUACUACAGUUUUUGUACCAUCUAAAAUGUAUUUUUAUGAAAUGCAGUACAAUACAUACCAUACUGAACCACAUUAAUUAUUUUAAAUUUUUAAAGAAAAAUCAGAUUUUAAUUUUUUUGUAUAAGCUGAGAAAUUUAAGUCAAAAAAGAAAGGAACAGAAAGUGAUCCUGAUAUUCUUAAAUGAAAACAUUGUGUGUUGUUGGAGGCAUGUAUUAAAGAUAAAGGAUUAAGUGUAAUCAUUAUUCCAAAUGAGUACCAAGUAUAUCGACACUUAAAUGUAAUUAAUGUUCAACCAAACAUUGAAGAGAUCUUAUUUGAAUAAUUUGAAUGUACACCUUGAGGACAAUGAGAAAUGAAGAAUGAAAAAACUUUUACUCAAUAUAUUAGUGUUUCUUUUUUGAUCUGUUUUUCUUUUGUCCAUAGUUUUUAAUUACCUUUUUGGGUGUAACAACGAACUUGGAAUGUUAAAACUUUGAACAUGACACAUGCAUCCAUGUGUAAAUAGUCCGCAUAUAGUUGAAAUUAUAUAAGAUCAUAGGGGUUUCUUUUUUUUUUAAAUCAACUGAACUGAUCUUGCAAUUCCUUCUAACUACAAGUAAAAAACACUCCAAUCACAAUACCAAAUUAAAGCUCUCAUGAGCAAACCAAACAAGAAGUAUGCACUCAGUGACAGUUUUCCUUGCUUUUCCUCACAGAAAAUGAAAAAUAACAUCUAUAGCAUAAUUUGGCAUACUCAUGUUGCUUACAAUUCAUCCACCUUUAUACAACAUCCAAUCACUCCUUUUUUAUUUCUGAAUUUUCAAAAUCUUUGUCACUAUCAUGGAAAACACAUUUGAUACGCCACUUGAAGAAGAGAGUCUUUAAAGAAAUAGCACAAAGAAAAUAGAACAAAAGAAGAAUCCACCUAAUGUAUGGAGAAAGCAGAAAGAUCUUCAAUAUUGCACAUAGUCAAACCAUAGCAUUAAAAGGCACGCUUUAAGUGUGCCUAAGCUCAAGGGGCAACCAUAGUUAUAGGGCCUUGCUUGCCAACACACCUUAUUGAAGAGGCACACCUUGUCAACUUUUUUCUAAUUAUAUAUUGAAAUUUAUAUAAUUUCACUACUUUUUUAUUGAAUGCUUCUUUUAAAUGUUAGGUUUAUUAAAUUUUUUUUAUCGAUAUGCAUCCAAGUUCACAUUUCACUUUUCUCCGUGCCUUGCUCCUGGGCUAUAGAUGACUUUUAUGCCUUAGGUGGGCCUUACGCCUUUUAAACUAUGAGUCAACUCUUCCUUUAACCCAGCCAAAAUUGUUUAGCAAAUUAACAGUCAUAAAACAAUAUUCCGAUCUCAUAAGGUUCAAUUUUUUAUGUCGAAAACUAUGGCAUACAACCAUUCCUCCAUCACCAUGGGAAGAAAAAUGGAAAACCCAAUCCAUCAAUGAAGUUCAAGGGGCACUUUGUUAAAGUUCCAAUUAUUUGAGCUAAAAUUUUGAUCAUGUGAAUGGAAAAAUACAUAAAUGAAAAAAUUCAAGAAAUUCUCCACAUGGCCUUUUCCUUGCCGUUCAAAUGCUAUCACAGACGAAUAGAGCCUCAAUCUAACAAAUUGGAAUACAAAAAUUUUAAGAAUAAAAAACAAAAAAUCAAUGCAAAGAAAUAGAAACUCACUGUCAGCAGCCGAAGUUUUGAGCAAUUCAAGAGCUGAAACACUCGACGCCCUCAAUUCCGCCUUGGCCAAAUCAUCAGAACCAACGCUACACCUAACCGCCCCCAAUCCGGCUGUUUUCCCUGGCCUGACGGAGAUCCGACCGGGAGGAUAAGAAACGGAGGCAUUGCAACGGAGACCAGACUUGAAGGCUGCAAAAGAGGCGGCGGAACCGGAGGCCACCGCCAUCGGAGCCAAGGCGGAAUCCGAACCCUAAACUUAGAUGUCAACGGCGAGCGAGGAGAGAGAAGGUGUCAAAGGUAUGGGUUGGGUGAACUGCAGUUUGAAAGUGGAGGUAGUUAAAUUUGGAAGAUCUAUUUAUAGGAAGAAGUGGUUCGCGUUGGCUCCACACGCCCCUCUACUAUGACCGUGGAAAAAGUAAAACGCGUCGUUUCGAUCGAAGGCUAAUUCCAAAUUCCAAUUUCCGAAAGACAAAUCGGCCGUCACCCCCACCAAUUCAAACGUACCGUCCGAUUUAUUAAUUAAAUAUUUUUUCUUUAGACUUAUACUCUUAAAAAAUAUAUUUUUUUAAAUAAAAAUAAAAAAUAUUUUAAAAUAUGUAUAAGAUUAUUAUUCAAUUUAUUUCAUUUUUUUAUUUUUCAAUAUUACCAAAUAUUGAAAUAAAAGUAAAGAAUUACUUCAACUUUCCAUUUCUAGAUAUAUCCAAACAUAAUAAUUUGAAUCACUAAAUUGACUCUGCUUUUAAGAAAUAAUAAAAACAAAAAAAAAAUCAUCUUCAUUCUCAUUUUCCAUAGGGAUAACAAUCUCAUCAUGUUCUAUUUAAUUUUUUUAAUAAGAUAUGAAUAAAAAUUAUUUUAAAUAAACAUGACAGGGUUGGGAUAGAAGCGACCCAUCCCAAACCCAUUCUAUUGCAAUCUCUAGUUCCACGUUCUCAUAUCAAAUAUGAUGUAAUAGUAAUUUUCUUAAAUGUUUUACUCUAAAAUACCAACAAAUUUUAGUGAUUAUUUAAAAAAAAAAUUAAGAUAUUGAAAAAUUUUUAUCAUCUCGAAUUUUAAAAAUUUUAAAAUAAAUUUUAAAAAUAUUAAAUAAAUCUCUUUAUAAGAUUUCUUUUAUUUUAUAUACAAAUUAGUAGUCUCCAAAAAUAAAAAUAGGUUUUAGCAUUUCUUUUUUCCUUAUAAUCACAAAUAAAAAUAAAUUUAUACUUUUAAAUAGUAUAUCAAUUGAUAUAUAAUUGAACCAAUUAAUAAGUCAUCAAAGAGUUUUGAAGACUAAAAAUCGAAAAUGAAGAGUUAAGAAUUUUUUAUUUAUAUGAAUCUUGCAUUACAACUUUUAUAAAAUCUAUUUUGUACAUAAGGUUUUAUGGGAAAAAGAGGAAGCUAGAAAAAUAUAAACGGGAAAAUUACAUGGAUGCAUUCAACUUGAUAACUCACUGUUAUCCAUAAAUUUGUACAUAAUAUUAAUAAAUAAAAAAUAUAGGGCCUGAGAAUUGCCUAUGAAAAUACUUUUUUGUUCUCCAAAACAAAAAAUACAAAAAAAACACAUUUGGUAACUAAAAACUGUUUUCUGUUUUUUGUUCUUAAAAAAAAAAAAGUAUUUUUAAGAAUAUCUUUUACUUGUUUUCUAUUAUUUCACUUAUUUUUUUAAGGUAAAUAAUUAUACAAAACAUGUAAAAUAAUUAAAAAUAAAACACUAUAUGUAAAAAUUAUUUUUAAAAUAUUAAAAACAUGUUAAAAACAUUUUAUAUUUUCAAACAGACUUUUGUUCUACACAACUCAAAGAAGAAUUUUCAUUGUUCUCAUAAACUAUCAAACUAUUUUUUAGAAUUGUUUUCCAAAACACUUACCAAAGACACCCAUAAUUUGCAUGUAGCCUUUAAUGGAAAGACUAUGGACAUGUUUGGUUAAAUAUAACAUUGAAUGGGAUACUCAUAAUUAGCGAUUGGAUAAGACAAAUUAUUUUAUUAGCUAUUUUAUAUUCAACCAAAUAUGAAAAAAGAUAAGUGAUAUGAUAUAUUAUUCACAAUUUUUUUUUUUAUUAUUUAUUUUAUAUACAACCUUAUUUUUAUACCAUAUUCAUUUCCAAUGUAUCAAAAAUUCUUUGAGAGAUAUGUGCAUUAAAAAAAUGGGCUUGUGGUGGGAACAUGGCCGGCGGCACAUGCAAAAGGCUUUGUGGUGUGAAUUUGAGAGAUGUGCAUUGGAAAAUGGGCUUGUGGUGAGUAUGGCCGGCACUUGCAUAAAAGAAAUGGAUUUGUGGUGUGAAUUUGAGAGAUUUGUGCAUUGGAAAAUGGAAAGUAGGUCUGAAUGGCAUUAUUGUAAUAUGGGAAGUAGUCUUGUGGCAUUCUUUGGAAUAGGUUGAUUGCCACUUUGACCAACGUGGAUAAGUCUUGCAAUUGAGGAUGACCACAAGCUUUUUCCUUUUUUUAUUAUUUCUUCAUAUUCUUAUAUUAGAAUUUUAUUUUUAUUUUUUUUAACAUUUCAAUUUCUGAAAUUUAGUUUUUUUUGGAAAUGCCAUCCUAAAAAAUAAUUCAUCAAUUUUCUGAUUUUUGAAUUUGUUUUCUAAUCCCUAAAAUUUUAAUUUUUACAUUUAUUUAUUUAAUCAUUAUUAUUUUCGUUAUUAUUAUUUUAAUUAUAUAUUUAUUUUAAAAUUCCACCUUCAAAUAAUUUCCAAUAUUUCAAUUUUUUAUAAUUUAAUUUUCAUAGUUUCUACUUCCCAAAUAAUUUUAACCAAUUCUUAAAUUCAAAUUCUCGAAAUUUUAAUUCCCAAAUAAUUUGCUAAUUUCUUUCAAAUUUAAUUUCCAAGAUUCCAAUUCUUAAAUUUAAUUCCCAAGACUCCAAUUUUCAAAUAAAUUUCAAAAAUCUAAUUUUCUCUCUAACAGUUUUAAUUCCCUUUGGGUUUCAAAUAAUCUCUUGUUUCUCUUGAUUUUACAUAAGCAUGAAUAUAAUUUUCAUAAUUCCAGAUUAAUGGAAUUUGUAGGAUUAAUUCAUGCAAGAUAGAUUGGGCUUUGGUGGGGGCCCCACACGAGUGAUUUUAUGAUCGAUUGGAGGAUUGAUUGAUUUGAUUGCUAUAUGUGAUUGAUUUACACUAUUCUAUGAUAUACACACGAUUAUUUUGUGUUUAAUUGAUAACAUUUGUUUUCGUUGAAGUAAGUCAGUUCAUCACUCAGGUACAUUAUUUGCCUUUCCUAUUCAUUCAAUUAUUUUGUUUUGAGUGAUAUUCAUUCAGUAUCUAUGCUCGAUUAAUUAAUUGUCAUGAUUGCUCCAUUUUAUUAGUAGAGACUCGUUUUUAGGGACUUAGAAGGGUGCUAUGGUUUUUACCGUACCUUCCUGAUAAGUAACCUGACCCCCGAACCCGAUCCGAGUUUUCGCAAACCACCUUUUCCAAAAUAAGGAGUCACACUUAGGGUUUUCUUUCUUAUUUUGUUUACCCUUUAAAAAUAAAACAAAAAUAAGUGGCGACUCCAAGUCAAUUCUUUUCAACCAAAUAAAUAAAUCAAUUUUUCAAAAUAAAAAUAUAGCUCGCCAUCAUGAGCCGAAAUACGGGGUCCACAACAACACAAUAUAACUCAUUGGAUAUAGUAUUUUUAGAUAUUUUGUCUAUUUGAUACAACAUUCAAGAUAUUAUAUUCCAUUAAAAAAAUAAUAUCUUAGGAUUUCAAUAUAACUCAUUGGAUAUGGUAUUUCAAGAUAUUUUGUCUAUUUGAUACAACAUUCAAGGAUAUUAUAUCCCAUAAUAUAUAUAUAUAUAUAUAUUAGGAUUUGCAUGUAUGUCCCUCGUACCUAGCAACUAAACACAAUCUAAGAGGAGUUAUGAAUCUCUUUGAUAAAUUUUAAAGUCUAGAGUCACAUUCUCAUUUUUAUGUUUAUGAUUGUUUUAAUUAUAAAAGCAUACAUCAUACAAAUGAGUCAUCCAUUAUAUAAGAGUAAUGAGUUGAAGAUCUUAAUUAAGAUAUUCACAAAGUGAUUCAGACUCGGAAUCGAAAAAUGAAUUAAGGCUAGGCAAGACAAUAAUAUAAUUAUUAUUUUGUCAUUUCUCUGGUACUUGAAAUUGUUGUGGUAAACCAAGACAAAGAAUAGUAAUAGGAACAAAAGAAUAAGAAAAAGAAAACAAAGACACAUAAAGUAUACAACGAUUUACGUGAUUCAACCUAAAUUAAUUUUAAGUGACUUAAUGACUUAAUAACUUAAUUUAAGUCAUUAAAUAAAUUAAGUAUAUUUGAUAAAAUAACUUAAUGGUAUGACUUAAAGUAAACAAAAAAUUAAUUUAAGGUAUUAAGUAAAUUAAGUAUGUUUGAUAAAAUAACUUAAUGGUAUGACUUAAAGUUAAAAACAAUUUUAAGUAAUAAGUAAAAUAAUUAAAUUAAAGUGAAUUAAUAACUUAAUUUAAGUCAUUAAAUAAAUUAAGUAUGUUUUGUAAAAUUACUUAAUGGUAUGACUUAAAGACAAAUACAACUUUAAAUAAUAAGUAAAACAAUUAACUUAUUUUUAAGUUCACAUCUUCAUUUUAUCUUUUUACCCUCAUUUAUCUUAGUUACCUCGAUAAUUUCUUUUACUACUCCACAACCUCUAUUAUUACUCGACAUCAUUUGUUGUACUUAUAAUUUAUGAGGAUAAAUAUGUUGCUUUAAUGAUUUAAAAUAAAUUUUAAGUUAAUUUUGUCUAACAACCUUAAUACUUAAAAUAAGAAUUACAUAAUAAAUUUCAAGUCAAAAUUUUAAAUAUAAUUUAACUUAAAGUCAACUUAAGUCAUUAAAUAAUAAGUAUUAAGUUUUACCAAAUACCCCCAUGUUUGAUUUCAAAAAAUUUAAGAGAAAAUGUGAGAGAAAGAAAAAUAGAAGAAAAAAAAAAUUCAAAGUUAAUAAAUUAUUUUAAAUAGUACUUUAAACUCAUUUCACUUAUCUUAACUCUCCUAUAUAAAAAUUAAAUAAUUUAAAAAUAUAUAAGCUUUGAACUAAGUUUAGUUAUGUGAGUUUUUUUCGUAUUAUUUUUUUAAUAUUUUUCUUUCUUUUAGUAUUUUUUUUUUAACUAAACAUAGUAAAAAAAACAUCUCAAAUUUAUUCUUAAAAAAUUAACCUGUAUUUUAAAAUAGAAAACUAUGACUUAUUUGGCAACAUUGUUUAAAAAAGUUCCCAAAAAAUAAUAUUUGAAAAUCAUUUAUAAGAUAAUUUUUCAUUAUUUUAGAAACAAAACUAUGCUUAAAAUUUAAAUUUUAAAAACAAAAUUUUCCACUCACUUUAUGAAAAUAUUAUGUUACAAAGUUUCUAAAAUAAUUUUUAUAUUUUAAAUUAUUUUUUAUAAUACUUUAAAAUAUCUCAAAAUUAUUUUAGAAAAUAACCUAUUUCAAGAAUAAAUCUCAAAAACCCAUUUUCAAUCAAAAGUAUUUUUCAUUUUAAAUAAUAAAAAAAAAUGUUUUUAAGAAUAGUUGGCAAACAACUCCCUAUUUCAAAUCCAGUUUUGCCCUUAGUUUUUUUUUUCUUCUUUGCCUCUAAAAAUCUUGCUUAUGGUCAUCAUGUGAAAAUACAUUUUUGACCAAAAUCUAUAAUUACGUAUUGGAUGAGGUUUGAUGGACAAAGUCAAUUGGUUUUUAUGGAUAUAGAUUACUCCUCAUGGGUAGAAGAAAUUAAAUAUUUAUCAUUUUUAUAUAUUUUAUUUUGUAAAAAGUUGUAUAUGUAUUUGUAUAUUUAGUUUAAAUUUCAUCUAAACUUUAUCUAAUAAUGUCUUUUGUUUUGUUUUUAGUUUGAAAAUCUUGGAAAAGGGUUGGAGAGGAGGGAAAGGGAAGGGAAGGAAGAAGAAAUAAAUGUAUUUUACUACAGAUUUAACUUUAUAUAUUUAUAUUAUGUUUGAUAGUAUUUUUAGAACCAUUUUGAGGAUGGAUUUGAGAUAACUUAAUACUUAUUACUUAAUUAUUUAAAUUAAUUUUAGGUUAAAUUAUAUUUAACUUAUAAACUUAAAACUUAUUACUUAAUUAUUAUAUUUAAAAAAUUAAGGUUGAUUGAGGUUGAUUGAUAAAAUUAACUUAAAAUUUAUUUUAAAUCAUCAAAUUGACAUAUUUAACUUCAUAAAUUAUAAUUAUGGUAAGGAAUGUUGAAUAACAAUGGAGGUUGUGGAAUAGCAAAAGAGAUCGUAAAGGCAACUAAAGUUAAUAAAGGUAAAAAAAUAAAAUAAAAAUGUAGACUUAAGUAUAAAUUAAUUGUUUUUACUUAUUACUCAAAAUUAUUUUUAACUUUAAGUCACAUCAUUAAGUUAUUUUAUCAAACAUAUUUAAUUUACUAAAUGAUUUAAAUUAAAUUAUUAAGUCACUUUAAAUUAUUAAGUUGAUUUAUUAAACAACAAAUUAGUAUGAAAAACAUUUUUAAAAAUAAAUCAAGUGUUUUAGUAGAAUUUAAAAGGCCAAUUNNNNNNNNNNNNNNNNNNNNNNNNNNNNNNNNNNNNNNNNNNNNNNNNNNNNNNNNNNNNNNNNNNNNNNNNNNNNNNNNNNNNNNNNNNNNNNNNNNNNNNNNNNNNNNNNNNNNNNNNNNNNNNNNNNNNNNNNNNNNNNNNNNNNNNNNNNNNNNNNNNNNNNNNNNNNNNNNNNNNNNNNNNNNNNNNNNNNNNNNNNNNNNNNNNNNNNNNNNNNNNNNNNNNNNNNNNNNNNNNNNNNNNNNNNNNNNNNNNNNNNNNNNNNNNNNNNNNNNNNNNNNNNNNNNNNNNNNNNNNNNNNNNNNNNNNNNNNNNNNNNNNNNNNNNNNNNNNNNNNNNNNNNNNNNNNNNNNNNNNNNNNNNNNNNNNNNNNNNNNNNNNNNNNNNNNNNNNNNNNNNNNNNNNNNNNNNNNNNNNNNNNNNNNNNNNNNNNNNNNNNNNNNNNNNNNNNNNNNNNNNNNNNNNNNNNNNNNNNNNNNNNNNNNNNNNNNNNNNNNUCCUCACAUUCUUCGUACCCUUGUGAAUUUUUUAGUAUUUUUGGAUUUCUAUUUUUUCGGAUAUCAUUUGAACACCUUCUAAGUGUAACGGACCUAUUUAAACAACAUCCAAGCCAUAUUAUGCCCCAAAAAAUUUUUAAAAGUCCGAAGAAGUGGAGAUUUGGGGGGGUACGACGAAUGUGAGGAUUCCUCACAUGCUUCGUACCCUUGUGAAUUUUUUAGUAUUUUUGGAUUUCGAUUUUUCAUAUCAUUUCACCACCUUCUAAGUGUAACGGACCUAUUUAAACAACAUCCAAGGCAUAUGAUGCCCAAAAAAAUUUUAAAAUGCCCAAAGAAGUGGUGAUUUGGGAGGGUACGAAGAAUGUGAGGAUUUCUCACAUUCUUCAUACACUUGUGAAUUUUUUAGUAUUUUUGGAUUUCGAUAUUUCCGCAUAUCAUUUGAACACCUUCUAAGUGUAACGGACCUAUUUAAACAACAUCCAAGCCAUAUCAGGCCCCAAAAAAUUUUAAAAAGUCCAAAGAAGUGGAGAUUUGGGAAGGUACGAAGAAUGUGAGGAUUCCUCACAUUUUUCGUACCCUUGUGAAUUUUUUAGUAUUUUAGGAUUUCGAUUUUUCCGAAUAUCAUUUGACCACCUUCUAAGUGUAACGGACCUAUUUAAACAACAUCCAAGCCAUAUCAUGCCCCAAAAAAUUUUAAAAAAGUCCAAAGAAAGUGGAGAUUUGGGGANNNNNNNNNNNNNNNNNNNNNNNNNNNNNNNNNNNNNNNNNNNNNNNNNNNNNNNNNNNNNNNNNNNNNNNNNNNNNNNNNNNNNNNNNNNNNNNNNNNNNNNNNNNNNNNNNNNNNNNNNNNNNNNNNNNNNNNNNNNNNNNNNNNNNNNNNNNNNNNNNNNNNNNNNNNNNNNNNNNNNNNNNNNNNNNNNNNNNNNNNNNNNNNNNNNNNNNNNNNNNNNNNNNNNNNNNNNNNNNNNNNNNNNNNNNNNNNNNNNNNNNNNNNNNNNNNNNNNNNNNNNNNNNNNNNNNNNNNNNNNNNNNNNNNNNNNNNNNNNNNNNNNNNNNNNNNNNNNNNNNNNNNNNNNNNNNNNNNNNNNNNNNNNNNNNNNNNNNNNNNNNNNNNNNNNNNNNNNNNNNNNNNNNNNNNNNNNNNNNNNNNNNNNNNNNNNNNNNNNNNNNNNNNNNNNNNNNNNNNNNNNNNNNNNNNNNNNNNNNNNNNNNNNNNNNNNNNNNNNNNNNNNNNNNNNNNNNNNNNNNNNNNNNNNNNNNNNNNNNNNNNNNNNNNNNNNNNNNNNNNNNNNNNNNNNNNNNNNNNNNNNNNNNNNNNNNNNNNNNNNNNNNNNNNNNNNNNNNNNNNNNNNNNNNNNNNNNNNNNNNNNNNNNNNNNNNNNNNNNNNNNNNNNNNNNNNNNNNNNNNNNNNNNNNNNNNNNNNNNNNNNNNNNNNNNNNNNNNNNNNNNNNNNNNNNNNNNNNNNNNNNNNNNNNNNNNNNNNNNNNNNNNNNNNNNNNNNNNNNNNNNNNNNNNNNNNNNNNNNNNNNNNNNNNNNNNNNNNNNNNNNNNNNNNNNNNNNNNNNNNNNNNNNNNNNNNNNNNNNNNNNNNNNNNNNNNNNNNNNNNNNNNNNNNNNNNNNNNNNNNNNNNNNNNNNNNNNNNNNNNNNNNNNNNNNNNNNNNNNNNNNNNNNNNNNNNNNNNNNNNNNNNNNNNNNNNNNNNNNNNNNNNNNNNNNNNNNNNNNNNNNNNNNNNNNNNNNNNNNNNNNNNNNNNNNNNNNNNNNNNNNNNNNNNNNNNNNNNNNNNNNNNNNNNNNNNNNNNNNNNNNNNNNNNNNNNNNNNNNNNNNNNNNNNNNNNNNNNNNNNNNNNNNNNNNNNNNNNNNNNNNNNNNNNNNNNNNNNNNNNNNNNNNNNNNNNNNNNNNNNNNNNNNNNNNNNNNNNNNNNNNNNNNNNNNNNNNNNNNNNNNNNNNNNNNNNNNNNNNNNNNNNNNNNNNNNNNNNNNNNNNNNNNNNNNNNNNNNNNNNNNNNNNNNNNNNNNNNNNNNNNNNNNNNNNNNNNNNNNNNNNNNNNNNNNNNNNNNNNNNNNNNNNNNNNNNNNNNNNNNNNNNNNNNNNNNNNNNNNNNNNNNNNNNNNNNNNNNNNNNNNNNNNNNNNNNNNNNNNNNNNNNNNNNNNNNNNNNNNNNNNNNNNNNNNNNNNNNNNNNNNNNNNNNNNNNNNNNNNNNNNNNNNNNNNNNNNNNNNNNNNNNNNNNNNNNNNNNNNNNNNNNNNNNNNNNNNNNNNNNNNNNNNNNNNNNNNNNNNNNNNNNNNNNNNNNNNNNNNNNNNNNNNNNNNNNNNNNNNNNNNNNNNNNNNNNNNNNNNNNNNNNNNNNNNNNNNNNNNNNNNNNNNNNNNNNNNNNNNNNNNNNNNNNNNNNNNNNNNNNNNNNNNNNNNNNNNNNNNNNNNNNNNNNNNNNNNNNNNNNNNNNNNNNNNNNNNNNNNNNNNNNNNNNNNNNNNNNAUAUGAGGCCCCAAAAAAAUUUAAAAAAGUCCAAUGAGGAAACAGCUAUGACCAUGAUUACGCCAAGCGGGUUCCUAGCUCUCUUCGUACCCUUGUGAAUUUUUUAGUAUCUUAGGAUUUCGAUUUUUCCGAAUAUCAUUUGAACACCUUCUAAGUGUAACGGACCUAUUUAAACAACAUCCAAGCCAUAUCAUGCCCCAAAAAAUUUUAAAAUGUCCAAAGAAGUAGAGAUUUGGGAGGGUAGGAAGAAUGUGAGGAAUCCUCACAUUCUUCGUACCCUUGUGAAUUUUUUAGUAUUUUUCGAUUCUGAUUUUUUCGGAUAUCAUUUGAACACCUUCUAAGUGUAACGGACCUAUUUAAACAACAUCCAAGCCAUAUGAUGGUCCAAAAAUUUUUAAAAUGUCCAAAGAAGUGGAGAUUUGGGAGGGUACGAAGAAUGUGAGUAUUCCUCACGUUCUUUGUAUCCUUGUGAAUUUUUUAGUCUUUUUCGAUUCCGAUUUUUCCGGAUAUCAUUUGACCACCUUCUAAGUGUAACGGACCUAUUUAAACAACGUCCAAGCCAUAUGAUGGCCCAAAAAAUUUUAAAAUGUCCAAAGAAGUGGAGAUUUGGGAGGGUACGAAGAAUGUGAGGUUUUCUCACAUUCUUCGUACUGUUGUGAAUUUUUUAGUAUUUUUCGAUUCCGAUUUUUCCGGAUAUUAUUUGAACACCUUCUAAGUGUAACGAACCUAUUUAAACAACAUCCAAGCCAUAUGAUGCCCCAAAAAAUUUUAAAAUGUCCAAAGAAGUGGAGAUUUGGGAGGGUACGGAGAAUAUGAGUAUUCCUCACAUUCUUCGUACCCUUGUGAAUUUUUUAGUCUUUUUCGAUUCCGAUUUUUCCGGAUAUUAUUUGACCACCUUCUAAGUGUAACGGACCUAUUUAAACAACAUCCAAGCCAUAUGAUGCCCCAAAAAAUUUUAAAAAGUCCAANNNNNNNNNNNNNNNNNNNNNNNNNNNNNNNNNNNNNNNNNNNNNNNNNNNNNNNNNNNNNNNNNNNNNNNNNNNNNNNNNNNNCCAAGCCAUAUGAUGCUCCAAAAAAUUUUAAAAUGUCCAAAGAAGUGGAGAUUUGGGAGGGUACGAAGAAUGUGAGUAUUCCUCACGUUCUUCGUACCCUUGUGAAUUUUUUAGUCUUUUUCGAUUCCGAUUUUUCCCGAUAUCAUUUGACCGUCUUCUAAGUGAACGGACCUAUUUAAACAACAUCCAAGCCAUAUGAUGCCCCAAAAAAUUUUAAAAAGUCCAAAGAAGUGGAGAUUUGGGAGGGUACGAAGAAUGUGAGGAUUCCUCACAUUCUUCAUACCCUUGUGAAUUUUUUAGUAUUUUUCGAUUCCGAUUUUUCCGGAUAUCAUUUGACCAUCUUCUAAGUGUAACGGACCUAUUUAAACAACGUCCAAGCCAUAUGAUGCCCCAAAAAAUUUUAAAAUGUCCAAAGAAGUGGAGAUUUGGGAGGGUACGAAGAAUGUGAGGUUUUCUCACAUUCUUCGUACUGUUGUGAAUUUUUUAGUAUUUUUCGAUUCCGAUUUUUCAGGAUAUUAUUUGAACACCUUCUAAGUGUAACGGACCUAUUUAAACAACAUCCAAGCCAUAUGAUGCUCCAAAAAAUUUUAAAAAGUCCAAAGAAGUGGAGAUUUGGGAGGGUACGAAGAAUGUGAGGUUUCCUCACAUUUUUCGUACCGUUGUGAAUUUUUUAGUAUUUUUCGAUUCCGAUUUUUCCGGAUAUUAUUUGAACACCUUCUAAGUGUAACGGACCUAUUUAAACAACAUCCAAGCCAUAUGAUGCUCCAAAAAAUUUUAAAAUGUCCAAAGAAGUGGAGAUUUGGGAGGGUACGAAGAAUGUGAGUAUUCCUCACGUUCUUCGUACCCUUGUGAAUUUUUUAGUCUUUUUCGAUUCCGAUUUUUACGGAUAUCAUUUGACCACCUUCUAAGUGNNNNNNNNNNNNNNNNNNNNNNNNNNNNNNNNNNNNNNNNNNNNNNNNNNNNNNNNNNNNNNNNNNNNNNNNNNNNNNNNNNNNNNNNNNNNNNNNNNNNUUUGCACACCUUCUAACUGUAACGGACCUAUUUAAACAACAUCCAAGCCAUAUGAUGCCCCAAAAAAUUUUAAAAUGUCCAAAGAAGUGGAGAUUUGGGAGGGUACGGAGAAUAUGAGUAUUCCUCACGUUCUUCGUACCCUUGUGAAUUUUUUAGUCUUUUUCGAUUCCGAUUUUUCCAGAUAUCAUUUGACCACCUUCUAAGUGUAACGGACCUAUUUAAACAACAUCCAAGCCAUAUGAUGCCCCAAAAAAUUUUAAAGAGUCCAAAGAACUGGAGAUUUGGGAGGGUACGAAGAAUGUGAGGAUUCCUCACAUUCUUCGUACCCUUGUGAAUUUUUUAGUAUUUUUCGAUUCCGAUUUUUCCGGAUAUCAUUUGACCACCUUCUAAGUGUAACGGACCUAUUUAAACAACGUCCAAGCCAUAUGAUGCCCCAAAAAAUUUUAAAAUGUCCAAAGAAGUGGAGAUUUGGGAGGGUACGAAGAAUGUGAGGUUUCCUCACAUUCUUCGUACUGUUGUGAAUUUUUUAGUAUUUUUCGAUUCCGAUUUUUCCGGAUAUUAUUUGAACACCUUCNNNNNNNNNNNNNNNNNNNNNNNNNNNNNNNNNNNNNNNNNNNNNNNNNNNNNNNNNNNNNNNNNNNNNNNNNNNNNNNNNNNNNNNNNNNNNNNNNNNNNNNNNNNNNNNNNNNNNNNNNNNNNNNNNNNNNNNNNNNNNNNNNNNNNNNNNNNNNNNNNNNNNNNNNNNNNNNNNNNNNNNNNNNNNNNNNNNNNNNNNNNNNNNNNNNNNNNNNNNNNNNNNNNNNNNNNNNNNNNNNNNNNNNNNNNNNNNNNNNNNNNNNNNNNNNNNNNNNNNNNNNNNNNNNNNNNNNNNNNNNNNNNNNNNNNNNNNNNNNNNNNNNNNNNNNNNNNNNNNNNNNNNNNNNNNNNNNNNNNNNNNNNNNNNNNNNNNNNNNNNNNNNNNNNNNNNNNNNNNNNNNNNNNNNNNNNNNNNNNNNNNNNNNNNNNNNNNNNNNNNNNNNNNNNNNNNNNNNNNNNNNNNNNNNNNNNNNNNNNNNNNNNNNNNNNNNNNNNNNNNNNNNNNNNNNNNNNNNNNNNNNNNNNNNNNNNNNNNNNNNNNNNNNNNNNNNNNNNNNNNNNNNNNNNNNNNNNNNNNNNNNNNNNNNNNNNNNNNNNNNNNNNNNNNNNNNNNNNNNNNNNNNNNNNNNNNNNNNNNNNNNNNNNNNNNNNNNNNNNNNNNNNNNNNNNNNNNNNNNNNNNNNNNNNNNNNNNNNNNNNNNNNNNNNNNNNNNNNNNNNNNNNNNNNNNNNNNNNNNNNNNNNNNNNNNNNNNNNNNNNNNNNNNNNNNNNNNNNNNNNNNNNNNNNNNNNNNNNNNNNNNNNNNNNNNNNNNNNNNNNNNNNNNNNNNNNNNNNNNNNNNNNNNNNNNNNNNNNNNNNNNNNNNNNNNNNNNNNNNNNNNNNNNNNNNNNNNNNNNNNNNNNNNNNNNNNNNNNNNNNNNNNNNNNNNNNNNNNNNNNNNNNNNNNNNNNNNNNNNNNNNNNNNNNNNNNNNNNNNNNNNNNNNNNNNNNNNNNNNNNNNNNNNNNNNNNNNNNNNNNNNNNNNNNNNNNNNNNNNNNNNNNNNNNNNNNNNNNNNNNNNNNNNNNNNNNNNNNNNNNNNNNNNNNNNNNNNNNNNNNNNNNNNNNNNNNNNNNNNNNNNNNNNNNNNNNNNNNNNNNNNNNNNNNNNNNNNNNNNNNNNNNNNNNNNNNNNNNNNNNNNNNNNNNNNNNNNNNNNNNNNNNNNNNNNNNNNNNNNNNNNNNNNNNNNNNNNNNNNNNNNNNNNNNNNNNNNNNNNNNNNNNNNNNNNNNNNNNNNNNNNNNNNNNNNNNNNNNNNNNNNNNNNNNNNNNNNNNNNNNNNNNNNNNNNNNNNNNNNNNNNNNNNNNNNNNNNNNNNNNNNNNNNNNNNNNNNNNNNNNNNNNNNNNNNNNNNNNNNNNNNNNNNNNNNNNNNNNNNNNNNNNNNNNNNNNNNNNNNNNNNNNNNNNNNNNNNNNNNNNNNNNNNNNNNNNNNNNNNNNNNNNNNNNNNNNNNNNNNNNNNNNNNNNNNNNNNNNNNNNNNNNNNNNNNNNNNNNNNNNNNNNNNNNNNNNNNNNNNNNNNNNNNNNNNNNNNNNNNNNNNNNNNNNNNNNNNNNNNNNNNNNNNNNNNNNNNNNNNNNNNNNNNNNNNNNNNNNNNNNNNNNNNNNNNNNNNNNNNNNNNNNNNNNNNNNNNNNNNNNNNNNNNNNNNNNNNNNNNNNNNNNNNNNNNNNNNNNNNNNNNNNNNNNNNNNNNNNNNNNNNNNNNNNNNNNNNNNNNNNNNNNNNNNNNNNNNNNNNNNNNNNNNNNNNNNNNNNNNNNNNNNNNNNNNNNNNNNNNNNNNNNNNNNNNNNNAAUGUGAGGAUUCCUCACAUUCUUCGUACCCUUGUGAAUUUUUUAGUAUUUUUGGAUUUCGAUUUUUCCGGAUAUCAUUUGACCACCUUCUAAGUGUAACGGACCUAUUUAAACAACAUCCAAGCCAUAUGAUGCCCCAAAAAUUUUUAAAAAGUCUAAAGAAGUGGAGAUUUGGGAGGGUACGAAGAAUGUGAGGAUUCCUCACAUUCUUCGUACCCUUGUGAAUUUUUUAGUAUUUUCCCAUUCCGAUUUUUCUAGAUAUCAUUUCAUAACCGCUUGCACGCAACUAAAGUUUGGCUGAUAUGGAUGUUCGUUUACCACAAUGAUGUCCCUUCAAAGGAAGAGCAAUUACAUGUAGCAAAAUGCCAAAUUGCCCUAUCAAUACACGAAUCUAUGGAGGAAUCCAAACAAAUUACAACUUAUACAAGUAAAGCUUAACCGGUCGAUCGGUUCUCUUCAACCUGUCUCCUACUUAUCUCAACCGGUAGCCAUUGGCCAUUUGAGAAUCCAGGCACCAAAAGGGCCAGUGGCUACCGGUUGAGCUAAAGAUGCAACCGGUAGAAUAUAACCGGUCAACCGGUUAUUGUAAUUCAUUUUGUUUUCGUUUAGGUAUGUGAUAUGGCGAUUAGAUCAAAGCAUAUGACUUCUCUUUGUUACUAUUCCCAACAUAGAUCAAGACAUAGGCUUACCCACAGACAAGCUCACAUCAAACACCAAACGGAUCUUGUGAUCCUUAAAAAACCCAACCUUAUCAUGUAUAGACAUAGGCUUCCAAUUCAUUUGAUGCAAUUUUUGGUUAAAUAACGCAUUUCAACAUGGACAUAAAGAACAUGAAUAAAAGAAGUAACUAAUGAAUUAUAUAACCUUAUGCUACCACCAUAUGCAUCAGUUUUUGUACCUUUGUUGGUUUUUGUUAGUUUAUUUCAAUCCCACAAAGUCAUUCCAAAAUUGACUAGAUUAAAAAAUGUUGAUCUUAUGUUGAAUCCUCAUUUAAGGGGUUAUAGACAUUUGAUCCUUUUUCUUCAAUAGGCCAUCAAGUCUUUUUUGGAUAAUCGAAAUUAGGAGGUGCAAUUUAGGCAAGUUGUCAUGACUUAACCCAACCUUAAUUUGGAUAAGGUUCAAAAAUUAUUUAUAAUCUUAGGGUACAAUUUUAUUUCCCCAAACUUAAUUAAGGUGAAAUACAAAUAAAAAUUCGAACAACCCAAACCUAAUCUAAAUCCAAUUCAAUAUUUUUAUAAUAAUUAUAAUUUAAAUUAUUUUAUUUAAUAACUUCAUUUUAUUUAAUUUUGUACAUGUUACAAUAAUAAUAUCAAAUUACUAUUUUUCCCCCUUUUUUAUAAAUACAAUAACGGGGCGAAGGCGGUCGACCGGUUCGUCGGGGGUCAGAACUUAAAACGGCCCUCGCGCGCUUCAUUUAUCCCAUUUUCGCCUCAAUAGCUUCCCGCCCCUUCAUAUCCUUGCUUCCCGAAGAGUUUUUGGCCAGAUUUCAGCCCGUUUGCAGGCUGAGGACAUCAUUUUGGGACGGAUUUGGGCUAGGGUUUUGGUUAGAAACCCAGGGUUUCACCUCUUCAAGGCGCCUCCUCUCUUCACCGCGCGUGUGAGGGCUGUUCAGCUUCAUCUCCAGGUGUCUAGGGUUUCGGGUUUGUGGUUGCAUCUUCCUCUUUGCUUUCAUUCCCUGUUUGGACUCCUUCUUCACCUCUUUCACUUCAUUGAUGGCACCACGGAGAGAGACGAGGACUUCCAGGGCUCAGGGCAAGCGCCCUGUUGACCCAUCUCAGCCUGAGCAGCCGGAGGCUCGCCGAAAGGCGAGGUUUGACACGGCACUUUUCAGUUCGAAUGAGGACUAUCAGCGCUACAAGCAAAAAUUUGCUCAGAGGAAAGUCAUCCCUGGGAGAAGUGUGAAUUUCUCCCAACUUCAGCACUUUGGCUUUGAGGGGUUGUUCGGACGGAUGGGAUGGCUGCCCAUAGUGACGAUCUCUGAGCCCGUCUUCCCGACUCUGGUGCGGACUUUCUAUUCUCGGGCGAGUUACGAGGUUGGAGGACCCGUAUUAUCCACUAUGAGAGGCGUUCAGAUCCGUUUGAGUCCGGAGAGCAUCUGCCGCAUUCUCGACAUCCUUUCGGUUGGACUCCGUGUUUAUGAGGCCAAGGUGUGGCCCACUGUGCUGGGAUUUGAGCCUACAGAGGCUGUUCAGAGGUUGUGCGGACUUGCCGAUCCUCAGGGGAUGGGCAAACCAUCGGCUCACAGUUUGACAGUGACUAGCCAAGUCCUUCACCAUAUGAUUUGUUCGAUUCUCUUGCCACGUGGAGGACAUCUAGACGAGGUCUCCUACCUCGAGGCUUUCAUUGUUGACUCGAUCCUCACCGGGAGACGGAUUCAUGUUGGCUACCUUAUGAUGAUGCACAUGAUCUCCUGUGUUGAGAGCUCGACACGUGUACUCCCCUACGGCCGUUUCCUUACCCGUGCUUUCAAGGAUGCCGGGAUCGACUUGAGUAGAGAGAUAGAUAUUGAGGCCCCCACCACUUAUGACACGUAUGAUGCGCAGUCUCUGGGGCGCAUGAAGUUCGAGAAGGCACCCGAUGGCUCAUGGGUUAGGAAAGCCAACCGACAGGCUCGGGGACAUGAUCAGAUACACCUUGGAGUAGAUGAGGAGGCCGAGAUCAGAGAGAUGGAGGCUGGGUUGGACCCUCAGAGGGACUUUGAGCAUAGAGGGCCCGAUGUUGACAUUCCGCCACCACAUCAGUCAGAGGGCAUUCAUUGUGAGGCUACCUUCUCCGAGCCUAUGAUGACUGAGUCGUCCUUCACAGCAAACCCUUCAUCUCAGCCAUCAUUUACCGAGCUACCAUCUCAGGCUCCUCAUGCUACUGAUUAUCCACCUUGGAUGGAUUUGUCAGCACAGAUCAGCUCUGUCGGGACCCGUAUGGAGGAGUUAGCCGUAGUGCAUGAUACUCGUUUUUCUUCCAUAGAGGAUCACAUCGAUCAGUCUGAGGCCAGCUUCACCUCUCAGUUUGAGCAUCUCGUAGAGAGGAUUGAGCGGCUUGAGAGCCGCCAGGAGAGUCACCACGAGGAGCUGAUGGCUUACCUACGUUCUGUGUUUCCACCACCACCUCCUCAGCCUUGAGUGUGUUUGGGAUCCCCCUUCGUUUCUUUUUUAUGUUGCCAAAGGGGGAGAUAUUUAUAGGAUGUACGAUCUAUAGGAUCUACGAGUCUAUCAUGCAUGUCAUUGUUAUCAAUGUCAUAGCUAUCUUAUUGUACAUGUUAGAUUUCCAUAUAUAUAUGAUAUGAUAUUUUUAUCAAUUGAUUCUUCGUGUUUUACAUUGCUUAUCAUAUGAUUGAUCCAUGAUUGGUUUGAGGAGGAGAUUUCUUUCUUUCUCUCCUAGAUAACCAAGGUUUGUCAGCAUAAAAAAGGGGGAGAUUGUUAGCCCAAGGGUUCUCCUAAUCGGGUUUCGAUGAUAACAAACCAUGGUUAAGUAACUAAUUGGUUUAAUGUUUAAGAAUCUCAAGUAGUAACUCCGAAAUUCAUCAAAGGACCAAAUGGUUUUUGUUGGACGUGACAUUUUCUUCUAUGAAAUUAUUAUAUGUGGAUUUGUUGUACUAUUGCUUUGACUCCAUAUAUAGAUUUUUUUUUCCUUUCUGGAAUCCAAAUAUCUUAAACAAAAACUAAUACCCAACUACUCAUGAUAUUUUUUGUUAUGUGCAUUUUACUUGAGCUACUGCCUUGAAAAAAUGUAAACAAGAUGCUGAUAAAUUAUAUAACUAGAGUUAUUGCUAGUUAAUAAAUAAUAAACUACGACGAGAUACUUUAUACAUCUGUUUGUAUAUAUAUCUUGAUUAGUUGCAAAACCAUAACCAAUGCUAUGCUUAUCUCACCAUAAUUUAUUAUAGAGCAACCGGUCGACCGGUUACCUUCAACCGGUUGUCCUGUGGACUCGACCGGUAGACACUGGUCAUUGUGUCUUAUCUGGUCAUUAAUGAUUUUUGGUCCAAUGAAUUAUUGUAUUUGCAGGUAGUUGAUGUGAAACAACUUGACCGAAAUGGCCUUCAAGGAAAUAGAGAAUUCUUGGUGGAGGUUCUCAUGCUUAGCCUCUUACAUCACCCAAACCUUGUUAACUUGAUUGGUUAUUGCGCUGAUGGGGACCAACGUCUGCUUGUCUAUGACUUUAUGCCAUUGGGAUCUUUGGAGGAUCAUUUACAUGGUUAGAUUGCCUGCCUUUUGUGCACUAGUUAUUAACCCAUAAAUAACAAAAGACAGUUUUGUUAUUUUUGCAUGUAGAUCAACCAUGCUGGCAUUUAAUUUAGUGUGAAACUUGAUUUGCAUGUUCAGGAGGAAUGCUUAUCUUGAGGUUGUUUCUUAGCCUUUUAUUUGUCCACCAAGAUCUUAGACGUUUGAGAUAAACAGAAUAGGUUCUUAGAAUUAUACAAUUGUUGUUUAUAUGACAUCAUAGAUUAAUUUCUGACUGUUGGUUGUGGACUGACUUUGGUUUUUUUUCCUUCUUUUCGGAUUUAUUGCAAGCAUUUAUGCACUUAUCGUAUUAGUGUGUGUCUAUAUAUACCUCUUUCAAUUGAACAUGGUAUGCUAACAAGAGGAUUACAUAGAAAAAGGAGAUGCUUUAAUUGAGAGCUAAAAUUCAAAUACCAGCAUUGUCACCAAACAGAGACACAAUAAGAAGACAAGAAAAAUAUCACAGCCUCAUAAGUUCCCUUUUGUAGCUUCAGUAUGAGCAGCAUCAACCACAUGCAAAAAGAAAAGAAAGGUUCAGAAACUGACAAGAUCAAUAUCUGCAGGAUUGUCAAGGCCGCGUUUGACAACAGCAUCCAAUUGAGGGAACUCUUCUAUAGCAAACAAUAUUGGGGCUGUUAUUAUUCCCUGUAAAAUAAUCAAAAUUGUCUCCACUUACAAUUACAACAUAAUACGCAUUAAAUAGUAUACAGCCAAAAAUUAAAAUUAAGUCCGUAGUGGAACCCACUAUAAAAAUGCAUAGUUCCCACAUGCUUUGCAAAAGUUAGUAGUAGCAUUUUCCCACAUUCCAUAUUAGUGCUAACAGAUUAACCUUUCUAGGGCAAAAUAUAGCAAAUGUACAAUUGUUAGUGCCUACACUUAAGGAUAUGUUUCAAGAAAGAAAAGUAAUGCAACACUGAAAUUGAAUUUAGAAAUGAAUUGAAACUAUUGCAUGAGACAACACAAGCAAAAAAUGGUGCAACAGUUCAAUUAAAAUUUAAAAUAAAUAGCAACUAUUAGAUGAGGCCACUGAAGAGAUAACAAUAACAAAGACUUAAAAUGACAGCAGUAGGACAAGCCAAAUGAAUUUUUUAUCUGCCAUUCAGUUCCUUCUAGGGUCAUGUCCUCCAUUAAAUUUAAGACAAUUGAAGAAACAUUGUGAGGAAAAUAGCAGAUUUCCUGACACUUCUGUCUACCACAUUUAUAUCUUUGCUUCAAUGAACUUUUCAAGCUCAAGAAAACUUUUCUACAUUAACAUUAUACAUCAAAGAAAGAAGGAUUACAUUACGGAUGUCAGACAAUGAACCCUUCCCCAGGGAAGCUGAUGUGCCUGUGAAAUCAAGGACGUUAUCUAUUAAUUGGAAUGCCAAUCCCUGUCCAGAAAAAAGGGCAGCACCAGACCAAUCAGAUUGAAAGAGACAUAAGAAAGAAAACCACAGCAAACAACACCAAUAUCUUCUCCACAAUAAAUCAUAGCAAUUGCACCAAGUCACUACAUGCCAAAUCAUUGGGGACAGUGCUGAUGUCAUUUUGCCAAAAUAAAUGAACGGUACACUUUCAAAAAAAAGACAUCAGUGUCCCUCCACUGUGAUAGGCAGUGCAGCAGUUGGAAACAAGAUUGCAAUAGCAACAAUAGCAAUCAACAAAAUGGAUCCAGAUUCAACCACUUGUCAUAAAAAAACUAAAUUAAAAUAUUCAGAUAUCUCAAUAUUAUACAAAGAAGUUGGCAAGAAGAGUGAUGUUUUGAGAAGCGUAAUUUCAAAAGUAUCCAAGAUACUGAUAUGUAUAUUUGUCAUCUUUCUAGACCCCAAAUUGAUGGAAUGACCCUAUCAGAUCAAAUAAACCAUGAAAAAAGCCCAAAUAAAACCAAUUUGUAGUUUAUUUAAGUAAUCAAUUUCUAGAUGUUCCUAUAGAAAUUAAAGUUUUUCUUCUGAUUUACAUGUUUAAUAGGUGUAGGGUCAGGUGAGAGACCAUUUCAUUUUGAGGAGAGAGAAAAUGAAUUUGUCAACUAGAAUCUCUAGAUUUGUCUAUUAGGAGAUAAGACCCAUGAACUCAAAGAGAUUACUCCACUAAGCUUACUCCAAACAUAUAAUAGAAAGAAGAUGAAGCUAAGGAAUUCACAAACCAGAUUCUUGGCAUACUCGAAGGCCAACAUUGAAACUUCCGCAGUUUGCCCUGCAAGAAGAGCACUAGCCUUGCUGCUGUUUGAAAUCAAAGAUGCAGUCUUGUAGUAUGUCUUCUGCAAAUAAUAUUCCAUGCUGCAAUCACAAACAAUUAUUUUCACAUAAUUUACUGAAAGGACCAUCUUAAUGUGCAAACACAGGAAUAAGACUUGAUAAUCUAUCAAAAUGGAUGUUUAAUAUGCUACAAAUAAUCCCAUAAUCCAAAACAAACACAACUCCAUGUGUUGACAUGUGAAAAUUACUUCUAAUUCAUGUAACAGGGGUAUAAUUUGAUUCUCUAUAUGUCAGAAUUUAACAGGAUCGUUGUGAACUAUGCCUCUUAUAUACAGUUUUGUUUUAUACUCUAAAAUGCUUUAAACACGUGCUCUAUUUGUAAAUAAUUUUUUUUCUAUAAAUUUGUUUGUAUUUUAUCUUAAAUACUAAAUCUCAGACAUAAAUUUUUAUUAUUUUUAUUCAUUGUGAUGAAGUUAAUUCAUAAGUAGACAACUUUAUACAUCCAAGAUAGAGUUGACUAACACAGUCAUGAGUGGAAAAAUAAAGGGACAGUUUCCACAAGGAACAAGGGAACUCAGAAGUGAGGGGACUGAAUGCCUUAUGGUUAUUUGAAAACAUACUAUUUUGUUCUUUGCCUCUUUGAGCUGUAACUGGUGUUUCUUAUGGUUCGUUCCUAGAUUUUUGUAACCUUCCUUAGUUUUCCAACUUGUAUGAUUCCUUUUAAGGAGUUUCUUCUUUUCUUUUGAUCAGAUUUGUAUAUUGUGGAAGGAUGUCUCAUCCCUCUUGAUCUUUAAAAUUAAUAGAAAAGAUUUAGGGUUGGUUUGUUUUUUUAACUUAAGUCUCAAAGCAAGUUGCUUUAAGAUUUAAGAUAAAAAUAAAAUAAAAUUUUAGAGCCUCUUUGGGAAUUGUUUCUAAGAUAGUUUUUUUUUUUUUCUCUUUUUGAUAGAAAAAAUGUUUUUUCAGAACUUGUUCUGAAAGUAAAGUGUCUGUUGAUAACACACUUUAAUUGUUUUAGUUGUUUUGUAACGGUUGGUUUAAAAAAUACUUGUAUAAAUAUGGAGAAUGAUUAAAAAGAACUCACUACAAAUUUAAGAAAUAUUAGAAAACAUAGGAAACAAGUUAAAAGCAUACCAAGAUCCAAAAUAAAUUCUUAUUCUAAAAAACACUGAGAACUGUUUGCGAAAACUGUUUUAAACAACUAUUUUAAAGAAGUUCCCAAACAAACCCUUACAUUUGACAUUAAGACAAAAUUGUCAUAGAAAAAGUGGUAAGUUAAAAAACAAACAAUUUUAAAAAUGACUUAAACUCCUAAAAAAACUUGCUUUAAGACUUACAUAUAAAAUAAAAAAAUAAAAAAAAUCAAAAAGAAAAUAAACAACUUAAUACUUAAAACUAUUGAGUACUAUUUAGACUUAAGUUAAAUUAAGGUCUAUUUAGAUUUAAGACAAAAAAAAAAAACAAAUGUAUCCUAAGUGUAUUUAUGAGAAGUAGGAUUGGUAAUACUUUUAGCAAUUCUUUGAAGGAGUUCUUUGUAGAAGUAGUAGCAGUAGUGAUGUAAUGAUGUAUUUUUUAGGCGAAAGAAAGACAGGAUAGAUGACUUGAUGGUGGAGCUGACACUAGAUGCUGACAGGCUCAACCACUGCAUGAGAGAUUGUGUUUAUGACACUUCUCGAACCGUAUCGACCCGACAGGCUACACCGGUCGACCGGGCAGGCUAAACUGGUCGACCGUCUGGCACAUAGUCUCGACCGGUUGCCAUUUUGACCCCGAGAAACUUCCUUUUCAAAUUCAUUUCUUUUCUACUAAUUAUGCAAGGUCUUUAGGUGAAUUAAUAUGCCAUUUUAUAAUCAAUUUGCCUAAGGUAUGUUUGCAAAAACUCGGGUUUUAAAGAAAAGCAAGUUUUAAAGAAUAAACUGAGUUUUGUAAGAUGCAUGAAAAGGUAUGAACAUCCUAAGUGCACUCGUGCUAUCAUCCAACAUUUAUUUCCUAUGAUCUCAAGUCUUCGAAGCGUCUCGAUCAUCUAUCCAUUUGGUCCUUUGAUGAAUUUUCGAGUGUAUACCUGAGAUUCUUAAAAAUUUAAAACAAUUAGUCACUUAACCAUGGUUUGUUAUCAUCAAAACCCGCUUAGGGGCACCCAUUCGGCUAACAAUCUCCCCCUAUUUGAUGAUGACAAACCUUGCUUAUCUAGGAGAGACGAAAUCUCCCCCUCAAUCCAAACAUGGAUCAAUUAAAGCGAAAAUUUUAAAUGACAUGCAAAAUUUCAAUAGGAGACAUUGUGAAUUGUGAAAAUAGCAUAUCAUAUAUAAUAAUAUCGCAUAUACACAACACAAGACUAAUGAUAUGGAAAUGUCAUGCAUCUGUGUGCCCCCUACAUCAUAUAAUUUCUCCCCCUUUGGCAACAUCAUAAAGAAACGAAGGGGAGGGGGGGUGAUUACUACUCAAAAAGGGCUAUUUGAUAGCUUGUAAUUAACUCUUUUAAACACUUUUGAGUAGUAAUUAUUGCCUUUUAACCCAAUUAACAUAUUAAGGACCUUUGCAAUCACUUCUAAUCACUUUGUGUAAGUUUUGGUGUUUUUGUUAGUAAUUUGAUCACCAAGGCAAUCCAAGAUGGAGGAGAGUUAUUUGGAAUCCAUGGCAAAGCAAUGGAAAGCUCAGAAACAUGAAGAAUCAGAGCUUUGAAGCCUUAAAGUCCUUUGCCAUAACCAAUCCGGAAUGCAAGGAGGAGAAGUAAAGAGAGAAUCUACCUUGAAGCAUCCUUGAUGACAGUAAUUUCAGCCACUUUUGGAGUACUUCCUAAAGUCCAAUUUAUGCAUGCUUUAUGUCGUUUCGAAGAUCGGGAAGUCAACAAUCCAAUGCUUCAAACGGUUCGCAAAUCAGAGUUGAAAUGAAGAAGUUAGAGCCAAUGGAAGCAGAUCACUCCAAGCUGAAGGCCAAUUUCGCAGGGCUGCGAAAUCAGCCUUUGGCUGCGAAAUCAGCCUUCGGCUGCGAAAUUUCGCAGCCAUUUUGUGCGCCUGCGAAAUUCUCCUGAGUGCUUCCAGAUAUUUGCGACCAACGUUUUUGGAUAUUUUGCUUCAGAUAUUUGUUGUCUAAAUCCCAAUUCUCUCCUUGUAAUCCACCAAUUAGAUGAUUCCUUAGUUGUUAAGCAAGAAUACAGGGGUAAACAACCUGUUAUAUAUUGUUUUGUAAUUUUCAUUUUAUAGGCCCGUCGUCGGGGAACUUUCCCCAGGAGACCAACUUAUGUAAAUUUUACACUUAGCUAAAUACAGGGUAUCUUUUGCUUUCUUUUUCUCUCUACUAUUUUCUAUUUUCUUAGUAGCCAAACAUCCUUGGAGGAUGAAAUCCCCAAGGAUGAGAGGCUAAAACCUUUUAGUUUCUUGAAGUAAUGGAUGCCAUGUGAAGCUCCCGUGUCAGGAUGGAGAUUUCCAAGCCAUAAAUGUAAGUAGUUGAGCAUCAUAAAUGUUUUCAUUCAAAGUAAAGCUUUUAAUCCCUCUGACUUGCUUUGAAUGGCCAAUACUUGAUAACCUUUUGGUCUCAGUGGAUUCUUAUUGUUAGAUCCACUGACGUUCAUUAGUUAUCUCCUACGAGCCAUUGUAUUGCAAGUCGAGGAGAUGACCUAUAUCAUUAAAAGAGCAUUUAUGAGGUUCAGCUACCCUUUUUGUAAGUUUUCAAGGACUAAAACUUAGUUGUUAAACACAUACCGGUUCGGGAAGUAAGCAUCACCUGAGUUGCUUCCCCAACUCGAGGUGAAAAGUUCCAAAAUCUCCAUUUUUACACCGUGAGUUAAGCAUGGCUAUCCAAAGCUUUGAGAAACUUCUUUUUCCAUCUUUUAACCUACUUGCAUGUUAGUUUAGUUUACAACACCUUCAUCUUUUUAUGUUUUCAUCUUAAUCUAAUUUUUAUUAAGAAAAGUUCACUCCAUCCUCCGAACUUCACCAGUUAAAGUAAAAACCCUUCCCAGUGUUCGAUCCUAGAGCCACUAUGCUAUAGUAGCUUUGCUACUUUAGUGUAAGGACCUUAGGUAUAAAUUUUGUUGAUACCCUUACAUGCCAAGCUACCAAGAGUCGGGUUAUCAGGGGGAGGGGGGGUCUCGAAUAUAUCAAGGCGGAGGUGGAGAAAACACUGAGCGAAGGUAGGCCAUCAUCUCCUCAUGCUGUUGAUCCAUAUGCUCCUCAAGAUGCCCAAGUCUCUGAUCGAGAUGCUCAAACUGAGAGGUGAAGUCGGUCUGAUACUCAUCUAUGCGAUCCUCCAUAGAGUGGAAACGAGUAUCAUUGACAACUGCCAGCUCCUCCAUACGAGUCCCGAGAGAAAUGAUCUGAGCGGAUAAAUCCAUCCAAGGCGCAUGAUCAGGUGUGUGAGGUGGCUAAAAUGGUAUCUCUGCGUCAUAAGGCUCAGAUGGUCCAGUUGUGUAUGCCGGCUCAGAUAUCAUCGGCUCAGGAGGAGGAAUGUCGCACUCAGGCAUGCUCUGAACAAAGUCCCUCUGAGGGUCUAGGCCACCCUCCAUCUCUCGAAUCUGGGCAUCCUCCUCAUCUACAUGAUGCAUAUGUCCCUGCCCAUGGGCCUGUGCCGGUGGUCGCUCAGCUCUCCUGAUCCAAGAGCCAUCAGGGGCCUUCUCAAACUUCAUCCGCCCCAGAGACUGCUCGUCAUAUGUGUCAUACGUGGUUGGGGCCUCCAAAUCUGUCUCGCGGCUCAAAUCAACCCCGGCAUCCUUGAAUACUCUCGUGAGGAAGCGACCAUAGGGGAGGACGCGGGUCUUGCUCUCACAGCAAGAUAUCAUAUGCAUCAUCAUCAAGUACCCGACAUGAAUCCGUCUCCCUGUCAAAAUGGAAUCCACUAUGAAAGCCUCGAGGUAGGAUACCUCGUCUCGAUGUCCACCCCGUGGCAAAAGAAUGCAGCAGACCAUGUGAUGCAGGAUACGACUGAUCACUGUCAGGCUAUGUGCAGAGGGUUUGCCCAUCCCCUGGGCAUCGGGAAGUCCACACAGCCUCUAAAUAGCCUCUCUGGGCUCAAAUCCUGGCACCGUUGCCCACACCUUGGACUCAUACACCCUGAGUCCAACUGAUGGUAUAUCGAAUAUCUCUCCGGACUCAAGGUGAUCUCAACUCCUCUGACAGUGGAAGUGAUCGAUCCUCCAACCCCGUAGGUCACCCGUGAGUAGAAAGUGCGAAUCAGAGUCGGGAAGAUAGGCUCCGAAAUAGUCACCACUGGCAGCCAUCUCAUCCGUGCAAAUAUCUCCUCAAAUCCAAAGUACUUAAGCUGGGAGAAAUUGAUGCUUCUCUCGGGAACAACUUUCCUCUGGGCGAAUUUUUGUUUAUAUCUCUGGUAGUCUUCGACAGAGCCGAAAAGAGCGGUGUCGUACCUCGCCUUUCGGCGAGCCUCAGACUGAUCUGGCUGAGAUGGGUCAGCAGGGCACUUGCCCUGAGCCCUGGAAGCGGCUGACUCUCUCCUAGGCGCCAUCCGAAAUGAAGAGAUGAAGGAGACGAGGCUGAAGAGAGGGAUGCUCACACACCUGCAAGGCCUAACGUGCGGGAAGACACUGACGCAGGCUCUGGUGCGUCUACUGAGGAGGAAAUCGCCCAAAUACGAAGCCCUGGGUCCCAAAUUCGAAAACCCUACCCUCCAAAAUCCAAUCCGUAGCCCGCUGAAGGUUGUAAUGGUGGCAAAAAUCCCUUCAGGGCAGCUGGAACGGCACAAGGUUUGACGAACCAGAAGAAAGUAGUGAGAAAGUGAGGCGCGGGAGUCUUUUUAAAUUCUAAUCCCCGACGAACCGGUCGACCGAAAUGAAACUAGUAGUAACUUUUGAGAUGAUUUGUGGAAAAGUUUUCCUUAUGCAUAGACUUUAACAUCUUAGCAUGCUAACUUUGUCCAAUGAUAUUUGCACCUGUUUCACAACAGUACUCAUUUUUCCAAUAUUUCAUUUUUCAUUGAAAAAAAACAUAGAUGAAGGCUCCAUCAGUAUGGAAAGGAAAAUCAGGUAAAGAAACACCCAAACUGUUGAAAUAAAUUAAACAUUAGAAUAUUUUAAAUUGAAAUAAAUAUUCAAUUAAUAAAAUUGAAAAAUAUUUGAUAUUAUUUUAAAUUUAAAUGUUCAAUUUAAUUUGAACAUUUAGUAUCUAUUUGGGUAAGCUUUCUAUUCUUUGUUUAAAAAAAAAAAAAACCAAUAGUAACUUCUAAAUAAAUUGGGUUAUUAAAUAACUUUUAUCACCUCAUUUUUUUUAAUUAAUUUUUAAGGACAGAAGGUGAGCUUAUAUUUUGUACCUAAAAUUUCUACUUCUAUAUAUCAAUCUAGCAAAGGAAAAAAUGUUGAUAAUUAUGGUAGAUAAUUAUGAAUUUUCCAAACCCUGUCUUGCUUCUUAUUUCAUCAAAAAAAAAAAAAAGAAAUUGUUGUCUUUGAUUGUUAUUCAUAUAGUUUGUUUGGGAAUAAUUGACUUAUUUGUUUGGCAUUUGCCUGGUUAUUGUUGUAGGACAUCAUGAGUGAUGCUGAAGAUGGUAGUGAUGAAGGAUCAGAGAGUGAAGAAGGUACCUGCAUCUCUUCUGUUGGUAUUAUGUUAAACCAUUUUUUUGUUCUGUUACCUGCUACCUAUAAUCGUGCCAUUUGUCUUUGUGUAGAUUCAACCAGGAAAAAAGAGGCCAACUGAAUCUGCCACAAAAACACCUGUUCCUGCUAAAAAGGCUAAAUUAGUUUCACCUCAAAACACAGGUGAUCUUCAAUGUUUGUAAUUUGUGGUUUUUAUAGCUGUCUUUAGUUAUUGAUGCAAGGGCUAUGGAUAAUUAUGGUUUUAUGAGUGUAUCUGUAUAAUUUCUAUGCCACACUAUCCUGAUAUGUGCUUUUUUCCCCUAGUUAAAUAAUUUAAUACGAGUAAAUUUGGAAUGCAUAGGUGCCCCAUUCAUAAGGUAUUCAUCUUACCUUACGAUAAUUUGAAACCAAUACUCAAAUCAGAUAAGCAGCUAAUUGACUACUGCUUGUAUCCUAUGUGGCUAGCAUCGUAUGGAAUAUAAUUGUUGUAUCCUAAAAAAUGCAUUGUAAGUGAUAUAUUGAUUUUGUGUGGUUUCUCCUAUGAUAUAAUUUCUAUUCAUCUUUGUGAUUUAUGAGAGCAUUUCUGCAGGAGGUUAAUUUCUAUCUGAACUUGGUAUUUUUCCUCCUAAGUUUUUAAUCUGUUUGUUUUUAUUGGUAUUUUCAUGGGAACUGUCAUCCUUCUAUUUAUUCAUCUCUCCACCAAAAAUUGUUUUUACCUUGUUGGACAUCCAUUGAUAAAUUUGUUAGCAUAUCCCAAAUAACCUUCAAAUCUUAUUUGAAAUAUGUUUGAAAUCUCCUUUGUUCUGAUAUUGCAUUUUAAUAAAUUUAUCAAAUUUUUGAUAUAUUUCUCAUUCAUCUAUUGAGAGUAGGAGUCUCCUCUGACAGCUUCCGUUUUAACCCUUUAGUUUUAUCCAUAAUUCAUUCUAUUGUGGUGGAAUUCAUUAUCUGCUCAUUGCUCGUCAAUAUUCUGUUAAUUGUCUGCUAAUUGUCUGUCAAUAUCCUGCACCCUACAUUCCCAAGUUCAUUUGAAAAAUUAUGAUGUGAACUGAGAGAGUACUUGACAUGGAGCAAUUAAAAUGUUUUUUGUUAAAAUGUUCUAUGGCAUGAAUUUUGUGUUAAUGCUGAAAAGAGUGUUGCUUAUGGGGUGCAGAUGGUAAGAAGGGUGGGGCUCAUACAGCAACUCCUCAUCCUAACAAGAAGGCGGGGAAAACUCCUGCUACCGGUGACAAAGGCAAGGAGCAGAGCCCAAAAUCUGGUGGCCAAGUCUCUUGCAAAUCUUGCAGCAAGUUCGUCAUCUGAACUCACAAAGCUCCUUUUCUUUUGAUUCUAGAAACAAUGGAAAGUUUUUUGAAUAACUCAUAUGCUUUCUCUUGUUAAUAAUAACAGGACAUUCAACUCAGAAAAUGCGCUUCAAUCCCAUUCCAAGACUAAGCAUGGUGUCUCUUAGAGCAAAAGAAGUCUGUCUGUCGAAAUCAGAAAAUGAGCUGAUUAUUAUGCAUCAAGUAUUUCAGUUUUGUCACAACAGAGAGGGAGAGGAGAGGAGAGGAGAGGAGAAAGCUUUGGCUUAAAUUACUAUUUUUGUUAACGUUUUGCUAUUCCUGUACCCCGUCUCUGGCGUCUUAGGAAGUUUUAUUUUCUAGUUAUUGGUUGUGCAAUUAGUCAUAUGAGUCUUUGUUGUCCCAUGAACUUAACUUAUCAUCUGCUUUUAUUCAUAUGGCGUGUGUUUGUAACAUGCAAAUUAUAUAUCUUCAAGCCCAUCUCUAUGAUUUUCUUUCUUAUUUAUUUUCCUAGCUAUCUCCUUUCCGAUACUAUCUAAACAUGGGAAAAUGAUUAUUAUCAACAUUUUUUCCUUUGCUAAAUUGAUAUAUAGAAGUAGAAAUUUUAGGUACAAAAUAUAAGCUCACCUUCUGUCCUUAAAAAUUAAUUAAAAAAAAUGAGGUGAUAAAAGUUAUUUAAUAACCCAAUUUAUUUAGAAGUUACUAUUGGUUUUUUUUUGUUAGAGAAUACCUUACACAUGUGUUCAACUUUAUUUGCAAAGUAGUGUUUUGUUAAGUGUUGAGAGACACCUAAUACCCAAGGCCUCCUUCAAUUGUUUCUGAAGAAACAAUUGCUCACCUUAGUAAAUGUGAUUUUCUUUCAAGAGCCCCUGCCUUCCGAAGGGAAAUCCCUUUGAAUCCACUCCAACCUCAAUUUGAUUGUCCUUGGCAUGCAAAAUAAAGACACAAAAUAGAUAGAAGAACUAAAUAAAAGGUUUUGAAUUAGAGUGAGCCUUUAUCCUUUAAAGAUAUAUUGUCUUUUUCUUAUAUCUAGUCUUUUGUGGAACCUGUCUUUCACUCCAUUUGAAGCCACCAUAGAUUUAAAAGGGGUACUAAGAGGAAGACCUAAGUAAGUAGACAGAAGACCACCCGCCUUAUAACCAAUCUCUAAAGGCCACUCUUCUAAGUUCUCCAUCAUUUCCAUUGGAAUUAAUUUGCUCUAAUCUAGAUUAAUUUACAACCUUAAUAUAGCCUCAAACCACAUAAAAUCGACUCAAAUAAGUCAUUUGGUUCAAAGAAGACUUACAGGAAAAAAUAGGAUCAACAACAAACAAAUUGUUGGACAAAAGUAAACACUACAGCUGCAGAUGGAUGUGUAAUGGAAAUUUAAAGGCUCACAACAAUGGAAAUCAAUGGCUCACAAGUGAGGAUUAAAAAUUAAAAGUUAAAACAGUGCCCUUAAUGGGGAAGUCAAAAGUGAUCCAAUGCCAUCGGCCUGUUACCAGCAAUCUCAUUUUCAUUUAUAGCACCAUUCUAGAAUUGAUAUUUGAACUUCAAGUCUAUGCAAAACACAAUGGAGAUAUUUGUUUUCAUAAGACAUCCAAAUGCACCUCAAAUAAAAAUGUAUUUAAAAUAGUAAAUAAAGAAUGGGUUUAAUAAGGAAACCAGAGGGCCAAAACUCAGUACGAUAAUUCAUGCAAGCAGGCAAGCAUAGCUCACCCUAUUGUAGUAAGUAUUAACCGGUCGACCGGUUGUAUUCGACCGGUUGACCUGGGAACUCGACCGGUAGACACUGGUCAUUUUUUGGUGCGAGUCCCAAAAUGGUCAGUGGCUACCGGUUGCAAACCAACAUGUGACCGGAUGAUGCUAUUUAUCGACCGGUUGACACUGCCAUUUUUUUUCCCCCAAAACCAAAAGCGGGACUUGCUACCGGUUGAUGCAUUGCCUCAUCCGGUUGAAAAUACCCAAGUUUUAUUAAAAAAAAUAUAGUAGGCUGACCAUAUUCGUAGACAUUAUAGUAGAUUAGACAAAGGGAGGAGAAUACAUACGUUUUACGAUGAACCAAUACUGAGUGUAACCUUCCUAACGCAUGAUUCUUCUAUGGUUUUGAUGGAAAUAGUCAUAACCUUCCUUUUGCCAUCCGAAACCAGGGAUUUCAGACUCAGUAUUUAAAAUACAAAAAUUUUCAUGGCACCCAAAUGGGAACCUACAUUAUGUGAUGUCUACCAACAAUUUAAAAUAUACAGAAGAAGGUUUAAAGAGAUGAAAAUAACCUAUAUAUCAAGAGCUAUAAACAAAAUAAGAUAGGUAAUAUAUAUACAUGUAGAGGAAAAUACAUCAUCCAUAUACCAUCAUUUGCAUUGAGCGAAUACAUUUACGCCAUUUAUGUGAAUGGCCGAUGACAACAUCCAUAAGUAAUACGAGAAGUCAUAAUAACAAAAGGGCAUUUAUAUUAGCCAAAUGUCAAAAAACAGAAUGAAAGUUUAAUAACUAUAAAACUAGUACAAAAUGUAGAAGGGGUCAUUAAUGGUCUGGUCCAUGAAGCGGGAAGUGGGAUCGAAAGAAGACCAUCAUCUCAUCAUGCUGGCGUCGUAUAACUUGCAUACCCUCUUUCACUUCCUCGUGUAAACCAUCAAUGCAAUUCUCCAGAGAUGUCAAACGUCGGUCAUUGGCUAAUACAAUCUCCUCCAAGCGGGUACCAAGGGACUUAAUCUGGGCAUUGAGGUUAUCUGAUGCCUCAGAGUCGUCCGGUCCAAUUAGUGAAGGAUGAUUUGUUAACGCCCUAGCUCUUACACCACCUGUUGAUGGUAUUUGUGUGACAUUUGCUUUUGCAUGAGUUCUUCCCUGUACAUCCUGAUCUUCAUAUUCUUCAUCGUUCGAGGGCCCAUUGUCUGAAGAGACAUCAACCUCUGAGGAGGGAACGGAAGACUUCCUUGCCCAUGAACCAUCUUUCUUCCGUACAAAAUGCAUGCGCCGAAGUGAAGCCCGAUCAUAUGUAUCAAAUGAUUUGAGUUUUUUCCCGUCUGUCUCAUUGCGCAAAUUGACAUUGAAGUAUUUGACAAUCAUUGUGAUAAACAUGCCAUAGGGGAGAACUGAAUCUUCGCUGAUUGAACAUGCUUUCAUAUGUUGGAAAAUUAUGUAACCAAUAUUAACCUUUCUUUCUAUGAGAAUGUUGUCAACCAAAAAAGCCUCCAAGAAAGAUACAUCAUCUCGGUGCCUUUCUUUAGGGAUGAAAAUGUACGAUAUCAUGUGAUGUAGGAUACGACUCAACACAGUCAACAAAUGGGAAGUUGGUCUAUCAGAUCUCGGGUAACCACAUAGCCUCUCUAAAGCUUCUGCAGGUUUGAAACCUUCCACCCUUGGCCACUUCUUAGCUUCAUACAAACAAACCCCUUCGUUUGGAAUCUCUAAAAUCCGACAAAGUGCAGCAACAUCAAAAACGAACUGUACACCGUUAAUCGUUGUAGUAAUGGGUCCUUCGCCUUCGAAUGUCAUAUUGGAGUAUAAACAUUUGACAACCUUGGGAUAAACGAACUCAUUGACGGAGACAAUCGGAAGCCAACCCAUUCUCGCGAAAAGCACAUCGAAAUGGAAAUAACUGAGCUUUGCAAAAGCAAUGUUCCUACCCGGGAUUACGGUCCGAUUCGCAAAGUGAAGAUGAAAUCGUUGGGCUAGGUCAGGGGUUGCGAACGUAGAUCGAUCAAAGGUGGCCUUCUUACGAACCUCCGGACUUGCUUCCACGACCGGUCGUUUAGCGUUGUUGGUGGUGCGUUUUGCUCCAUCCGAGGUGUUGUGGGUGGUUUCGCUUGCUUGUUGUCGGUCGGAGGUCUUUUUGUUGGUCCCGCGCAUCCUUGAUACCGCCGGCCUCUUCUCUUUCCGACCGGGUGAGGAAGCUUCGACCGGUGCUCGUUUUGGGGGCAUGAGUAUUCAGAUGGGCUUCAGGUAUUGCGUGAGGAUGAAGAAGACUGAAGUGGAAGACGGACGGGUUCAGGUCUCACGCGAGGAUGAAGAAGAAUGGAGUAGAAGACAAAGGGGUUGAGGGGUAGAACUGGUUUGAACAUCGGUUGACCUUCGUGGAAAGACAUCCACUUUAUGAAGUAAUUAAAUUUUAAUUAACUUAAUGUCUUACAUUAUAUUUGUUACACUUUUAAUGUAAUAGUUUCCAUAUGAACUGAUUAAACCUAUAAUGGAUUAAAUGAAUAAAUAUUUUGAUGUACCUUAAAGAAAUUAAUUGAAGUUAAUUUCACAAAAUUUAUAUUAAGGAAAAUAAAAAAUGAGAACUUAAGUUAAUUAAAUCAUAUAAAUUAACUAAUCUUUUUGAUAGGUACGAUAUAGUAUAAUGAACUCACUAAGAUAUAGUCACACCUAUUAGAUUAAAAUUGUAAUUAACUAACAUAUACUACCAUAGGGGCAUCAAAAUUAAUUAUGGUUGUAUGACAAAAUGUUCGAAUAAGUACGAUAUACCAUGGUGAGUGAAAUAAAUUAAUGAAUCUGAAUUUAUUUAAAAUAUCCAUAAGUAGAAUAUCAUAACUUAUCUCAUUUUACGUAAUUAAGUGUAAUUAACCUACCUUUAUCAUGUCUAGGAUAUAUUAUGAAGCAUUAAUUAAAAAUAAAUUACGUUAAUUCAUGGAAAAAUAUAGUGUAAUGAACUCACUAAGAUAUAGUCAGACCUAUUAGAUUAAAAUUGUAAUUAACUAACAUAUACUACCAUAGGGGCAUUCAAAUUAAUUAUGGUUGUAUGACAAAUUGUUCGAAUAAGUACGAUAUACCAUGGUGAGUGACAUAAAUUAAUGAAUCUGAAUUUAUUUAAAAUUUCCAUAAGUAGAAUAUCAUAACAUAUCUCAUUUUACGUAAUUAAGUCUACUUAACUAACCUUUCUCAUAUAUAGGAUAUAUUAGGAAGCAUGAUUUUAAAAAAAAAUACCGUUAAUUGAUGAAAAAAUAUAGUAAGUAGGAAACGGUAUCAAAACAUAGUUACAAUAAAUAGGCUAAACAACAGUAACAAAUGUCAAUAUUAUCAAUUAAGUCCAUAUAUCCCCUUUAUAUUUUGUUAAGUUAUACACAUAUCCAUUUGCAAUGGGUGUAAAAAAUAUCCACAUUAGGCUGACUUUCCCAACUGAUAUAAAUGUUAUAUUUAAUGGCACCUAAAAAACUGAUGCAAAUAUCCAAACUAUCAACCACUAAGUGUACCAUUGUUGGUAGGUUUUCAACAUGUGGCAGCCUAUUAAAAAAUGUAAUAACUCCAUCAACCAACCACAUACAUAUAUUACUAUAUAUUUGGGGGAGUUUUAGUAUUGUAAGAACCUUACCAUCUGAACGAGGUCUGCUAUUUUUUGGAGAACAGGUCACAAAAAACAUCCAGAAGACAAAUCUUCAGGUCAAGCUGCAUCACACUUGGACCUUCCAUUUUAACGGUAUGAUCUUUAACUCAAUAAAGAAUAGAUAAACAAAUCCAUAAUACAUUUUUUAAGCUGAAUGCCUUCAUCUUUGAAAUGGAUGGGGGAAUAUUUCCAAAACCUAAUAGUGAUUUUUAAAUGGUAUGUAUUGAUGUUAAAGAGUUUGGAUUUUGAUUGUCUAAAGCACAUUGUUAGUAAUAUGCAUCAGUGAUCUGUUGAACAGUUGAGAUUAAUUUAGUUAAUAUAAGUGAGUCAUGUUGGUUGUAAAAAUCACAACAUCAUCAAAAUGAUAGGGUAAUACAUAUUCAAAUGACUUAAAAAGAGAGAAUCAACCUUAAGAAAUGUGUAUUAUUGACUCCCAAUAUGGGGUAAGUUUGGAAUAAGUUUGGCGGUGUACCCAAAAGCUUCCGUGCUUUUAGAUAGAAUUAUAUAAAAGUCAUUUUCCAUGUUUUUAAAGAAAGUGGAUGAGAGGUAUUAAUUAUUGUGACUGGCAAACUCCUUGAAGAUGGCAACUAAGAUUAAUGUUGGAAAUUUUGUUAACAUAGUAUGCCUAAAUAGGGCAACAUUAUAACGUUCAGAUAAGGAAUGAAGGCCUUAAUGAAAUCAACAACGAAAAGAAACAAUUAGCUAAUCGGUUUACAUAUUAGGCCAGUAGCUACCGGAUGAGGAAUUUCCUCAACCGGUUGAGAAAAAUCCUCAACCGGUAGCAACUGGUUAAAAAAAUCCUCAACCGGUUGAGGAUUUUCAUCAACCGGUUGAGGAAUUUCCUCAACCGGUUGAGCGAAUGGGUAUCAACCGGAUGAGGAAUUUUCUCAACCGAUUGAGGAAAUUCAUCAUCCGGUAGCUACUGGCCAAAAAAAUUCCACAACCGGUCGACCGGCUUAAUGCAACCGGUAGAUAGAUAUUCUCAACCGGUAGACACUGCCAAAUUUUGUGAACAGCACCAAAAUGCAUCCGGUGAAUUUGUAGCUCAACCACAUUAUAAUAGCUUAGAGCAAGGGAAGAGAGUAGAUUCGGGUUACGAGGAAACAAAAAAUUGAACCGAUUGUUGUUUUAUGCUCAUCAAGACCAACAACACCAUCCGCUACCAAAAAAAAGUUGGACAAUCUGAAAUAUUGUUAUUGCACAAGGACCGCCAAAAGCACUACAACCUUAGCCUCAACAGGAGAACCAUGUCUACGAAGUUGAACUUAACUAUUACUUCACUUGGUUGUCUAAGGACAAUUUAAAUUAUGUGCGUUUCUGUAUAGAUGUCAGACGUGGAUCAUUGUCUAAUGCCAUAUUUUGAGGGUAUUGGUGUCGCACUUGCAUUUUUCACAAGUUAUUUCCUCAACAUAAUGAUUUUUAAGUGAUAUUUAAUGAUUUUAAAAAGUUUUGCUUAUGAUUGUGUAUAGCAGAGUAGUAUCAAUUUUGCAACAUAUGACCUUUUAAAUGGAAAAUCAUGGGGAAAUUAUCACGUGUGCAGUCUACACCGGUUCUAUAAUUUAUCAAAUUCUAAAUUUUUUUCCAAAAAUGAGAAUAGAUGACGUUGUCGAAUUCGGUUUAUCUUCAAGUAUGCAAUCAAUUGAUACAAAAGUGAUACGAUAAUUUGUUAAAGUAUUAUUGGGGAAUUUUUUUACCUUAUUUAUGUAAUGUAGAUCAUGCAAUCGGUGAAGGAGAAAACAAUCAAGCGGGAGUUUGAAGUGAAGGAGGAGGACGUCGUCGAUGACGAUGCAUUUAUCGGUGCCACUUACGACCUGGGUGGAAACGGUUUGAAACAGAAGGUGUUGAAGGGUAUUUCAGAUGAAGAAGUCUACAAAUUGCAAUUCGAUCGCAUAGAUGAGGCUGAAACAUUUUACAACAUGUUAGCUAGAGUAGCCGGAUUUAGUAUUCGAAAAGAUGAUUUGAAGCGAGACAAGAAUGGAGAUAUAAUAUCUCGAAAGUGGGUGUGUUCUAGAGAAGGACAGCGAGCGACAAAGUUUAUUGAAAAUGACAAGCGACAGCGUGAGCCACGAUCAUUGACUAGGGUUGGAUGUGAAGCUGCAUUUCGUGUAGGCUUGAAUAGGAAAGAUGGAAAGUGGAUUGUAAAGGAAUUUAUAGGAGAUCAUAAUCAUAAUUUGGUCGAUGCUAUCAACACACAAUUCCUUCGGUCUCAUCGAACAAUAAGUAAUCCAGAUAAGGCACAAGUUGAUGUUUUGCGUAAAGUAGGUGUUAAAACCACACAAAUUAUGGACUAUAUGGUAAAACAAUCAGGGGGACAUGAGCACGUCGGUUUCACACAAAAAGAUAUAUACAAUCACGUUGAUGCAAUGCAUAGAAGUGAAAUUAAAGACGGUGAUGCAGAAGCGGCAUUGGCUUAUUUGUGUGGAAAGGCAGAAAUGGAUUCUUCAUUUUUUUAUAAAUUCAACAUUGAUGAAGAAAGUCGACUAGAAAAUUUGUUUUGGGCUGAUUCAACUGCUCGAAUGGAUUAUGCGUGUUUUGGAGAUGUCCUAGCAUUUGACACAACCUAUAGGACAAAUGCCUAUAAAAAGCCUCUAGUAGUGUUGGUCGGUGUUAAUCAUCACCAUCAAACUGUUGUAUUUGGUUGUGCGUUAUUGAUAGAUGAAAGUGUUGGGACAUAUGAAUGGGUGUUGGAGACAUUUCUUGAUGCAAUGAUGAAUAAGAAAUCCAUAUCUGUUGUAACCGAUGGGGAUAAAGCUAUGCGUAAGGCAAUUAAAAAAGUAUUACCCGAUACGUGUCAUCGAUUGUGUGCAUGGCAUUUGCAACGAAAUGCAUUCACGAAUGUGCAUAUUAAGGACUUCUCAAGCAUAUUUUCAAGGUGCAUGUUCAUGCGGGGGAAUGAAGAAGAAUUUGAAAAGGUUUGGCAUGAAAUGGUUGCAAAUUUGGGACUUAAUGAGAAUCGUUGGGUGACCGAGAUAUAUGGGAAACGUAAAAGAUGGGCAGAGGCGUAUUUACAUGGAAAUUUCUUUGGAGGGAUGAGAACCACACAAAGGUGUGAGAGUAUGAAUGCAUAUCUAAAUAGAUUCUUAAAAAUUCGCUUGCGAUUGUAUGAGUUUGUACAACAAUUUGAUAGAGCCAUACUAAGAAUACGGCAAAACGAGGCAAAGGCAGAGUUCGAGUCGAACAAUUCUUCACCCGUGCUUUCAACCAAACUAGCCAUACUUGAAAAUCAUGCUGCGACGGUAUACACAAAAGAAUCUUUCCUUAAAUUUCGUGAGGAGAUGAAAAAUGCUGAGUUAUUCUUUGUGGUUGGUGUUGUAAGUGAUCAUUCAAUGCGGGCAUACAGCUUAUCUAAGUUUAGACACCCGAACUUAAAUUGGGAAGUACAAUUUUGCCCGGAUAUUGUAACAUUAAAAUGCUCAUGCAUGAUGUUUGAGUCAAUUGGCAUCCCAUGUUGCCACAUGGUGGUGGUUAUGAAGUGGAGCAUUUGGAAGAGAUUCCUCAGUCAUGUAUUAUGAAGAGNNNNNNNNNNNNNNNNNNNNNNNNNNNNNNNNNNNNNNNNNNNNNNNNNNNNNNNNNNNNNNNNNNNNNNNNNNNNNNNNNNNNNNNNNNNNNNNNNNNNUUGAGUUCGAUGUGCAACAAGCUCUCCUACUUUGCGUCAGAUACGUCAUCUUCAUUUAUAGAGGCCAAAAAUGAAAUACAAAAUUUGACGGCGAGAAUGGAGGAACUCUAUAACUAUAAUUUGAAAGGGAAGAAAAUAGCAUCAGAUGGAGCGACAGGUACUAACCAAGUUCGUGAUCCAAAUAUUGUGAAGACUAAAGGGAAUCCAGGCAAAGUGGCAAUGAAUGUUCAAAAGGGAAGACGAUGCAGUCGUUGUAAAAGAGUGGGUCACACAAUUCGAAAGUGUCCAGAAGCUACAAUCCCUCAAAAUGCUCAGCCGGGUUAUAUGGUAUGUCAUAUUCAAUAAAAAUUGCCCCUAAGAUUAAUUUUUGUAGGUGUACUAACAUAAAUGACUAACAUAAUUGUUUUGAUGGCAUUAUGAGUACGUAGGAGGAAACUAAUUUGUCUUCCCAAUGUGACAUUCAAAGGGAAAUGAUGCCUUCAACAAAUUCAUCAGUUGACAUUUUUGCAACCUUACAUGUAUGUACAAUAGGCUUGUUAUAUAAUUUCCAAACAUUGAUAACAUAUAAUUCAAUAAUAAUUGACAACACUUAAUUAUUGAAACAUAUAGGGAAUGUUAGGGGAGCAGUUGCCGAAUGACCCAUCUGACAUGUACAUAGAUUGGGGUGAACUUAAUAAUGUAAGAUCGGGAAUGAAGAAACACUUUUGACAUGAAUUUCAGCUAUGCAUUAUUUAAUGAUUAGGUUUAAUUAAUUGGAAUGGAAUUGGAUAGCUGAAAAAAACAAUGAAAUGUGCAUGUGCAGAUAGCAGGAUUUCAGCAACAUGAACAAAGUAUGUCAACACCAUGUGAAGGUAGGGAUCCAAACAAAUAUCCAAAUGAAAAGGAUAUGCAACCUUUUUUUUAUUCCUUAGCGGAGUAAGGGAUGGUAGGUAUUAAAUCAGUAUUUAUAUUAGUUGACGUUAUCACUUCCACUAAUGUGUACUUUUAACUUAACUAUUUAAUGAAAAGUUUGAAUUUUGAUCAAGAGUCAAGUUGAUUGAUAGAAUGCAAUAUCCUCUACAUUUAUAAUUUAAUUGAUAACAAGGGAUAAAAUGAUUAGUAAAUGGAGAAACCGAUUCAUUUAUAUCAUGUCGAAAAAAACGGUUAAUUAUGCGGAUUUAAUUAAAUUCAAUUGUGGUUAAAGUUUGACAAUUAGGUGGUUAUGAGUUAACUAUAGGAAAGUAAUCAAUAUGAUGUAAUUCACAUGAAAUAGGUAAAUUUAGUGAUUUUACUCAAAAUGGGUAAAUCGUAGUUAGGUAAAUUGUAAUGCUAGUUUCCAUCAAUUUCAAACCUUAUAAUUGAACUUAAUGGUACAUUGUCGAAUGUUUCCAUAGUGAAAAGUUAUUGGUACAACUCACAUCAUACCCUUUUUGUGCACAAUAGCAUUGCAGGAGGCAACCGGUUGAGGAAAUUCUUCAACCGGUUGAGGCAUUAUAGACCAGUGGCUAACGGAUGAGGAUUUUCCUCAACUGGUUGAGAAAAUUCCUCAACCGGUAGCUACUGGUUAAACAAAUCCUCAACUGGUUGAGGAAUUUCCUCAACCGGUUGAACAAAUGUGCAUCAACCGGUUGAACAAAUGUGCAUCAACCGGUUGAGGAUUUUUUUGACCAGUGGAUACCGGUUAAGAAAAUUUAUCAACCGGUCGAGGAAAUUCCUCAGCCGGUAGCCACUGGUCAAAAAUGGCUCAACCGGUUGCUCAACCGGGUGUGCCAAGCCGGUCGACCGGUUCGAGACGUGAUCGACCGGUUGAAGUUGAUUAACAAUAUACGCAACCGGUUGAGGAAAUUCCUCAACCGGUUGAUGCCCAUCUUCACCCGGUUGCCACUGGUUAAAAAACCAUGAACCGAUUGAGCAAAUUCCUCAACCAAUUUGCUAUAUUUGUCAACCGAUUCCCACUGGUCAAAUCAUUCGACAACCGGUUGAGACAAUUUCUUCAUUGAUCAACCACUUUCCACAACUGAAAAUAUGAGGAAUGUUCUCAACCGGUACGAAUAAUGCGUAUGCCUAUGAAAAGUGGACAUAGAUAAAUCGUUGGACUGGUUCUUACCGGCUGAACGACAUUCGUCAACCAGUGUAGUAAUGUACUAACUAUAUAUUGUUAGCAUAGAUAAAUGAAUAUUUACAGAUCUGAUUAGGUUAAAGAUCGUACAAAAUCACACAUGUCGAACAUGAAUGAUAUCAAUAUAUUACAAUUUCAUUUUGACGACCAUAUUGAAAGAAGAGUAUUUGGAUAUUGAAAUAAAAUGGACUUAAUCAUUAAUAAUGUAUGGUCAUCGAAGCUCACAACUUCCCAAUAAACAUGACGAUAUGUGGAUAUGGAAAUGAUAAAUAUUUGAAAAAUAAAAAAUAUCAUAAUAAUAAUUUUUUCAUUGCUCGUGUCGACGUCUUUGUACAAACAAUAGCCACAAUGGUUUGUUUUUCUCUAUUUCCCUUGUGUAAAACUAAAUCACAUGCUAUUUCUCGACGUAUUUCCAUAGAAUUACAAAAGUCGGAGCUCGUCAUCGGAUCACCAUUUUUGAAUCUCUGCAUAUGUCUAAUGACAUGCACUCCACAGUCCCACCUAAGAAAGAGAAAAGAAAAGCAAAACAACUUAUUCAAUGCUUGUCUAAUUAUACCUCAGGAAAAGAAUAGUAAUGUCAGUUAUGUAUUCAUACUAACCCAUUCUCUUGGGUCGGAAUCGAAGGAGCCCAAUCAAUGGAGAAUUGGAAGACAUCUUUCCCUAUGUCAUACAGUUUGAAGAACGUUUGACAAAAUUCAGCCUAAUUUAUUAUGAAACUGUUAAUAAAUAUGGAAGAGGAAAAAAUAGAAUAGAAGAAAAAUAUAAACAUGGAAGCAUACCACUGUUUUGACACUCUGAAACCGGAACUUGUCUCGAUUCUUCGAUCGUAAUGAGUCCAAAAUUUGGGUAUAAGAGUUUUUGAAGUCAAUGACGCACAAAUACCAAUGACCAGGGCAUUCGUCAUGCAUUGGAAUAAAUAGCUGUAAAGUUAGAAAAACAAUAUAUAUGAGUUGGGGCAAAAAAAAAUCUACUAUAUUAUAGGUGAAAACAAUAUCUAUUCUAAAUUUCAUAUAUGCAAUUAAACAUUAGAAAUAAUUACUAACCUUCUCGCAAUCAUCCAAUUCACUAAUGUACUUACUCACGAUGGAUGUUUUUCUAUCGAAAACAGGAUGAGGACUCCCGCACAAAAUCAUUUGCUAAUAAGAAAACAUAAUACGAACAUUACUAUAUUGUACUUAAUAUGUNNNNNNNNNNNNNNNNNNNNNNNNNNNNNNNNNNNNNNNNNNNNNNNNNNNUAAUAUAAAUGAAGUAGGUACUUACAACAUCCAUCAAAUUUUGUCUAGGACGUAAGCAUGCAAAAUCUCCACGAACUCCAUGUUCAUGACCAAAGUCAACAAGAAGCUCACUAAAAUAAUAAUAUGUUCAAACAAACUUCAGUAAAUUGGAAGCAUAUGAAGGCUAAAAUUGUAACAACACAUCUAUGAAUGUUCUAGACGCGACAAACCUUUUUGACAACGCUUUAUUGAAAACAUAAUCAGCGAUAAGAGAUUGAAGUACAUUGAAUGAUUGAGUAUCCACCACGUCUUCACGAAUGGACAUGGGGAUUGACUAAUUCGAAAACAAGACAUAAUUAUUAACUACAUAUGUUAAGUAUCAAAAAAUAAGAACAAUGAUAUUAAACUAUUUGUAUUAUACCUCUGAUGCUUCACGUUUUACCAUCUUCCUUGAUUUCUGUACAAACGGGGAGACCUUGAAUUUACUUGGUUUCCUCUCCCUUGAUGAACGUGUUUUCAUGACAUGAUUAGGAUAACCACAUAGUGCUCGUAAUGGUUCCUAAUAUGGAAAAUGUCAGUAACAUACAUCUAUUUACUAUGUAAUGGUUAAGUAGUUGUAAAGAAAAUAAUUUUUUCUUUUAUAUGAUACAUACCUUUCCAUAAUCUCUUCUACUCCUUUUGAUUGGAAGUGGUAAAAUAUUUUCAUUUUCGUCUGGAAUGAUAUGCACUUCAAUUGAUGUAGCACAUGCAUCUUCAUUCUUUUCAUUCAAGUCCUCGGUGCAUAACUUCUCAUUUGACAAAGUGUGAAGAUAAUGUUCAUUCACAUUCAUAUUGUUCGUAUCUUCCAAACUUUUCUCGCAUGAGAGCAUGUCAUUCUUCGUUCCUUCCUCGUGCAUUCUCAAAGGUUUUCCGCUUGACCUAAGGAAGAGACCUUUCACUUGAGUAUAAUUCUCCUCAAAUUUAGCCAAAAUUUUAUCACAACUACUACUACUUGCACCAUAAGCCAUAUAAAGUAGAUGUGUCUUUAAUUGUUGAAAGGUUUUAUCCAUCUCCAUUAAGUUCCCACCAUCAACCUAGUGAUAUAUACAAACGUGAUUAAUAACAUCAUAAUACAAAGGUUCAAUGCUAAUAUAGAUAGUCACGAUGAAUAUUGUAAAACACUUACUCGUUUAAUAACAUCUUUGUUCAGAUUGGAUACAAAUUUCUCAUCGUCCUCAUUCUCACUCGCCAUUGUCGCUGCAUUUCCAUCAACGCAAUCCCUUAUCUCAUUUUCUAUCACCCAUAUUUUGAGCUACAAUAUAUUCAUCAAAAUAUAAUACAUAUCAGAUUUUAAAUCACUAAAAACUUAAAUCAAUAGUAAACGACUUUCAAAACUAUAACUUACAUUCUCAUUUGCAUAUCCACCAAGUUUUUUCAAUCUUCGUUUCCUGUCCAAUACUUCAUCAUCUCCCCAAGCAGUAAUCUGAGGAGAAGGUCGAGUAUAUAGCGGUAGGAAUUUCUCUUCAAAGGAUAUAUGCUCGUGGUAGAAUAACUACGAGUAUAUUUGACAUAGAUAUAUAGUUAGUUCAUAAAUUAUAUUAAAACAAAAUCGUAUUUCACUAUGAUGUAAAUUAAUUACCAUUAAAAACAAUAAGCAACCGCAAACCCCACUUUGUUGUUUCUUCUUAAACUCUUCAAUCCCGUGCACAAGAUAGGACAACACAAAUUCUGCCCAAUUCAUCUUCUUUAUUGAAUCGAUGUCUUCCACAAGAUGUAAGAAAGAGCGAUUCACAAAAAGCUUCAUUGUUGGGCACAAUAAUGCACCCAACACAAAUAAUACAAAACGAACUUUAAAAUCGUUCCCACCCUCUUUAUCCUCCUUAAUUUGAUUUUCUAACAUCACUAAUGGCAAUCGCCCUUUUUUAUCACAAUAUUUUUUUACAUAAAUCAUUCUUAUGACCAACAUCUUUGUUCAUGCCAAUCUUGAACCCUCUUGCCCUCAAUCCCAUAAUAAAUUCAACAUCAAUGGGGGAUAAUUUGAUACAAGUAUUAUACAACUGUAACAUAUAAGUGUUCGGAUUAAAACUAUUUAUCAACCAAAGACAUAACCCAUGAUCAAUUUUCCUACAUCGAAGUUGCAAGAGGCUACCAAAUCCUAUUUCUUCUAUGGCUGCCUUUUGCUUUGGUUCUAAAUUUUCAAUCACUCUAAUAACUCGCUCGGGGGAGCAUCGAGUCUGAAGAUAUAACUAAAAAGAUACACAAACAUCAAACAUGUUUACAUUAAUAUAAUUUCCAACAAAUACAUAAGUAAAGAAAUUAAAUAUUCAUUACAAAAAAAAAUUACCUUUGGAACCACACCCUUUUGAAGUGAAUAUUGUUUUGAACUUUCUUUGGACUUUGCCAUGAAAUUUUCUUUUUCUACUUUUGAAAGUGCAUUCCACUUGAUGCCCAAUUUUUUCCUCAACUACAUUAAUUGCUCACAUAAUUUAAAUUCUUAUUUUAAAAUGUAAUUAUAUUAGACGUAGCAAAAUUACUCCUUACAUCAUCAUUUAUCUUCACUCCUUUGUCCUUCUCUUUCAUCAUGGCUAAUUGAUCGUUACUACAAAACAAUUUCAAACAAAUUUAACAAUAACAACCACAAAAAAUAAAUUAAAAAACAUAUUAUUUUACAUAUUUCUAUUUUCCCUUACUAGUAAUGUAUCCAAGCGCCGAUAGGCCUCUUUGGAUUUCUAACAACUUCAAGACCAUCGCAUUCGCUCCUAAAAAUUAAAUCAAAGCAUUUAAGUCAAUUUUUAUAAUAUGAUUUCAAAUAUAAUAAAUCAAACAUACUUUCACCACCACAUUAUCUCAACAUAAGUUUUUUUUCACAUUUCAAUAAAUUUUAUUUUUAUAUCUUACUACAACCAACCAAAUGCCAAUUAAAAUACAAAUACCAUUACAACUACAACAUCCUCCCUAAAUAUCUUUACAUUUAAAAUGAUGACAAAAUUAACAUACAAAUUUUUUUCAAUGUUCAAUAAUCUAACCACACUCUUUUUCUAUAAUGUAAUCAAUUCAUAAAUCUAACAAAAAACAUGAAAUAUAAUGGACACAAUAUUGUAAAACACAUAAUUACUACUCACAUUUUUUUCCCUUUAUAUAGAACUCGCCAAAUAAUUAGGAUACAAGCGCCUUUUGAGUAACAAACAAUUGUGUCCUUCUCAGCUUUCUUUUCCUUAGUACUACACGUCCUCUUCUUCUUCUUCCAGCUACGUCUUCAAUUCGGGUUUUUAAACCAUUAAAUUUAGAACCUGAAAACACCCCCUUACACCUCUUAAACAAAAUAUAAAAUAUGAAGAAAACACAAGGGUUAUGAAGAUUCCACAGAAAUUCUCCAUGUGACAAAAUGUAGGGGUAGGGGGGAGAGAAAGCAAAAAUUCAGAAAAUUUACAUAAAAUCUUCGAGAAGAAGAAUCUAGCAGAAAAAAUAGCUGACCUGGACAUCGGGAGAAAUGAAGUCUAAGACUCGGAUCUUGGCACCGACCUCGCCCACAAUCCUGAGCUCGCGGUCCUUGAGGGAGACUUCUUUGAUGAGGUCAAGACGUCGACUUGGAGGAGGUUGGCCCGGUUCACGGCGAUGGUGGUCUCCACCCACCUGUGAAGACGUCUUUGAUCCCGGCUGACGGCGAAGGUGGUCUCCACCUAGCUGUGGAGACGUCUUUGAUAAGGUCUACGACGUCGGCCUCAAAGAGGUUGGCCCGGUUGAAGCCGACCAUGGUCUUCACCCAGCUGUGGACAAUCAGUGGAGAGAAAAACGGGAAAAGGGAGAGCAAACAAAGAUGACAGCGGGAAAUGGGUGAGCUAUGGAGGAAGUCGGCAAACAAAGAUGAGACCGGGAAAUGGGUGAGCUGAGGAAGUCGGCUAUGGAGGAUGCGCGAGACACCCAGCUAUGGAGGGGCGGGAAACGGGUGAGCUGAGGAAGUUGGCUUAUGGAGGAUGCGUGAGAUGGAGGGGAAGAGAGCAAGAGAGCAAAUUAGGGGGGAAAAGGAUGCCGAAUGGGGGAGAGAACGGGAGGGGAAGGUACCCGGGAGAAUUUUUUUUGAAAUUUUUUUUUUUUCUUUUUCAUUUUGGAUGGUUGAGAUUUAAUCAUUUUCAUCCAAUGGAUGAAAAAAAAUGGAGGCAUGGUACCGAAGGAGGUAUUGUAGACUUUUCCCUAUUUUAUUUAUGCUGUAAGUAUUCGUGCUUGACUUCUCCCGCGUCUCUUAUAAAAACUAAAGAAAACCACUCCAAGAGAGCACACUUCAAGAAUCUUCUUUUUUUUUUUCUUUCCUCUUUCUCUUUACAUAUAUACUGAGAAAGCCCAGCUCAUCCCUCAAUUCCCAGAUGGGUUUUAUGAAUGUUCUCAAGUUCUCAGCUGCAUGCUUUGAUAUUCUUGCCUGGUAUGUUGUCCACGCAUUUUCUCGCCAUUGGAAAUUUUUGGAAAAUGAAGUGGAAUUCUCUGUUUGAGGACAAACAUGGGAUUUUCUUUGAUUUCUCCCUGUUGGUUUUAUCUAUUUUCUUUGGAUUACCCACAUUCUUGUCAUUGAUUGUUAGUCAUUUGUUUGGAUUUCUACUUGCAGGCCUCUAUUUGCACUGGGUUAUCCUCUGUAAGUCUUGGUCUUACACCUCAAGAUAUGAUGAUUCAUUUACUCUUUUCUUGUUCUACGAAUAGUUCAGUUACAUUUAUUGUGUUGGGAAACUGAAAAGGGAAAGGAUUAUUCUUUAUUGUCGUAAUAAUCAUCAACAUCAUCUCGGUUCUUCACAGAUGUUCUUCAAUUCGGGCAAUUGAGACUAACUCAAUCUCAGACUUUCGGAAGUUGGUGGCGUAUUGGGUUCUAUUUUCCUUGAUUUCACUCUAUGAUCAUGCUUUUUCCAAGCUCCUUGAAUGGUAAUUUUGCUCAACUGCAUUCCACUAUACGUGACUCUGUUUGUUUCAUUUCUUUGCCCUUAAGGAAUUUGGAGUUGCUUUUUUCAGUUUUCUUUCCUAUGAAAAUAAUCGAGAUGUUUAAUGUUCCAGGCCUCCAUGUAUUUUAUAUUCCUUCAUUUCUCUGCUUUGACAAAUGCUCACAAUCUGAUCAGCAGAAAGGUUAUAACAUUUGAAAAAGAAGUGGUUUAUUUUUGUUUUUUUUAAGUACAAUAAUUUUCGUUUGGAUAAAUGGUCUGAAGGGUGUUUGUGUUUGGCUGAGUUCAUGGAAUUUUCAAGCUAAUUUGGGAUUUAUUCUCAAUUUCAAGAUCAUUGUGGAUACGUCAGAAAUUAAUGAAAUAUAAAUGGUGGAAUGUGAUUUUCUUGUUUAAGAAAAGUUUUUCUUUGAAAAUGCGGGUGCACCCGACCUACCUUAUUGUGCUAUUUGGAACACAAAACAUAAGUACAGGUAAUUUAUUAACUAAAUUGUACACUUUUUGAUAGUUCAAGGAGGUGGUUUUCUUCUUUUAGGGUGUCAGCUUUGGAAAUAAGAUGGAUCUACAAGUUUUUAUGUCUCAUCCUUAUAGGGAACUUGAAAGCAUGGAUGCACUUAUCUCCAUGGAAUUUGGCUGCCUUGAAAUCAAAUUAAGCUUUAUGCAUCAUUUGGAUGCUGAGAAACAAAUGGAAAUAGAAAAUUCGGAAUCUGACAAGUUUUUGUAGGGCAACUGGAUCUAAUCUCUCACUUGAAGCUUAAUUGGGGCAAAUGCUGAUCAUCUUUGAACCCAUUGAAAGUUCUAAUCUGUGCACAAUUCUAAUGUUUUUGUUUUCUUCAUUUCUUUUUCAACUCUUCAUAAUAGAUGUUGAAAGUUAAAACCGAGCUUACGUAGUCCAUCCAAGUGGAUGCAUAUAAAUUUAACAGAAACUGAAAUUCGAAGAAACUUAUUUUCCCUUUUGUAAAUGGUGUUUAAAAAGUCUGUGUAGUUUGGUUUUUUUCCGGGAAGAUCAGAUGAUUUUGUGAUCAUUUUUCUAUUUGCCUUGUCAUCAUGAGAUUUAAAUAUUUUAUUUUCUUAUAUAAUGCAUGUCAGGGUACCAUUCUGGCCUUACAUAAAGCUGAUGGUCAUCUGCUGGCUGGUGAUACCGCAGUUUGAUGGUUCAUAUUAUGUCUAUCAACACCUAGUUCAUCCAUGCUUGUCCAUGGAUCCACAAGUUGUCAUGAAUUGGCUCUUCAAUGAAUCAAAAAAGAAGUUUCAUAGUAGAGAAACCUUUCUUGUUUCAGCAGACCAAUAUACUAAGGAGAAUGGACCUGAAGCUUUGGAGAAACUACUUGCUAGGAAGGUAUGCCAUUAUAAGUAGGAUUAUCAACAAGUCAAACAGAGUUUUAUUUGAAAUGUUCAGGUAAAAAAUGACUAUAGCAGGUCAUCUAAAAUCAUUUGGUCUAAAUUCAUGUAUAUAUCUAUAUAUAAUUGUGUUCUCAUUUUUUCACAUAUGCAUGUGCAUUUAGAUUUACAUAAUUAUAUAUGCAUAAUCAGAUUCAACUGUGAUAGCCCGGAAUUUAAUUCAGUAUUCGACUCUUCUGGGAACAUGUUGGUUAUGGUUUCUCUCUCACUGUCCUCUUCUUUACACAUGACUUUUCAGUUGAGGAGCACAAAGCCUAAUGUUGAAGUGAAAGAGAUCAAAGCACCUGCAGCACCGGAGAAAAAAGGGGAACAGGUAAGUACUCUAAUGUGGCUAUUUAAUUUCUAUGGAGGCAGAUCCCCAGAGAAAUGCUGUUCAUGUAAAUUACUGAUGCAUUUGAUUCAAUGGCCACGGUUUUAAAAGAAAAACCACUUUAUGUAUGUUUCUGUGAAUGAGAGAACAAGUUUAUGGAUUAAAUGAUAUUUUUUAUGGUGAAAUAAUCAAUAAUUUUCAAAAUAAUAAUACAUUCCUGCAUGUUUUUGCAAUUCAUGAAUUCCUUUUAUGAUUGAUUCUUCUCACCUUUUUUCUCACCUCAGUGGAAGUGUGAAGAGCCUAAUGUUGCUGAAAAGGAGAUCCAAGUAGUCAAAGUAACAGAGAUAAAAAAUGGGGGGGAUGAAGCAAAGAGGGUAAGUUUUGCUUUUUAUUUAUAAAGUAGGCUGUCUUCACACAAGGAUUAUUAUUAUUAUUUUAAGACAUGAAUGUUGAAUGAUUUUGGAAUUGUCCUUGAAUCAUGUGAAGUAUGAAUGGCCUAAUGCUGCUAAGGAGGAGGUCAAAGUGACAGAAGUAACACAGAGAACAUUUGGUGGUACAGCACAGUGGGUAAGGUUUCUUCUCAUAUUUAAAUGGCUCCUUAUAUUUCACUAGGAUUAAUUUUGCCCCUACAAACUAUUUGGCUACAAGUUAAGAGAGAGUUCCAGAUGCUGAUAAAUCUGAGACAUAAGUAAUGAACGAAUUUAGACACAUGCACAACUCUUGUGUGAAACACAAUGAGAGUGGAAAAUAGCUAAGUUCAAAAAUGGCCAAAUACUAUUUUGUAGUUCCCCCUACUGCUUAAGUAAUUUUUGUCAUCCUUUGUGAAUGGAAAAUGCAGUCCCUUCAGUAAUUCCAUUAUAUUCAUGACUUGGUGAAGCAUAUAACCAUUAGUGUCUUACCCUAAGUCGACCUUUAAUGAUGAUCCAUUGAGAUGGGUCUGACUUUUGUCAACCCUCUUAUUCCCUUGAUCAUAGAGGUGAAACUUAGGGGGCUUAACCCACUUUUCAAUCUUAUUGGAUAUAUGGCACGUGGUAUCCUCUUCAUCUUGAAAGAGUGAAGUGGUCAUACUCUUUCCUCUGAGUCCAUUGUAGCCAUGCACUUCUGGCUUAUUGGGCUGAGUGAAAGGAUUCCCUUCUGCUUCAAAUCAUAGAGAGAUAUGCCAUGGUCAGCCUCUUUAAUUCAAGGGAUUGAAGUACUCAAAUCCAUUUCUCUGUAUCCAUCUUAGUUCUGCAUUCAUGUCUCAUGGUUAACCAAGAAGAUCCAGCCUCCAUCCAUGAGAUCAGCAUCUGCAGGUUUAUGACACCACCCUUCCUUGGCAUAGGAAAGGGAUCAUUAAGCCGUGUGUCGGAUGACAGAAGUCAUCAUUCAGGUUAUCUUGAGAACUAAGGAAGUUGGAAUUCUAAUUAUUGCAUAUGGUUCUUGAUGUUUAGCCAAUAUACUAUAGGAUUUUAAGCAUCAUGCUCACGUGCAUUGUGGUUGUUUAUCAGCUAUAUGGUUUAUCAAAAUGAGGGACUGAUUAUGGUCAUAAGUACCUUUUUCCCAUUAAUUUCUUGCAUGUGCUCUGCUGAGAUUAUGUUUUUGACAGUCCAAAUCAGGGCAAACCAACAAACAGCUUUAUGUUAACUUUUACAAACUGCCACAUUUUCAGGUUAAACAAACAGAGAUAAAUCUUGGUGAAACUAGAAGUAAUACAACCUGUUCUGUGGAGAUAAAAGAAAGGGCAGCAGUACUGGUGGCUGCAGAAAUUGAGGCAUGUAGAGACGAUAGAACCCCCAAGAUACCUCUUCAUGAGAAAGUCCAGAAAGAGUGGGCUUGUGCUGUAUGCCAGUUCACAACCCAAACUGAAGCGACCUUCAAUUCCCACCUUCAAGGGAAGAGACAUCAGGCCAUUUCUGAGCAGCUGAGAGCCAAAAACCAGGCAACCAAAACCAAUUGUUCCCCAUCUGCUUCAAUGGCCAAGAAAUCUGAUCAGUCCACCAAAGAGGAGCAACCAAAGUGUACUUCCAACAAUCUGAAUUCCAAAAACAAUGGAAUCUCAGCUGCUUCAACAGUGAAGAAACUUGAUGAGACCAAAGAUGAUGAGCAACAAAAGUCUGCAUCUAGCAAUGGACCAAACCAGAAGAAUAACAAAAAGCAAGAGGUACAGACCAAUGAGCAAGGCCAUCAGAAGAACUCAAGGCAAACUGGUGAUGGAAUGAAAGAGUUGAGAUCAUGGUGCAAUAUCUGUAAUGUAAGCUGCACAAGGGAGCUUGACCUGGCCUCUCAUCUCAAUGGAAGGAGGCACUUUGAUAGGAUAAAGCAGCUGUCUGAAUUAUGGUGCAGUAACUGCAAUGUAAGGUGCAACAGUGAGGUUGAUAUGGCCUCUCACCGAAAUGGGAGGAGGCACUUGGAGCAGCUGAAGGAACAGUUAGGAUUAUGGUGCAGUAUCUGUAGUGUGAGUUGCAACAGCAAGGUGGACAUGGAUUCUCACCUAAAUGGGAAGAGUCACUCGGAUCAGAUCAAGGACCAGUUAAGAUUAUGGUGUGGGGCAUGUAAUGUAACCUGCAAGAGUGAGCGCAACAUGGCCUUUCAUCUGAAUGGGAGGAAGCACUUAGAGAAGAAGGGGAAUACCUGAUUUGCUCUUCAGAUUAUUGAUACUUACAAAUGGUUUUAGUUAGAAGCAUACAGACCAGUGGGUGGUGCUCACAGAUGCCUCUAUUUUGUUGUAUGAAGUAAAAACAGUAUUUCCAUGUCCAGAAAUCAACCACUUGUUUAGUGCAUGCAUGGCUGGUUCAAAAUUAAACCUAAUUGUGAAUGACUAGGAGCAGGGAGGGAAAAAUUGAAGUGAAGAAUGUAAGAUUAUGGCUUCAUUUUUAUUUUUUCCUCUUCUGAAAAUUGUAAGAUUGUGUUAGGAGGAGCUGGAAUGGGUUCAAAUCAGGAAUUAAGACCCAGUUCCAAGACAUGGAAAGUGUCUUUAGAUUAUGUUAAGUUAUUUCCAUUUUUUUUUCUUUAUUUACGGUAAGAGGGAGCAUAAGGAACGAAAAUGAAUAUUUUUUUUUUUUCGAAUAAAAAUGAAUUUGAUAAUUUCAAUUAUUGUGUUUGGAUGUAUUUCGGAAUGUAAGAUUAAAAUAAUUAUUUGUUUUCAUUUUAGUGUUUGAUAAUAAUGAAAGUAUGAAUUAAAAAAUAAAUUGAUAAUAAUAUUCUUAUAUUUAAUUUAAAAUAUAUAUAUAUUUUUUAUUUUAGAAGAAUAUGGGUUAAAAGUUUUUUUUUUUUUUUAAAUAAUAAGCUUAAGAAAAAUAAUUUUUACUCAAUAAAUAAAAUUAAUCAUACAAAGUCAUAAAAACCAAACCAAAAUAUAAGGGUAAAAUAAUAAUUUUAAACUAUUCAUUUAAGUUAUCCAAAUGCAUUCCGACUCUUCAUUCUCUUAUACCAAAUACCGUCUUUAAGUAUUUGUCAAACUUAUUUUUUUGCAAAAUAUCAAUAUUUUACUAAUAUUUUUAUCGAUUAUUUGCCGAUAUUUAUCGCCACGUCACCAAUUCUUUGAGUUUGACUUUCAAAAUUUUGAAAUGAUCUUUGAAGUCCAGUUCAGCCCAAAUCACUACACCCAUGAACUCAUCUACAAAAGGGAACGGCUGGGCCACCACACUAAUAUGGCCCAUACAUGGGACCUCGUAAAAGAAUACCCAUCUUCAAAAAUAGGGACCAUAUUAAAUUAUUAAUGUAGCUAUAGGAAGCAUUUGAGGACAAGGGUUAUGAUUUUUCCCUUUUCUUUUUCUCCUUAAUUUUCACAUCACCCAACAACACCACUCUUAAUUCACACAAAUUUGAAGGUUUGGAAUGAGACUUCUUCAUAAUUAUAUUGUAAUUAUGUUAUAAUAACCAUGUCGUUUUUGGAUUUAUUUAUUCAGUCCAUCUAAAUCUUUUGUUUAUUCGCGUCAAAACAAUAUAUUUAUAAUCGAAUCCAUUUAUGACAUGUUCAUCUUUUAUAAAUUCAUUAAUUUUAUAUAUUUAAAAUUUAUAAAAGUUAAAUAUAUUUUUUCAAUUAUGAAUAUCAUAUUACUAAAAUAUUAAAUAACUAAUUAACUUGAAAUGUUUUAUAUUUCAUUAAUUAUUUUAUAAUUACAAAAUUAAGUGAAAUAAUAAAUAGGUUAAAAUAUAUAUUUUAUUUUAGUUAAAAAUUAUAAAUUGUUAUUGAGACACAUAACUACUAAAAUUCUACCCAUUUGACUAUCAAACAAACAACUUAAGUUUUUAGUCAUAAUUUAAGCUUAUGAUAAACUCUAUUUACAAAAAUUAGAAACCAAAAUCAAAUUCUUCCUAGACUCAAAAAUAUAAAGACAAUCUUUUAACUUUAGAAGAGAACUAUCAUCUAAGAUAAGGGUAACACAUCCCAUUGCCUGUACAACAAUUCUUGCUUCAAAAGCUAAUGUUAGGUACAUAUCCCUAUCAUUCAACCUUUCCCUUAGCUAAAACCCCUAUAAAGAAUUAUAAACAUGAUCAAUGGCUCCAAAAUUUAUCCACCAAGAGUUAGUGGAAUCUAAUACUAAACAUGAUUCAACUAAAAGAGAAUGAUGCAUACCUGACUGUCUCUUUAAGAACUAAGGGCAUUCCUUUUUCUAAUGGCCUUUUUUACCACAAAGGAAACAUUUGUCAUGACCCUUACUCUUCUUCUUCUUCUCUUGCCCUUGAACUUUCCCUUCUGUUUGGUGAAUUCUAUAAUGUUCUUAUUUUGGUUAGAAGAACCUAAAGAACACUUAACUGCCAUAUAAAUACCUCUCUGAUCCUUGAGAAUUCCCUCAAUCAUUUUGUGUUCUCUCAUCAGUUCGGUUAUAGUUUAAGAAAAAAAUUGUUUUUUUUAUGUGACUAAACUUGGAAUGAAUGUCCAAGUUGCAUACAUACUCGGGUUGAGAUCAAGUCAUAAUGUAGUUUAAGAAAAAUAUUUUUUAUUUUUUAUUUUUAUUUUUUAUCUGAUUGAACUUGGAAUGAAUUUCUAAGCUACUUACGUAUCCAGGAUGGGAUCAAGUUCUAACAUAGUCACAAUGCAGUUCAAGAAUUAUUUUUUUUUCUUUUUUUGUGCUCCAACUUUUGCCAAGACUAAAGAUCUUAAUUUUGCGAGCAUGUCCUAACUUUUGCCUAGGUCGCCUUUCCAAGUUUUCAAUUUAGCAAACUAGGUUUUUUUUUUUCUUUUUAGUUCUCUAACUUUUGCCAAGACUAAAGAUUUUAAUCUUGUAAGCAUGUCAUAACUUUUACAUAAGUCGAAUUUUUAGGUUUUCAUAGUGCUGGAUUUUUUUUUUGUUUUUUGUUUUUUUUUUGUGUCGUAGUCAAUUUAAGCUCAUAUGGGUUGGAAGCGAUGUGUAGUUUGUUGGGAUUGAGCCCUUAAAAGCAAGACAUGAUGUAAUAAAGUUAAACUUAACUAUCCCCUUACUAUCCUUUUGGUGUAUCAACAUUGAUUUAAACAUUCAACCCAUAUCUCUUACAUUGUAUAUGAUUUAGAAGCAUUAGGAGUUGUACAGAAGAUACAAGUUAUGUGUUCUUUGUAAGUAGGUGAGUUAUCCAUAGUCAUUUCAUGGAUUUGGGCAAUCUAGUAGAGACUAUAGUGCACCACCUCCUAAUUGAAGGGAUGACUUGUCUUGGCCGUUGGGAUGAGUUUCCUAUGGUGAGCGUACUAGUGUAUAUGAUGCACAUUGGAUAGGACCUAUGACAAAUCAUGAUGCAAGGCUAUCAAUUGUCAUGAUUCACCAAGUUACUAUACUACAUGGACUCUCAACCUUGAGAGGACAUUGAACCUGUGUCAAAAUCAAUAGAAAGUUUUGACCUAUGGGCGAGACCCUAAAGUAGUCAUAUAUCCUUAUGAAUUAGGUCAUUGUUGAUGGAGGCUAGUGAUAAUAGGCAUUCUCAAUAGAGGCACCAUGAUAUGUCAUGCGAUUGAGAUGGUGUGUCCCUUUGGGUGAUCCAAGGAACAUGUGAUCAUGAAAUUUGUGGCCACAGUAAUUCCUUUAGUGGAAUUUGACAUAUGCUCAAGGAUUUGAGAGAUAAUAUUGAUAGGUGAUAACACUAUCUUGUUAGAUUAUAGACACCAGUUUCAUGGGGAAUCUGCAUGUAGUGGAUAGUAGGUCAUGAAUGCGAGCUUUGUCUCGUUGUUAUUUACAUAAGGUACUGGAGUGUAGUUGAUUCUCUUUAGUAGAAUGUUAAAUCAACUUCAAAAUUGGAUUAUGAGGGAGCCAGUACUCCUAUGGGUCUCAAUGGUCCCCACUCUAAGCUUAUAUACCAUGAUGACAUAAUUUAUGAGGGUUGGAUUGGCUUUAGGUUCAUUCUUAUGCAUAAGGGCAUUUUGGUAAUUACUCAAGGUUGCAUAGGGGAUAAUAAAUAAGGUCUCUAGAUUGGACUAAUUGAUUAAUUAGAUGGCCUUAUGUGGUUAAUUAAUCAAUUAAGACAUGUUAGGGCUAGAUUAAGUGACUCAAGCCUUGAUGGGUUCAAGUCACUUAAGCCUAGUGGGUAACCGUAUAAAUACCCCCUUAUGGGUUAGGGUUUUCUAAUGACUUUUAGUUAGUCAUCUUCCACUUUUAGAAAAAUAGAGAGAGUCAAAGCUUCCUCCUUUCCACUGCCCACACUUUGGAAUGCCAAGAUCGUGGAUCGAGUCAUCGAACGAAAGAUCUUGGGUGUAUGAGACCUUCGAACUCUUUAGGCUUCUUCUUCGUUGGAUGGAUUUUGAUCUAGGAACAUCUAGAUCACAUGUAUGUGUUAUAAAAUUUGGUUAAUUCAACCUAAGGUAAUCAUCCUAGAGAAGGGGCGAAUAGGGUGAUGAUCUUUUUUUGAAAAUUUAAAUUAUGUGAAUGCAAGAGACAAUUAUAUGCAAAAUAUAUAGCAAAACCAUAUAAAAACAAUUGCAUAUAAAGUAAAAGGGUAAGGAAGAGAGAAAAUAAACACAAGAUUUUUAUAGCGAUUCAGUGCAACCCGACCUUCAUCCAUUCUCCUCUAGCUUCAAUCCCAAACUUGAGGUUCCACUAAUUUAAGGCUUCCAACCCAAGCCUUCAAGCAAUACAAUCGGAUUAUGGUUCCAAUCAAACCUCUUGAAAUUUUAGUUCUAAGCACAUUUUACAAUCUUCAAGAGAUACCUCACUCUUAAACAACUCCUUAAGUGAUACCCCACACUUGAGAAUCCCUAAGUGAUACCUCACACUUAGAUUUUUCAUCUCAAAGAUUUAUAAAUGAAGAUAGGAAAUUGUUAGCCCAAGGGCUCUCCUAAUCGGGUUUUGAUGAUAAAAAAUCAUGGUUAAAUGACUAAUUGGUUUAAUGGUUAAGAAUCUCAGGCAUAAACUUGAAAAUUCAUCAAAAGACCAAAUGGAUACAAGAUCGAGACGUUUGGAAGACUUGUGAUCAUAGGAAACUAAUGUAAGAUGAAUGCAUGAGUACACUUAGGAUUUUCAUACCGUUUCAUGCAAUUUAGAAAACUCGGUUUAUUCUUUAAAACUUCAAUUUCAUUAAAACUUGAGUUUUAACAAAUGUACCUUAGGCAAAAUGUUUUAAAAUUGGCAUAAUAAUUCACCUAAAAACCUUGCUUAAGUGUUAGAAAAGAAAGGAAUUGAAAAAUAUAGGUUUUCGGGGCCAAAAGGCUCAACCGAUCGAGGCUAUGACCAACCUGCUCAACCGGUUGGGGAAUCGGUCGACCGGUUGCCCCUGUCCGGUCGAGGUUCGAUAGAGGGAUGCACAAAAUUUUCUUUCUCUCCCAGUAGCCUUCUCUUCUCGGUCGAGGUCUGGUUGAGGACCGAUCAAGGUUCGAUCGAGGCAACGGUAACCUGUCAAGCAUUAAAUGUUCCAACGGCUAGUGAACCGGUCAACCCCUAGCUCGACCAGUUGAGGUUACCUUUUGCUGUUUUUGGCUCCCGAGCUUAGAAACCUAUAAAUUGAGAGCUCCACUUUAUUUAUUGACGAGAGAACACUUGCAAUCAAUUGUCUACCUACCUGUUCUUGAUCAAAAAACUCUCAUUUCUUUCUUUGUGCAUUAAAUCAUCACUUGCAUAUCCUUUAGUGCACUCUUAUGUGUCAUCCUAGCUUUGUCUUAUAUUUGAGCUAUCCUUAAGCUAGGUUGAGGGAUUCAUUCUUGUAAAAACUGAGUGUCAAAGCCUUCAAGAGGUUUAAAUCUUGAAGAGAUUGUGUAAGAGCCCAUUGGAGCCAGAAUCCAAGUGUAAGAAGAUUGGAAGCUUGGUUGAAGCUUCAAGUUAGUGGAACCCUCACUCGGUUAAAAGAUUGAGGAGAGUGGAUGUAGGGAAGGAAGUGUCGAACCACUAUAAAACCCAAGUUUGAAUUCUCUAACUCUAUCUCUUUAUUUUGCUUAUAUUGUGCUUGAACUCGUUGUGAUUGAAAAGAAUUUAAAAAACCCAAUUCAUCUCCCUCCCCCCUUUUAGGUGUUUUUCUUAAUUAAGCAUAGCAUUUAUUUUCUCAAUUGGUAUCAGAACUAGACCUCUUGUUUUUUUUUUUUUUUUAAAAAAAAAAAUUAAUCGUCUAAGAGGAUAUGACUAUUGCAUCAAGCUCAUCUCAAGCUAAAAUUUUUUCAAAACAUAGAGCUUCAUUCUUUACGGGAUCCGACUAUCCCUAUUGGAAAACUAGAAUGACUUGGUACUUACAAUCUACUGAUUUAGAUGUAUGAGACGUCAUUGAAGAUGGCCUAACUUUUCCCACUAAACUAGUUGAUGGAGUUUUGGUUCCAAAACCCAAGCAAGAAUGGAAUGAGCUUGAUAGAAAAAACUUUCAAUUAAAUGCUAAAGUCGUUUUUACUUUGCAAUGUGCUAUGGAUAGAAAUGAAUAUAAUAGAAUAUGUCAAUGCAAAUCGGCUAAAGAAAUUUAGAGGUUGCUUGAAAUAACUCAUGAAGGAACUAAUCAAGUGAAAGAGUCAAAAAUUAAUUUACUUGUUCAUAACUAUGAAUUGUUUUCAAUGAAAAAAAAUGAUACUAUUGUUGAGAUGAUUACUAGGUUCACCGACAUUGUCAAUGGUCUUGAAGCUUUGGGAAAAACCUACAAGGAAUCCGAGAAGGUGAUGAAGAUAUUGAGGUCUUUCCCAUCAAAGUGGCAUACCAAGGUCACUGCAAUUCAAGGAGCAAAAGACUUGACUAAGCUACCUAUGGAAGAGCUCAUAGGGUCAUUAAUGACAUAUGAGAUCAAUUUGACAAAGAAGCUACAAGAGGGUAAAGACAAAAAGAAGAAGAACAUAACCCUCAAAGCUAUAACCAAGGAAGAAGAAGAUGUUGAAGAAGAAAAACCAAGUGAUGAAGAUGAUGAUUUAGCCCUCAUCACAAGAAAGCUCAACAAAUACAUGAGAGGUGAAAGGUUUAGAGGAAGAAAGUUCACCUCUAGAAGAGAUCCUUCUAAAAAGGAAUCUUCAUCCCAUGGUGACAAGGAGAAAUGAGAAGAUAAAAGAGAUUUGAUAUGCUUCAAAUGCAAAAAACUGGGACACAUUAAAUAUGAUUGUCCACUCUACAAGAGUGAAGCCAAGAGAAGAAUGAAGAAGGCAAUGAUGGCCACUUGGAGCGAAAGUGAAGAAUCCUCCGAAGAAAAAAAGGAGAAGGAAGUAACAAACAUGUGCUUCAUGGCAAUAGAUGAUCUUGAUGAGGUAAACUCUAACUUUAGUGAUGAAGAUAUGUAUGAUGUUUUUGAAGAAUUAUAUGAGGAUUUUGAAAAACUUAGUUUGAAAAAUAAUUCUCUUAAAAAUAAAAUUCAAGAACUUGAAAAAGAACUUGAAGAAGUAAAAGAAAAAGUUUCAAUUGUUGAAAUAUCUAAAACUCAUCUUGAAAAAGAAAAUAAGAUUUUGAGAAGUGAAAAUGAGAUUUUGAAAAAGAAAAAUGAAUGGUUGACCUCCUCUCUUUCAAUUUUCUCUUGUGGAAAAAAAUAUUUUGAAAUGAUCUUAGUUAGCCAAAAAUGUAUUUUUGACAAACAAGGGUUAGGAUUCAAAUCUUCAAAAAAUCAAAAGUAUUUUAAAAACUACUUUGUAAAAGAAUCCGCAAGUGUAAGUCAUUCUACCACUUGCAACUUUUGUAGAAGAGGAGGAGACAUUAGUAGUACAUGUCUCUUAAGAAAUGGUUCUCAAAAGAAUUCAAAUGCUAAAGCUAAAAAGGUUUGGGUUGAGAAAUCCAAAGUCACUAACCCUCAAGGACCCAAAAAGAUAUUGGUACCUAAAUCAACUUAAAUUUUAUUUUGUAGGGUUCAAAGAAGGAUAAGUGGUUCUUGGAUAGUGGAUGCUCAAGACACAUGACCGGGGAUGAAUCCAAGUUUGUUUUCCUUACAAAGAGAAAGGGAGGAUAGGUUACCUUUGGAGACAAUGCAAAAGGAAGGAUCAUUGGUCAAGGCAACAUUGGUAAUGACACAUCCUCUCUUAUUGAAAGUGUUUUAUUAGUGGAUGGUUUAAAACAUAAUCUUUUGAACAUAAUUUAACUUUGUGACAAAGGUUUUAAAGUGAUUUUUGAAGCAUUUCAUUGCAUUAUCAAAGAUAUUCAAAAUGAUAAAACCAUCUUCAUGGGCCAUAGAUGUGAUAAUUUUUAUGCUAUAAAUAUUUCAAAUAUGAUGGCCAUGGUAAAUGUUUUUCAAGCAUGCAUGAUCAAAGUUGGUUGUAGCAUAGGAGGUUGGGACAUGCUAACAUGGACCUCAUUUCCCAACUCAACAAAGAAGCACUUGUUAGAGGCCUUCCCAAAAGAAAUUUUCAAAAAGACAAAGUUUGUGAAGCUUGUCAAAUGAGAAAGCAAAUCAAAAACUCUUUUAAAAACAAAAAUUUCAUUUCAAUAACUAGGCCUGCAUAUGGAUUUAUUUGGUCCCUCUAGGACACCAAACCUUGGAGGAAAAUCUUAUGCAUUUGUUAUUGUGGAUGACUUCUCUAGAUACACUUGGGUCUUAUUUUUAAGUCAAAAGAAUGAAGUCUUUUUUGAGUUUUCAAAGUUUUGCAACAAGGUUCAAAAUGAAAAAGGUUUUACAAUUUCUUGUAUAAGAAGUGAUCAUGGAGGAGAGUUUGAAAAUAUUGAUUUUGAAGACUAUUGCAAUGAGCAUGGUAUUAACCACAAAUUUUUGGCUCCUAGAACUCCUCAACAAAAUGGGGUAGUUGAAAGGAAAAAUAGAACUCUUCAAGAAAUGGCUAGAACCAUGCUAAAUGAAAACAAUUUACCAAAAUACUUUUGGGCCGAAGCAAUUAACACUUCUUGUUAUGUUUUAAAUAGAAUUUUAUUGAGGCCUAUUCUUAAAAAAACUCCCUAUAAGCUUCGGAAAAACAAGAAACCCAACAUUAGCUAUUUCAAAGUCUUUGGGUGCAAAUGCUUUAUAUUAAAAACCAAAGACAAUCUUGAAAAUUUUGAUGCAAAAUCGGAUGUUGGAAUUUUUCUUGGUUACUCAACUUUAAGUAAAGCCUUUAGAGUUUUUAACAAAAGAACCAUGGUUGUUGAGGAGUCCAUCCAUGUUAUUUUUUAUGAAUCUGACAAUUCUCUCCAAGAAAGAGAGAGCUUUGAUGAUGAUUUAGGCUUGGAGACCUCCAUGGGAAAAUUACAAAUUGAAGAUAGAAGGCAACAAGAAGAAGUUGUAGAGGAUCCCAAGAAAGAAGAAUCACCUUUGGCACUACCUCCUCCUCAACAAGUGCAAAGUGAAUCAAGCUAAAACCUUCCUAAAGAUUAGAAGUUUGUCAUCAACCACCCACAAAAUCAAAUUAUAGGUAAUCCAUCUAGUGGGGUAAGAACUAGAUCAUCUCUUAGAAACAUUUGCAAUAAUCUUGCUUUUAUCUCUCAAAUUGAACCUAAAAAUAUAAAUGAUACUCUAGUUGACGAAAAUUGGAUGAUUGCUAUGCAAGAAGAGUUAAAUCAAUUUGAAAGAAGUGAAGUAUGGGAAUUAGUGCCAAGACCUCAAAAUCAAAGUGUUAUUGGAACUAGAUGGGUCUUUAGAAAUAAAAUGGAUGAAAAUGGCAUAAUUAUAAGGAAUAAAGUAAGAUUGGUAGCCCAAGGUUUUAAUCAAGAAGAAGGGAUAGAUUAUGAAGAAACCUUUGCUCUCGUAGCUAGAUUGGAAGCCAUUAGGAUGCUACUUGCCUUUGCACGUUUUAAAGACUUUCUUUUAUAUCAAAUGGAUGUGAAAAGUGCUUUCUUAAAUGGCUUUAUAAAUGAAGAGGUAUAUGUUGAACAACCACCCGGUUUUCAAAGUUUUAACUUUCCUAAUCAUGUUUUUAAACUUAAAAAUGCACUUUAUGGUUUGAAACAAGCACUUAGAGCAUGGUAUGAAAGAUUGAGUAAAUUUCUUUUGAAAAAGGGUUUUAAAAUGGGAAAAAUUGACACAACUCUUUUCAUAAAAAUAAAGAAAAUGACAUGCUCUUAGUGCAAAUAUAUGUUGAUGAUAUCAUUUUUGGAGCUACUAAUGUCUCUCUUUGUGAAGAAUUUUCUAAAUGCAUGCAUAGUGAGUUCGAAAUGAGCAUGAUGAGAAAACUUAACUUCUUCCUUGGACUUCAAAUCAAGCAACUAAAGGAAGGAACCUUCAUCAAUCAAGCAAAGUAUAUAAGAGAUCUCCUCAAAAGGUUCAAUAUGGAGGAAGCGAAAACAAUGAAGACUCCAAUGAGUUCAUCCAUCAAGCUUGACAAGGAUGAGAAAGGUAAGUCCGUUAACUCAACUAUGUAUAAAGGCAUGAUAGGUUUUUUGCUAUAUUUGACCGCUAGUAGACCUGACAUCAUGUAUAGUGUAUGCUCGUGCGCUAGAUUUCAAUCUUGUCCUAAAGAAUCUCACUUAAGUGCCGUAAAAUGAAUUCUUAGAUAUUUAAAAGAGACAAUGGACAUAGGCCUAUGGUAUCCUAAGAGUGAUAACUUUGAAUUAAUUGGAUUCUUAGAUGCCAACUUUGCCAAUUGUAAAGUUGAAAGGAAAAGCACUAGUGGCACUUGUCAUUUCCUAGGACACUCACUUGUUUCAUGGCAUAGUAAUAAGCAAAAUUCGGUAGCCUUGUCAAAGGCGGAAGCAGAAUACAUAGCAGCUGGUUUAUGUUGUGCACAAAUCCUUUGGAUGAAACAAACACUUAGUGAUUUCAAUUUGAUUUUUGAGCAUGUUCCUAUUAAACGUGAUAACAUUAGUGCCAUAAAUAUUUCAAAAAAUUUGAUGCAACACUCUAGGACUAAGCAUAUAGAGAUUAGACACCAUUUUCUUAGAAAUCAUUUACAAAAAGGUGACAUUACACUUGAAUUUGUAAGCACAAAAGAUCAACUUGCCGAUAUUUUUACAAAACCUCUAAGUGAAGAGCAAUUUUUUUAUAUUAGAAGACAACUAGGGGUGAUUUCUUUAUAAUCAAAUGAUUACUUGAUGAAUUCUUGAUUGAAUAUACCUUAUGAUUGCGUGAAUUUCACAUCAUAUGCAUCAUAUAGAAAUAAUCUUAGGAAAAAGGUCAAAUUUUGACCAAAAAUCAAAAUUCCCUUGGCAUUGGAUAUCAAAAAUUGGGGAUUUCAACUGAAAAGGGCAAGGGAAGGAUCACGAGACAAGCAAAAGCCAAAAAAUUAGAGCGUUGACCAUUGACCAUUGACCAUUGACCAAGCGGUUCGUCGGGGCUGGGAAUUUAAAGAGACCCCCGCGCUUUAUUUUUUUCACUAUUCCCCUCAAUUCCUUGAAAACUCUUCACAUACCUGCUUCCAGAGACCACUUUGGGUUGAAUCUUGGACCAUUUGAAGGGCUUGGAGUUGUUUUUGGGACGUUUUUAAGACUAGGGUUUCAAUCUGAAACCUAAGGUUUCCAUUUUUAGGAGCAAUUCCUCUCAGACCACGUGCAUCAGCCAGGCUCAACUCCUUCUCCUUGCGCUUAGGGCUUCCGGUUGGAUUUCAUUCUCUCUUGUUUGGUUUCAUUCUCUCUUCAAACUUCUUUUUCUUCAUUUUCCGUUCUUUGGAUGGCGCCUAGGAGAGAGACAACUACCUCUAGGGCUCAGGGCAAGCGCCCUGCUGAGCCAUCUCAACCUGAGCAGAUGGAGGCUCACCGAAAGGCGAGGUAUGACACGACCCUCUGUGGACCCGCAUUUUUCACGUGCGUCCCCACUCGAUCGGCGAGACUCGCUUUUUAUUUGUGAAAAAUUGAUCUUUAAAAAAAAAAAAGUUGGAGUCGCCACCUAUUUUAUUUUUAUUUUGAAGGGAAAAUAAAACAAGAAAGAAAAACCCUAAAAAGUGACUCCAUGGUUUUGGAAAAAGCAUGUCUUUGAGAAACCCGAGUCUAAGUCCGGGGAUCAGGUUACUUAUUGGGAAGGUACCUCUAGGAGGUAGCACCCCUCUAAGCCCUAAAAAGGUCUCUACUGACUAAGUUAAGGGAAGCGUGGCAAUUAAAUGGUUGAUCAUGGAUACCUAAGUAGGCUAGGUGAUUCCAAAAACAUAACAUAUCAAACAAGAUCAAAUCACAAUUAAGGAGAGUUAAAAAUGCGUACCUGGACGGCUUCCCAAACGCUAUCAUAAAACAUAAGAGAUUAGUUUGGAGAUACAUCACACAACAUUUGUUUUACUCAAGCAAAUCAGGCAUAUAUCAAGACAUUCAAGAAUCACGUCAAAUAUGGAUAUGGUCAUCAAUGACAUACAAGUCCAUAGAAUUCUCGAAAAAAGGAUGAAAAUGAGCGUACCUGGAUAGCAAGCUAGAGCGCCUUUAUGGGAAACAAGGUUAACCCAAUAACAAAUUCAAGCAUAUCUCCAAGAAGAAUCAAAAUCAAUUGAAUACCAAAAAAUCAUCUUUAAAAUCAAUAUUAGUGAAGAUAUUAGGAAUGUAGGACCCCCCACCAAAGUCCAUAUUACUUUUGCACGAAUUGAUUCAAUGAAUUCCAUUAUUUGGAAUCGUGAAGCUUAUUCAUGCUUGUCAAAAAUCGAGAAAAUCAUAAAAUAGUUGAAGAUGAUGAAAAUGCAUGCCGGAAGGGAAAAUGGCAGCAAAUAGUAUGUUAAAAUUUGGAUUUUAUGCCUAGAGACUUCUCAGGAAUUUUAAAUAAAACUAGAAUUAUUUUUUACGGGAAAAGAUUUUGAAAUCCAGAUUUAAAAUGUGUAAGAUAACAAAAAGAAUAAGGAGAAACAUUAGGAGUAUGGUGUGUGGCAAGGUGACCACUAUAUGAGUGAGGUCUGGAGGUGCACUUGAGACUAAAUGGUUGAAACAGAUUGCAUAGGGAGCAUUCUGUACACCACUAGUUGUCUAGAAAGAAACUGAAUGUGUUCGUUUCCGAGCCCAUGUUCACCGGAGUUUAGGGUGCCACCUCAUUUAAAAAAAAGGGCUUCAAUACAACUCUAGUUUCUCAAGAUCACAAUCUGAAUUAUCAACAGAAGCUUCUGGUGAAGACAUAAUGCUCAAUUUCAGAUUAAAUUUCCUGUUCUAUAACUCGUUUUCUCUGAAUUUUCCUUUAAUGUCUGUGCUUUCUGAUCAUAUAAGUUGCCCGUCUGGUUCCUUGUUUGAGACUCUGCCGAACCUGGAAUAAUGCUUCUAGGUCUAGCUGAGGGGACCUACACCCCUUUUCAUGGAACCUGAGGCAUGCGUUAAUUCGAAACUCUAUUACUUUGCCUUCCAUUGCUUUAAGUCUUUUAGCCAUCUCAGCCACAAAUCUGGAGAUUCAUUUAUCUUUCUUUAAUAUUCAAGCCAAAUGUCAAUCCAGUCCGCUUAAACCCCGAUUUGAAUGAUUUUGAACCCUCUUUUUGCGCUCUUGAUGUUUUUCAUUUCAACUACAAUGACAAACCACCCUUCGAAAAAAGAAGAAAUCUGGACCAAAUCCUAAACUUUUAAUUCACAACUUCUUGAGCCUGACUCUGAGUCGACACAAUUGAAUCACCUUGGAUAAGAGUGCUUCUAAAAAUCCUCCAGAAUGUAGGCACAAGUGCAGCGUUCGUUAAUAAUGUCCAUGGCAUGUCACAAAGGAAAGCUUCUUUUUUUAUAAUCAUCAACGCAAAUUGACUCUUAAUGGACCCCAUUGCCAGCGUCACAUCAAAGACUGGACAGAUAGGGAGAUUCACAAUUUCGAUAGCUAUCUUUGCAUUAUUUGGGCAGGGCAACCAUGUUAUGGAUAUAUAGCUCGAAGGUGACUUGCGUUUUGUUCUGUAUCAUCAGUAGCAGCCUCAAACCCGCCAUAGGUUUGAGUGGUAUUAAAAGACUCAACAUGAUCAGCUGUAGGUGAUCGAGCAGCCAAUUCAUCAUUGAGCAAAUCAAUAAAAGCUUGGAUAUCGUUGCCGAGUGGCCUAAAAUCAUUAGAUAAAUCAUUAAAGUCAUUAAGUAUAUUACUGAUCUCCAUGAAAACCCUCCUCCUUGCUUCUGUAGAGCGAACACAAGCUGCCACUAAAAUUGGUUAGCCCGGAUUGCUAAUUUAUGCAUCCAAUCACCAUCGAUUUCUCUUGUCCUUUUUGGAACUUCUGGAAUAUGGAUGAAACCUGUGAAGAAUGUGGUGGAAUUGCGGUCUGCAAGCACGAAGUUUCCAGUUACUUGAAAUGCUUCGAAAUCAUGGUUCCAGUUUACAUCUACAGGCAUUGGCUCAAGUAAGUUCGUAUCAGCUUGGGUGGCUUUCGAUUCCAAAAGCUCUAACAACAACAUGAUUCUCAAAUAUCCGAACAGCAAUGUCCAAAAUUGAAUCAAGAAAAUUCUUUAGCAGCAGUAUGUGUUGUCCCUGCUGGAGCCAUCACAGGAGCAACUAAGCUAACUGCCAAAAAGGUUCUAGCCAGUGAGAUCCCAUUCUGACGUUUCGGUUUUGGUGACUGAUAGCUUUCUAAUUGUCCCUGCAAAUAAUGUAAACCAAUAGUUCCAUUGAAUGGAUUGUCAUCCAGAGCAAGGAUCCGAAUACUUGUAAGGCCAUCAACGAAAUCAGCGAGGGUGGUGUCGACUUCGUUGUAAUCGAAGAAGGCGAGUUGCAAUUCAGACAAUCUGCGAGAAGAAGGCAAUUUUCCAUUGAAGUGGUUCAUCUGAAACCCCAAAUUGCAGAGCAUUGAAAGCUGGUUGAAGUUUUGAGGGAGAGGUCCCUUUAAUCCCAAUCCCUUAACUUGAAUCUGUGUAACUCUGUCACCACUAUAAAAUACACGAGGCCACAAAUUUGACUCCACCCGUUGGCUCCUUUCCUUCAUUCAUUCGCUUUAACAAGUCACAUUUAAUUCCAAAGAAUAUUAUAUAAUCUUCAAGUAUGUUCAAAUCAGAGGGCUCUAGUCCGUUAACCUUUACACUCUCUAGCAGGUUCUGUUCUUGUCUCUUCCUAUUAUACAGAAGUUCAAGCAAGUUUCAUAAAGCCUGAAUUUCUACACGUAGCCACUACUGGGGUCAGGUUUAUCCAAGUGUGCUGCUCCAACAGAAUUAUCGAUGUGUCAGUUUCUCUAAAAAUCACCUUGUGAAUCAAUCCACAAUACCGAGGCAUCCCAUCAUCAGAACUUCCUAAGCUUUCAGCAAGUAGGCAAGCAUUUAUGCUUGAGUCAACUCUACCGAUGACAACAAACCCAUCCAAAUCAAACUUCAUAGCUGUUUCUUCUUUUCCAUUAAUAUCAACUGGUAUCCUUUCUAAAAGAAUGCUUUUCUUAUGACGACAUGACAGUAAAACCCUUUUGCGAGAAUGGCUCAGAGUUUUGAUCAUCAUCUGAUUCUAUUGUAUUACUGGAAUGAUUGCUUUGGUAAAUGGAAUUCAACAGAAUCCACACAUUCAUGACUCUAAAAUUCAGCUUACUAGCAACCAGAUGGAACACACAUUUUCUGGUUCAGGCAUUCGUUUCUGGUCAGAUUCAUGGUAUCUUAGCGGUGCAACAGACGAUGCAGCAACCUCUUCUAGAGUGCCUUUUAUGAGCCUCAAGAGCAAAGGCCAAUGAUAGAUGAAGCGGUCCCUCUGCACUACUUGGGCUUCUGAUUCAGAAGUUAUCAUGAAGCCAACGAACAAGCAGAGUGAACGCAUUUGCAGUCAACCUUAAAAUUUCUAAUAUUGUCAGCAGGCCUGAUGGUAAAAAAACGAAAGUAGGGGAGCCUUAUUCAAGAGGAUCAUUGCGAACACUGUCACGUGUUAUUGGUGAGCUUGUUGGCAUCUUGUUUUGGGCAGAAUAAUGAGAUCCUUCAGUUAAUUAGAGAUCCAUAUCAACUAAACACCAGAAUCAUGGAUUUCCCAUGCUUUCUACUGGACAACGAUUGUCAGUUCUUUCUCUUGUUCACUUCUACUGGCAGUGGCUUGACUCUCCAACAAAACCCCUGAUGCACCCUGUAGCUCCUCAUUUAAUUCUGGAUUCUUAUCAGCAUCGCUUUCUUCUCCCUUUUGAGACUCUUGGAGUAUGAAAAAGAAAACUUGUGAAGAAUAAGGUGGAAUAUCCCAGCAAUGCAGUAUGGUAGGACCCAUUUGAGGGGGAACCCUGCAUUCAUCACUCUCACCUCCAGUAGCAUUAGAUGCUUGCUGGACCCAAUUCAGCCAGUCUCUGCAUAUUGACUCUCAAUAUAAACGUUUAGAAAUAACAAUGACUUCAUUUCUACUGCCUUGUUUAGACCUUCCUUGAUCAAUGUCUACCUUCAUUUCUCACAAAUUCUGGUUCUACUAUUAAAGUUCUGCCCCCAGUCCGUUUUGCAAAGCAUAAGCUAAUUUUAUAUUUGUAUAAUUCCAUCUUAACACACAAGUCCGUCGUAGCCUUUCCUGAGAAGUUAGAGAAGUUGCUUUUCUGAUAUAAAAAAGCCUUUCAGAACCAUGCUGAAGCUCUGAAUGUUGAUAGUUUUCCAUUGCAACUGAUAUGAGCUCCUCAUCGGUAGUGUCACAAGAAUGAUUCCAUGAGAAGUUUCUUGUUGCAUCACCUUUUUUAUGUAUUCCAACCCCAACUGUUGAGUUUCUUGAAAUUGAAACUACGGAACUUAGUUAUUUUGAAUUGUUUGCAUCUGUAGUGAUAAAUCACUGGAAGAGACAAUCAUAAUUUAGGCACUUGAUUUCCGUUUCGGUCGAACUAACAGCUUCGUAACUGUUAAUCUCAAGGUCAGAUUCAUGCUCUUGUUUCUCAAUUUCCUCUUCCCAUGAGAAUUUUUUUCAUAACAAUCGAAUGAAUUCUUAUAACUCCCAAAAGUUUCUAGCUUUUGCUGAUCAUGGAGGUGCCUCACAAUACUUGUCAUUAUACUCACUUUGGAAUUUUUCUGGUCCAUGUUCACUUUGAAUGAAUGUAUCCCUAAAGGGGGUAUUCAAUGACUGCCCAUAAUGAGUUACAAGUUCCCCAAAAUAGAAUAUAAUGAUCGUCGGCCUUACAGUACUGCUGUUUUAAAAUUUUCUGCUCGCUGAACAGUCAUAGUUCAAACCAUCAAUAUCAAAAGGCUUUCCCAGGCACUCAUCUUCAGAACCAUAAGGCCAGCAAGUCUGCAACCGUUUGAGUUGGGUAAAAAAGAAAGUCCUAAGCAGUGGAAGUGCACAGCAUGAUGCUGUCAAGUUUCAAUAACUUAAAUAUUGGCCAACUUAAGCCAGACCAUAUUCCUCAAAAAUCCAUUCUUCCUCUGCUCAUGUAAACUUGUAAUGCUGUCAGAAAUCCUGUCUUCAGAAUAGCAACCCUGACAAUUGAGUAUGGAAAGCAGAAUACCCAUGUGCUUCCAACUAAGCUUUUUACAACCAUCCUCAUAAACUGAGGCGUGCCAUUCUAAAGAAAAGGCAGAGUCUUUUAGAAAUCACAAUACUUCUGAAGCAGCUUGAAUUAGCAUAUUGCAGUAAUUGGAAGUCGGAUUGACUGAAACAGGGGCUCGAACGCAUCCAUCUGUAAAUCUUACAGACCGACCACCCUCAGAGAAAAGGUCUCCAAAAAAAAGGCUUCAGCUUCAUGACAAACAGCAUUCUCUGUUUCAGAGUUGCAACUGCCCCUGUUAUACUACUCCUGUGCACUUCAGCAUUUAUUCUUUAGUUAUACCGUCCCUUUAGAUAGCAUCUAUCCCACACCGUGAAGCAAGCAAGGUUCACUAUAAUAGGAUCUAGUAGCAGCAACAAACGGGUGAUCCUGGAGAUAUUUUAAACUCAACUUCAUCAACAUCUUCAGCGUGCACUUCUGUUGGAACACAAGCGAUAGUAGCAGUGAAAAAAAAAGUGUUGUACUGAUCCCGUUAGGAUUGCAGCCCAGAAUACCACGAACAGAGAGCCCCAAAAAUUGAAGCAACUCUGCAUCCAACUAAAUCACAUCUAGAACCCGGUUUAACGACUUUCUUGUCUUGAAGAGGAAAUACCCAAUCUGACUCAACAAUCUGUUAUCAUGUGCCAAACCCCACAAACAGCCCACAUUCUACGCAGCCUUUAUAAAGUCUCUACCUUUCAUGAAAUACUCAUGCCAUCAUUGUCUCCAUAGCCCAGAACACCAAAGUAAAGAAGAGGAAGAAGCGUAGAUAUAGAAGCACAAAAAAAGAAACCGAACAAAGAAAGAAAAAAAAAAAAAAAAAACGAAAACAGGGGAAUGGAAGGCAAUGGGUGGGAAAUCUGAAUAAGUCACAUUUCAUUAUUUUCAAAAGGGCUUUGAAGAAUCUGAACACAUUAGGACAAGCUUAGUUAAAAUUAUAUCAGGAUUCCACAAACAUUAAAAUUCAAACAUAAGUCUCUGUUUCAGCUAUUUAUAAAAAGAAUCAAAGAAAUCAAGAACACAAUCAUAAUAGAGCAAGUUUGAAGGAAAUUUCGAUUCAACAACGCAAAUAAAUGGCCCUCAAUGUCCACUCCAAUCAGCAAGAACAACUUCCCGAAAACAGCCAGAGAAUCUCAAGUGAAUGUAAACGGGAAUACCAAAAUAAUAAAAAAAAUAACAGGAAGCGUACCUGGCAGAACCUUGGCUGCAAUCUCCCUCUCUUUCUGCUCUUCUCUCCGCACUUUUUCUUCAAGAUCUCUCUUUUUCUCCUUUUUCUCCUUUCUUUCUUUUCUUUCCUUCUUCCUUUUCUUUCCUUCUCCCUCUCAAGCCCAAAAAUCCUAUCUCUCCCUCCGGAUCUCUCCAAAAAAAAAUCCCCAUGCGUGCUGCCAGUCCCACUUUUCAAAAAGAAAACAUCUUGCUGAAAAGGAAAAUCCUACUUCCUUUUCUCCUUUCUUUCCUUUCUUUCUUUUCUUUCCUUCUUCCUUUUCUUUCCUUCUUGUAGCCGAUCCCCACAUGGAAGAAGUAUAUGUGCUGUCCCUCUAAAAAUCAAAAUCUCCUCUUUUCAAAAUUCCGUUGAUUUUCCUUCCAAAUAAAUGGCGGUUCGUUUCCUCAUGCCCAAAAAAUAAAUAAAAUAAAAAAAUAAAAAUAAAAAAAAUAAAAAAUAAAAAAUUAAAAAAAUUAAAAACAAAAAUAAAAAAAAAUCAAUCACAUGCAAGCCAUACGAGCUAUGUAACCACCAAAGGAAUAUGAGUUAUGCAACCAUGCAAAAACACGAGCCAUGCAACCAUGCAAACCAUGCAAAAACAUCUAAAGGUGACCUAGGGUGUGUCCUAGUGCGCUAGGGCAAACGAAAUGGACUAAGUGUGCUUAAAAGCUAUCCUAAAAAAAAGAAAAGCCUACGACUAAGUUAGGGCUGCCAAGGGUCACAAUAAGGGAUCAAAUAAUCCCUCAACCAAAAUCUCCGAGGUGACUCAGAAAAAGGUUAGUGGUAUGAGUAGCCAUGGGCCACCAAGGAACUAUGGGGCACUGAAAACGAAUUUAAAGACAUGUGCUAAAGGGACAAAAUUGAGGGUCUACACCCUCUUCAGUUCUGUUGAAGAUUAUCAAAGAUACAAGCAAAAAUUCUCCCAGAGGAAACUAGGGAGAAAUAUCAAUUUCUCCCAACUUUAGUACUUCGGGUUUGAGGGACUCUUUAGUCGGAUGGGAUAACUGCCAGUUGUGAUGAUUUUCGAGCCGAUCUUCCUGACUCUGGUGCGGGCAUUUUAUUCAUAGGUGACUUAUGGACUUGGAGGACCAGUCAUGUCCACUAUUAGAGGUGUUGAGAUCAGACUGAGCCCGGAGAGCAUUUUCCGCAUUCUCGACAUUCCUUUAGUUGGACUCCGGGUGUAUGAGUCCAAGGUUUGGCCCACUGUGCCGGGAUUCGAGCCUAGAGAGGCUAUUCAGAGGCUGUGCGGACUUGUAGAUGCUGAGGGGAUGGACAAACCAUCGGCACAUAGCCUGACCGUGACCAGCCAAGUCCUUCAUCACAUGAUUUGCUCCUAUUGCCACAAGGCGGGUAUCGAGAUGAGAUUUCCUACCUGGAUGCUUUCAUAGUGGACACCAUUCUAAUGGGGAGAUGGAUUCAUGUAGGGUAUUUGAUGAUGAUGCAUAUGAUAUCCUACUAUGAGAGCACGACCCGAGUACUCCCCUACAGACGCUUCCUCACUCGAGUAUUCAAGGAUGUCGGGGUCGAUUUGAGUAGAGAGACGAACUUCGAGGCCCUUACUAGCUAUGAUACUUACGAUGAGCAGUCCUUGGAGCGGAUAAAGUUUGAGAAGGCCCUCGAUGGCUCCUGGAUUAGGAGAGUUGAGCGAGCUCCAGCAUAGGCCCGGGGACAAGGAUAGAUGCAUCCCGGAGUAGAGGAGGAGGCUGAGAUCAAAGAGAUGGAGGAUGGGUUAGACCCAAGGAUUGAAAUAUCGAUAAAUAUGGAUAUAUCGGUACUUGGAUUUUACGGAUAUAUCGGAAAUAUCGGAGAAAUAUCAAUGGAUAUUUUUCAUCAAAUAUCGGUGAGACAAAAAUUAUCCAAAAUUGAUGGGAAUGCUUAGAAAAAUCCAAAGAAUGAUAAAAUAAGCAAGAAUAUACAUGUUAAAGUUAUUUUAUGAGUGUAAUUGACAUAAAUAUGGUAUAAAAAAAAUAUAUAUCGGUAAACAGUUUACGAUACUUGGAUUUUAAGAAAAGAAAAUAUGAAAUUUGGAAUUGUACACUUAAAAAGUUAGAAUUGAGUUAAGAAAUAUUUGAUUUUAUUAAAUGAAAAAAAUUUACACAUAAACAUAAUACAUAUGACAUUGCAAUGGUCCUUAAUACCAAAAUGAAGAUCGAUGUGGUUCCAUCAUAUUGUUAUUGUUAGAUGAAGGGAGCCCAUCUUGUUGAAGACAAUAUUCAUACCAGGACAUGGAGUUUCGAUAGUAUUGAUUGUAUGUACUAACAUGCCAUGCAUAAAUUUCUUGAGUCCUACCGACAACCUGUCCAUGGAUGGGAAAUCCAGGGUUUUCCCAUGUGCUCGUUUGAAAUCCUUGUUGUUGCAGCUGAUGUAGAAGGUAGUAUGGAAUUUGUGUGGAAGAAUGAUAGUUAUACCUUUCAUACUCUUCAUCAGUGGAACUUGAAAGAUUUUGAGGAGGCUGACCAUAACUCAUUGCAUAAGGGGCAUAAAUGUUGGCUUCAUUUGAUGAAUCACUUAAUUGAGUCUCUACACUCAUCGACUCAAAACUGGCCGACAAUGAGUCCUCGUUGUAUGGCAUCAUCCUUCGUUGUCUUCCUCUAUAUGGCUUUCCAAUGGCUCCAACACCUGGACCGGCUCUUCUAGAGCCGUGGUCUUCAUCUUGAGUACAAUGUGUGAAAUCAUCUUCACUAAUAAAUGCCAAUGGUUGUCCACUUUGUUGAUGUUGUCUAACAUCCCCUUCAUCAUUUUCAGGGUCGCUACCAUCAUUGGUCCCCUCUCCUCUUGAAUCAUCAUAACCGGAAGCGGAAGUACCAGUAGCACUAGGUCUACUACUAUGUUCAACACUCGUGGGGUCAAAAGAAGGUCGAGAAGUGACUACCAGCUGAGAAAUUCCUUGUCGAAAUGAAUCUUUCGUGUCUUGGUUGAAACUAUCAAUAUGAACUUCUUCGGAUAACACUUGAUCAACAUCAACACCUGCUUCUCGGACAUGUGCGGCAAUUCGUGGGUCGAGAUUUCCAUCUUCAUCAUCUAAAUGAAGAGGUCUAACCCAUUGAAACAAUUGGUUAUCUUCUUCUUCACCAGCCUCAGUUGCAAUAUCAAGUAAAUCAAGGUAAUCUUUCUCUGAAACUUUGUCAUGUUCUGCUUCCAUGUCACGUAUCUUUAGUUUCAUGUUAUAAUAAUAGAAAACUAAUUGUUAGAGCAUCGGGUAAGCAAGCUGAUUUCUUUGUUUUGUAUGAAUUAUGGAAAACAUGCUCCAAUUUCUCUCACAAGCUGAAGAUGAUGCAGUUUGCGAUAAAACCUUGAUGACCAACCUUCUUAAUGUAGGAGUGUGAUUUCCAUACAUGAACCACCAUUCAACUACAACCAAAUAAAUGAUAUCAAUACUUAUAUUGGAAAGCUAUAAUAAUAUGCUAAUGAAAUGAAUUAUUAAUUCACAAAUAAUACUCACCGAGAACCAUUUCUAACCUCGAAGCAAUCACUGUUUGAUCACCGAAUCCUCUUUUUGCAUCUCGGAAUAGUAUAAUCUACAUAUUAAAUAAUUGAAAGUGAAAAAGUUGAGUAAAUGAAAUUAAAUUAUUUAAUUUAUAUUAUAACUCUAAUAAUUUACCUCAUUUCCAAAUUGACUAAAACCUUCUGAUGUAGGAUCUAAUUUCGCAAAGACUUCAUGGACAACUUGAAGUAGAUCAGGAUCAGUACCAACUCCAUGUUUAUAUUGAAAUCUUGGAUUAAGAAAGAAUGCUACAAUAGUAAAAUAGAAAUGUAAAAUUAGAAUGUUAUGAAAGAAACAUAUUAAAUACCAAUAAAUUUCAAAGAUGAAUAAUACUUACCUGCUGCAUGAAAAGGAUGUUUAAAAGUUCUAUCCCAACGAUAUGCAAUUAUUUCUAACACCCAUUCUUUAGCAUUAAGUCGAAUAAGGUUCUCUUUCAUAACUCGAAUCAAUUCGUACACAAAUGGCAUUGUAGGAACAACUUCUGAAUCGACAAUGCGAAGAACUGUGUAUAGCGCCUCAUAUAUUGACACUAGCUUUCCCACUCUUUCCUAGUAUGCAUGGUCAAACAUAAGUGAUUCAACUUCUUUGCCGAUUAAUGUGCAACUUAAGUUGUGUUGUGCCCAUUCAUCACUGAUAAAUAUUUUCUUCAAGUUUAUUUUCUUUUUCAAAAGACUGUCGAAGGCUAUAUAAUUGGUUGCAAAUCUUGUUGCUCCAGGACGAACUAUGUCUCCACCACACACCUUCCGCAUCUGGGUAAGCAACCAACCAUGGUUAUAAAUGAAGUUGGUUAUCUUUCGAGCCUUUGUAAUCACAUCUGCAACACUCGUCCUUUUACCGAUAUCUUCGAACAUUAAGUCGAUGCAAUGUGCUGCACAUGGAGUCCAAUAAAGAUUGUAUUUCUUCAUUAACAACUUCCCCGCCUUCAUGAAUGCCGACCCAUUAUCUGUAACUAUUUGGACCACAUUUUGUUUGCCAAAUUCCUUGAUCACAUCCUUCAACAAACCAUAUAUGUAUUUGUUGUCCUUUAUAUUAUUUGAUACAUCAACAUAUUUGAGGAAGAUUGUGCUACCUUUUGAAUAUACCAUGAAAUUAAUUAUGCUUAAUUUCGUGGGCCCAGUCCAUCCGUCAGACAUAAUCGUGCAUCCAUAAGUCUUCCACUUUUCUCUUUGAAUAUUGACAUAAGCUUCUAUGUCUUUGUACUCCAUAUCCAAAUACUCGUGUUUGAUUUCAUAAGGAGACGGUGGUUUUAUACCCAUACCUACCAUCCAUAUAUAAUUAAAGCAUAUAAGAACAUUUGUGGCAAUCAUACUAUAUAAAUAGUAAUGAUAUUGUUAAAAUGAAUACAACUUUUAAAAUUAUAGUAAUUACCUGCUUGUUGUGCACCAACAAUCAUGUUCUUGAAGUGGUGAGAGUCUGUUUUACUGGGCGGAACACUCUCAUAUAUGAAGAACUUACUGAUCAAACGUCCCAUGGUUUCCUUGAUGGCACCACCUUUGAAAAUAUUUUUCAUAUUUUUAUGUCUUGCUACUGAAGAUUUGUACAAUGAGGGUGCAUCAGGCAGUGAUGGAUCUAAAUAUCGAACACUUUGCGAUUUUCGCAUUUGCCUUGUUGUUGGAUUGGUUGGAUGUGAAGACUUGCCUAUUAUAAUUAUUAAAAUUAAACAUAUAUGCUAAUUUAAUAUUAUUGAUAAAGUUGAUAAGAAAUAGUAAUAAUUCAAAUUAAUAUUAUACCUGUUUUUAUUUUGUCUUUUAUAAAAUGUUCUUCUUAUUGUCGAUUCCAUUCAGCAGCUUUUGAUGCUCGAACCGCCUCUCUAUAAGCAUGUCGCUCACCAAGGUGCAUGUCAGCCAGAUACAUAUACACAUCAUCAUCUCCAUCAUCAUCAUCACCACCAAGGUUCUCCUCAUCGUCCUCAUCAGUUACAUGCUUAUGUCUUAUUCCCAUUGUGUCUCGCAGUUCAGAUCGAAUCUCUUCUAUAUCUGUAGCUUUCUUCGCUUUUGCCUUAUUUUUUUGCUCUAGAAGUCGUCUUAUUUAUUGUUUCACUUCUGGAGGCAUGUUAGGACACUUUUUUGUAUUUGAAUUAGGGUCUGUAUGUGAUAGGUGAAAUUUAAAACGAGUAAUCCCACCACUCUUUAUUGCCAACCCACAGUAAUUGCAUACUGUUCCAUUUUUGUCCCCUUCCAUAGGUGUACAAUAUUUCCAACAAGGAUCUCGACCCAUGAUACCGCUUUCACUAGCCAUUUUCUAAAAUUGAAUUAUGAAACUAAUAUCAAAUUUAAAAUUAUUAAAGAUAAAACAUGUAAGAAAUUUAAUAUUCAUGAAAUUGAUAAGAACUAAUAAAAAUUGAAAUUAAAAUUAAAUUAUGCAUAUAUGAAAUAGAUAAACAUUACAAUAAAAUUUCAAUAUGAAUUAAAUUUAAAUUAAAUUAAAUUAAAUUUGUAUAUUCAUGAAAUUGAUAAGAAUCAUUACUAAUAAAAAUUAAAAUUAAAAUUGAAUUAUGCAUAUAUGAAAUAGAUAAACAUUACAAUAAAAUUUCAAUAUGAAUUAAAUUAAAUUAAAUUUGCAUAUUCAUGAAAUUGAUAAGAAUCAUUACUAAUAAAAAUUAAAAUUAAAAUUGAAUUAUGCAUAUAUUAAAUAGAUAAACAUUACAAUAAAAUUUCAAUAUGAAUUAAAUUUAAAUUAAAUUAAAUUAAAUUAAAUUUGCAUAUUCAUGAAAUUGAUAAGAAUCAUUACUAAUAAAAAUUAAAAUUAAAAUUGAAUUAUGCAUAUAUGAAAUAGAUAGACAUUACAAUAAAAUUUUGAUAAGAAUUAAAUUAAAUUAAAUUUGCAUAUUCAUGAAAUUGAUAAGAAUCAUUACUAAUAAAAAUUAAAAUUGAAUUAUGCAUAUAUGAAAUAGAUAAACAUUACAAUUACAUUUCCAUAUGAAUUAGAUAAUAUCAAUUAAACUAUUGUAGACCCCCCUCUUUUGGUCUCGUUUCUUUUUUUUUCCUCUACAUAUAUUAUGUUUGUUUUAGCCAUUGCGGAAGCACCUGGAAGAGGUGUUAGUGCCUUGAACAAGUGGGGGGACCUGGCUGUUUGGAGAGAUGAGCUGCGUGGAACACGUGGUGGAGCAGUUGGCCACAGCCAUGGUGGUGGUUGGGGCUCCAGUUUGCUGAGCAGAGGAACAGUAUAGUAGCUGAUGGCUUGCAGGAAAAGCUUUGACGGAGAAGGAGGACAGAGGAUUUUUAAGAGGAUCCUUUUGAGAGUGCUGGCAGGGGGGGAUCUUGGAGGGAAAGGGAAGAGGAGAAGUAAGUUUUGAGGAGAAAGGGGCUUUCAGGUAUGGCCAUUUAUGAUUUUUCCCGAAUAUUCUGAUCUUUCAUAUCUUUCCCAUCUUACUCUCCAUGAUUCCAGUUUUGCUUGAUGAGUUGUUUUGUUUUGAUGAUUGUUGGUUUAACAUUAAAAAAGAUGGCUGUUUUUUUUGUGUUUUACCCGUGCAAACCUCUUCCAACUUAACCCUUUGAUCGUUAAGCUCAUGGAUGAAAGAAUGAAACGAAGUUAGCACAUUCAUCAAAAGGUUCCCUGCUAUGUUUCUCCAUUUGUUCCCUUUGCUUGAGUAUGUGAGUAUUGAUGCUAAUAGUAGCAAGGUCCCAGCCAACUUUGUACAAUAGAGCUCAGAUGUUGCUCUAGGGGUUCAUGAUCAUCCUGUCAAGUGCCUAGGAGCAAAUGAUGCCCUUGAGCUUACGUUUCUAAGUCGUGUUCUCCCUACCAAGCUGGAUACCCUCCUUGCUAAGGACGGGGGGACGAAACCUAUUAACAGCCGAAACCCAAUGAUAAGAUCCAAGUCACUGUCGAGUAUCUCAAUGAGAAGGAUGCCAUGGUUCUUUCUUCGUGUACAUGUUGUUCCCAUCUCCACCCAAGUUGACUAAACUGUCAUCAGUGAUGAGAUUGCUGCCUACACUAAAUAAUACAUCAUCCAGCCGGUUAUUCAUGAGAAACAUUAAGAUGAGAAGUCCACCUUCCAACACCCAUUAAGCCACUCUUCACACCCAUCUUCUCUCAUUAACAUCCUCAUACCCCUCCCACCACUUCGUGAUUCAUAUCCCCAUCAUCCCCAGCCGUCCAUGCUAUCAAUAAUAUCCCCACUUAUCUUCAUACCCAUUUGUUCCACUAUUCGGAAUCCCCAUGCAUGCGAAACUGGACGCGGAAGCCAUGAUAGCAGAGAUUGUGAUGAAGAACGUGGAAUGCGGUACCCUGUUGCAUGAAGUGAGCAUGGUGGAGCGGCGGUUUGAGGAGUCGACGAGGAAGAUAGAGCUGUAGAAGAGCUUGCUGGAGGUGUUGGAGUUGGAGAGGACGAUAUUGCUGAAUGAUAACGUGCGGCUGGGGCGCGAGAUGAGUGCGCUGAUUGAGGAGAACAAGGGGCUGUGGAGGUCCCGGCUCCUGCUCCGACGCUGGAGGCGCUGAGUCCUCCAGCACCGCCGGCCGAAGCUCCUAGGCCACAGCUAGAUGCGAUCCCAUCCAUCUCCAUCUCUGCCAGGUGAGAGUAGGGCAGAGAAGAUCACGUGCGUGAGGUAGAGGGUAGAAAUGGAUAAAGGGCAUAGAAAAUGGGCUACAGCAAUGCAUGGAAUUGUUUGAUAAAAGAAAAGAGAAAUGGGUUUGUUGACACGUGAAAGAACUAUGCACUUUAAAAAAACUCUCCCUGUUUGUUUUACAUAUUCUCAAACAAUGCUUAAAAAUCCCUUAAAAUUUUAAAGUUAAAAAUUUAUUCACUUAUUCAUGUUUUUCUAUUCACUUCAAAUUCUCGAAACUCAAUCCUAAAAUUUAAUUUCUUCAAAGUUCAAUCUCCAAAAUAACUUUUUUUUUAGGUUCUAAUUUUAACUUUAAUUCUCCAAAGAUCCAAAAUUUUAAAUUUAACUUUCCAAAAAUCCCACAAUUCCGAAUUUAAUUUUAGGUCUUGUAAAUUAGUAUUAUUAUCCCAUAUUUAUUUAUUUAAAGUCCAAUCCUUCAAAAAUCUCAUUAUUAUUAUUAUUAUUACUUCAACUUUCGAAAUCAAUUUAUUCUUAUUAUUAUUAUCAUUAAUCCAAACUUUCAAAAUCCUAUUAUUAUUAUUAUUAACCCAACUCUCAAAAUAUUAUUAUUAUUAUUAUUAUUAUUAUCAUUAAUUCAGACUUUCGAAAUCUUAUUAUCAUUAUUAUUAAUUCAACUUGCAAAACCUUAUUAUUAUUAUUAUCAUUUCAAAACCUUAUCAUUAUUAUUAUUAUUAUGAUUAUCAUUAUUAUUAAUUUAACUUUUAAAAUAUUAUUAUUACUGUUUUUAUUAAUUCAACUUUUAAAAUCUUAUUAUUAUUAUUAUUACUAAUUCAAUUUUCAAAAUCUUAUUAUUGUUAUUAUUAUUAUUAUUGUUAAUUCAACUUUCAAAAUCUUAUUAUUAUUAUUAUUAUUAUCAUUAUUAACCUAUUAUCAUUAUUAUUAUUAUUAUUACUAUUACUAUUAUUAUUAUUAUUAUCAUUAUUAUUAAUUCAAUUCCCCAAAUCUUAUUAUUAUUAUUAUUAUUAAUUCAACUGUCAAAAUCUAUAUUCCCGUAGUUUAAUUUCUCAAAGUUCAUUUCUUAUCAUUACUGUUAUUAUUAAUUCAAUUUUCAAAAUCUAUAUUCUCGCAGUUUAAUUUCUCAAAGUUCAUUUCUUAUCAUUACUAUUAUUAUUAAUUCAGCUUUCAAAAUCCAUAUUCUCGCAGAUCAAUUUCCUAAAGUUCAUCUCUCAUUUUCUUUGACGAAUUUCAAUUUAAUUACCGAAGCUCUAAUCUUUCAAAGUUAAUUCCAAAUACUUCAAUUUUCAAAUAAAGUCUAAUAAUCCAGUUUUCACUCGAAUGGUUUUAAUCCCAUUUCAGUCCCUAAAUAAUCUUCUGGUAUUCUUGAUUUUAUAUAAGCAAUAGUGAAUUCUUCAUAAUUCUAAAACACGGAAUUUGUGAGACUGGUUCAUGAAUAAUAAAUUGGGUUUUGGUGGGAGGCACUAUGUUUGAUCCCUAUUGAUUGUCAACUGUUGUGCUUAAUGUAUUUUUGCUUGAUCUUCAUUUUGCACCCUGAUAUGCAUGAGUUAUAAUUUGUAUUCAUUAAUUAUGCACUAAUCCUGUUUCUUGAUAGCAAAUUGCUGUUUGCUACCCAGGUACGCAUUCACUCAUUCUGAUCAUUCACUAUACGUAUUCUGAUUCUCAUAUAUGCAUGAUUAAUGUGAGUAUCCAUUGACUUUCUUAUUCGAUUGCCACGUCAGUUUCACUUUAUUAGUAGAGACCCGACUUUAGGGACUUUGAGGGGUGCUAUGGUCUCUACCGUACCUUCCCGAUAAGUAACCUGACCCUCGAACCCGAUCCGGUUUUUCACAGACCACCUUUUCCAAAACAAGGAGUCGCACUUAGGGUUUUUCUUUCUUAUUUUGUUUACCCUUUAAAAAUAAAACAAAAAUAAGUGGCGACUCCAAGUCAUUUUCAAAUAAUCAAUAAAAAUCAAGUUUUCAAAUAAAAAUCGAGUUCGUCAUCGAGUGGGAAACGCAUUGAGCCGAAAUGCGGGGUCCACAACUAUAUAUAACAAAUAAAAUUGAAUUAUGCAUAAUAAAAUAAAUUUUAUGAAAGGUAAGACAUACCUUAAUUAGCUUUGACUUGGAGUUAAUCCCUUUCACCAACAAAUUUUCAAAAUAAAAAAAUUUUGCUAGAUCAUAUAAGAAUUUUGAUGUAUGAAAUGGAAUGGAAUGUGGGUAUUUAUAGGAAUUUUUUGGUCAAACUACUCGUUGGAUGGUCAAAUAGCCGUUAUAAAUUAAUUUUAACCGUUGGAUCAAAAUUUGGUUCAAAUUUCACCAUUAGAUCUUCAUAUAACCGUUGGAAACACUCCAUAGCCCUUGGAUAAAGUGAAGAUUGAUUUUCCACCAUUGGAUCACAAAUCUGACCAUUGGAGGCCUUUAUAAACACACGGGUGAAAUUUGGGCCAUCAGAUCCUCAAAAAUUCAAAUUUGGCCGUCAGAUCAAAAUCCUUGAAGCUGUAAAAAAAUCACCGAUUAAUCGCGAUUUUCUCGGCAAAAAAUCGUUGAUAUAUCGGUAAAAUAGCUGAUUUUUUGGGCUCCUCCUCCGGCUUCUUCGUGCGUGCCUCUACUCGCGAUUUUUCGUCGAUUUAUCGGUGAAGCACCGAUAUUUGGCCGAUAUAUCGGCGAUUUUGCCGAUUUUUCCGUCGAUUGAUAAUCGGUGACGAUUAUUAUUUCGGUGCCGCCCAAUAUCCGAUAUUUCUCCGAAAUAUCGAUGAUAUAUCCCGAUUUUUCAAUCCCUAGUUAGACCCUUAGAGGGAUUUUAAGUAGAGAGGGCCCGAGCUUGACAUUUCUCCUCCACCUCAUUCAGAUGGUAUUCAUGUUGAGACCACUUUCUUAGAGCCUAUGAUGAUUGAGUCGUCUUACACUACAGGAGCAUCAUCUCAGCCAUCAUUCACCGAGCUUCCUCACACAGAGAUACCAUCUCAGGCACCUCACGCUUCUGAUCAUGCCCCUUGGAUGGAUGUAUCAGCUCAUAUCAGCUUCCUUGGGACUCCUAUGGAGGAGCUUGCUUUAGUCAAUGAUACUCGAUUCUACUCUAUGGAGGAUCACAUAGAUCAGUAUCAGACUGGCUUCACUUCUCGUUUUGAGCACUUCCAGCAGAGAUUUGAGCGUAUAGAGGAGCGUAUGGAUCAACAGCAGGCUACAGUUGAGCAUCUCCAGCAAAGUAUUGAGCGCAUUGAGAGUCGCCAGGCGAGUUAGCAUGAGGAGAUGAUGGCUUACCUCCGCUCCGUGUUUCCAUCUUCACCCCCUCAGCCUUGAGUUUAUCUAGAGUUCCCCCUCAAUUUCUUUUUUAUGUUGCUAAAGGGGGAAAAAUAUCUAGGAUCUAGGAAACCCUCAUGCAUAUCAUUGUCAUAUCUAUCUUGAUUAGCAUAUAUGUUAUGUUUUCGUGUACAUGUGAGGUUACCAUAUAUAUGAUAUGCUAUUUUCAUGAUCCAUUGUUUCCUAUUCAAUUUUUCAUGCUUUACAUUGUUUCCUAUUGAAAAUUGAUUGAUUGAUCCAUGAUUGGUUUGAGGGGGAGAUUUUUUUUCUCUCCUAGAUAACCAAGGUUGGUCAUCAUAAAAAAUGGGGAGAUUGUUAGCCUAAGGGCUCUCCUAAUCGGGUUUUGAUGAUAACAAACCAUGGUUAAAUGACUAAUUGGUUUAAUGGUUAAGAAUCUCAGGCAUAAACUCGAAAAUUCAUCAAAUGACCAAAUGGAUACAAGAUCGAGACAUUUGGAAGACUUGUGAUCAUAGGAAACUAAUGUAAGAUAAAUACAUGAGUGCACUUAGGAUUUUCAUACCGUUUCAUGCAAUUUAGAAAACUCGGUUUAUUUUUUAAAACUUCGAUUUCAUUAAAACCCGAGUUUUAACAAAUGUACCUUAGGCAAAAUGUUUUAAAAUUGGCAUAAUAAUUCACCUAAAAACCUUGCCUAAGUGUUAGAAAAAAAAUGAAUUCAAAAAGAUAGGUUUUUAGGGCCAAAAGGCUCAACCGGUUGGAGAACCAGUCGACCAAUUGCCCUUCUCCGGUCGAGGAAUGCACAAAAUUUUCUCUCUCACAGUAGCCUUCUCUUCCCAGUCGAGGUUAUUCUCUUCCCGAUUGAGAACUGGUCAAGGUCCGGUCGAUGACCGGUCGAGGCAACGGUAUCCUGUCAAGCAUUAAAUGCUCCAACGGCUAGUGAACCGGUUGACCCCUAGUUCGAUCGGUCGAGGUUACCUUUUGCUGUUUUUGGCUCCCGAGCUUAGAAACCUAUAAAUUGAGAGCUCCACUUCAUUUAUUGACGAGAGAACACUUGCAACUAAUUGUCUACCUACCUGUUCUUGAUCAAAAAGCUUUCAUUUCUUUCUUAGUGCAUUAAAUCUUCAAUUGCAUAUCCUUUAGUGCACUCUUGUGUGUCAUCCUAGCUUUGUCUUAUAUUUGAGCUAUCCUUAAGCUAGGUUGAGGGAUUCAUUCUUGUAAAAAUCGAGUGUUAAAGCCUUCAAGAGGUUUAAAUCUUGAAGAGAUUGUGUAAGAGCCCAUUGGAGCCGGAAUCCAAGUGUAAGAAGAUUGGAAGCUUGGUUGAAACUUUAAGUUAGUGGAACCCUCACUCAGUUAGGAGAUUGAGGAGAGUGGACGUAGGCAAGAAAGUGCCGAACCACUAUAAAAUCCGAGUUUGAAUUCUUUAACUCUAUUUCUUUAUUUUGCUUAUAUUUUGCUUGAACUCGUUGUGAUCGAAAAGAAUUUAAAAAAUCCAAUUCACCCCCUUCCCCUCCUUUUGGGUGUUUUUCUUAAUUAAGCAUAGCCUAUAUUUUCUCAUAAAUAAUCUCACAAAAUCCUAGUACAAACUUUAGCCUCAAAUUAUACAAGAUAAACUAGGAUUGAAUGGUGCACUAAUGAUAUGUAAGUUUUAAAACAAUGUGUACUAAAAAACACUCCCCUAAGGCUCAAUUAUAUUCAAGAAAGGUUUAAGAAGGUUAAACUCUUGAAACUAUAAAGAUUGAAGCGUUUUUAUAGAAGAGAAAAGCCAAACUACCUAUUGGGGGUUCGUCUGGUCGAGCUCUGGUUCGACCAGUUCACUAGCCAUUAGCAUUUAAUGUAUGAUAGGUGACCAUUGGGCCUUGACUGGUACUCAAUUGGAUGAAGUUCAACCUUGAUUGAUCGAAUAAGCAUUAUGGAAAAGAGAUAAGGUUUUUGCACCCUUCAACUGAGUAAGUUGAAUAAGUCGACUAAUUCCUCAUUCAAUUCAACCAAUUAAGUCAUUUUUUGCUAAAAAAACCAUCAUUUUCAACUUAAAACCUUUUAAACAAGUUUGGAAAGCAUUUGACAUAAGGUUUUAGUUGAAAACAUGAAAUCAUCCAAUUUUUAAAAGAUUUAAAACAAAAUAACUCUUGAAUGAUUUUAGUGUAUAAGUAAAGAAUGUAAUGCAUGAAAAACCCCAUGCACUAACAACCUUACAAAGAGAUCCUAUGAGGCUUAGGUCUUGAAAAAACACUUAUCUUUAAGGUUUUCUUCUUCUUAUUGAUUUUAUCUUUGUGAUUGCCACUUUGGAAAUCAUCUUGCCUAGUCACACUUAAAAUAUAAUCAUUAGUUCUAAACCUUGUUUUGUUAUCAUCAAAACUAAGAUUAACCAAACCUUGGUUUCACAGUAUGAAUAUUGUAUCUUUAGAUCUAUAGUUAAUAGUGGUUUUUAUAGUCAUAUGUUUCUAUUGUGAUAAAUUUAGAGAUGCCUAGGGAUAGAUGAAUGCACCCUAUGAGAUCUAGUGCAUAUGAAUGGAGUAAUCUGGGGUUCCUAACAUAGUUUAGGCUUGUGCUUCAUAGAGCGAUAACAAUUCUUCAAGCAUAGUUAUGCUUUAGAAAUUUGUUAUUGAUUGGUCCAAUUUUUAGACCAUCUUUAGCAACAAUCUUGUGGGCACCAUUGAUAUAAACUUGUUAUACAAAAUAUGAUCUAUCACAUUUUUGGCAAGAACUUUCCACUAGUUUUGUGCAUGGUAAUGAUCAUGCAUGCAAACUUAACUAAGUUAUACACUAGAUGCCAAACUACUACAAUUCUUAUACACCUUCCCAUUUUGUGCAACCGAACAAUUCAACAUCAUAACACCAAAGUUCUUGCUUAGAUUUCCUACAGUGCUAAAAUUUUGAAAUGAUUAAUUUUUUUAUUUUCCUUUCAAUACCAAGACCCACAUACAUCAUGUCAUGCCCUAAGACCCACUCUAAGGGCAUGACAAUCAUUUCACAUCUCAAGGUAGAAAGCUCAAAGUGUAAAUUGACCUUAACAUUCAUUUUGUAACUGGAAAAUUAUCAAUUACCAAAUUCAUAUUCAAAGUAGUAGAAUAAAAUUCUAUAAGUUUCAAAUCUCAACUUUAAAGCUAACACAUCAACUAAAGUGUUAUUGUCCAAACAACUUCAAACUUAACAAUUCAAGCAAUCAUUAAAUUCUAGCUUUCAAAAAAAUAAAGUUUUAACCAAAAGUCUUAAUAUUGCCAAAAUAUCAUCCUAACGAUCACUCCUAGCCCGAAUUAAGGUGCCUAAAAAAUUGUCAAUGAAAGGAAAUGAGAUCAACGCUCAAUAAGGAAUAUUAACAAAGUUUCAUGGAUCAAACAUUUUUAAUUAUAAUUCCAAAUAGGAGAUAUAAUAUAUAAUCAUUUUCAUAAAAACUUUUGAGUUUAAAUAUAAUAAUACAUUCAAAAAUUUUUAGCUAAACAUUUUCAUAUCUAUGUCAAAACAAUUUCAUAUCAAAUUCAAAUCAAAUAUAUACAAAAUAUUUUUAUUUUGGUUAUCAAAUAUCACAUGGUGUCAAGUUAGGUGGGACUUUACAAAUUGGUGUCUAGCCUCAAAUUUUUUCAUUUCAAGGUGGAUGAAACCAAACACUACUAGUAUUAUUAACAUCUAACCAAAUGCCUAAAGGGUGGAAUCUAAAGCAAUUACAUGCCCCGCCAAGAAAUAUAAGGUCAACAAUUAUAACUAGUUAACUAAGGACAAAAAUAAACUAGAGUCAAACACCUUAUUUCAUUAAUUCAAACUUACAAAACAAAAACAUCAUAUCUCCAUAAUUUUCAUUUUUUAUAAACAAAAGAAAUGUUCUAACAUAUUUUUUUCAUGAAAAAUAUAUAUUUGAUCCAUGCAUAAAAAUAAAAAUAAUUUUUUUUAUUAUUCAAAAUAACAUAUAAAAGUAAAUAUGUUCUUUUGGCCAAAACAUGUAUUAAUUUUUCUUACCUCAAAGAAACACUCAAAGACCUUGAAGCAAUUAAUCCUGAAGAAUUUCACCCCAAAAAACAUAUUUCAUACCUUACAAAAAAAAAACAAAAAAACAAAAUUACUAUUGAUUAUUUAUCUAAUAAUAGUUUCGUAUCUCAUAUCACCUAUAUUAUUUUUAACUUCCUAAUAAAUAACAAUUUAAUAAGUGAUUUUCCAAAUUUUAAAAAGUUAUGUUCUUUCCAAAAUUUAUUCAUAAUAUUCUAUUAUUAUUAAUUAAAUCUCUCAAAAAUAUGUUUUUUCUAUUUAUUGCAUUAAACUAUUAUUAUUAUUAUUCAAUUUCAAUUUGAUUAAUUGGUUUUUUCUUUUAAAUUUUUAAUUUAUAUAAGAUUCUUGUUUUGAAAAUCUUCCAUAUUUACUUAUUUGUUUAAAGUAAAUUUCUCCAAAACUUGUUCCUUUUUGUUAAACAAAUAUCUUUUCCUAUUAUUAUUAUUAUUAUUAUCCCUAAUAUUAUAUUCAAAUAACUAAACAAUAAUAAUUUAAAUUAGUGAGUUUCCAAAUUUUUAUAAAACUCAUAUUCAUUCUAAAUCUUAUCAUAUAUAUCUAUUUCUUUUAUAUAAUUAAAUUAAAUUAAAAAUUUUACUUAAAUAUAUAUAUAUAUAUAUAUAUAUAUAUAUAUAUAUAUAUAUAUUAUAUUAUAUUAUUACUUUCAACAUCCUUCUACCACCGAAACAAUUACCUCAAGUAAAAGUCAUCUAUCCUUAUUCUACUAACUACCCUCUCUCUUGCAAUAGCACACUUAGGGAUGGCAAUGGGGCGGGUUCAGGAUAGGUCACCCCCAUCCCAACUCCACCUUGUUUAUUCAAAAUAAUUAUCAUCCUCGUCCCAUUUAAAAAAUUAAAUGAGACGGGGCGAGUAUGAUAAAUUCUCAUACUCGCCUCGUCCUGCCCCGUUUAACUUUUUUUUGAAUUUAUUUAUUUAUUUAUUUUUAAAAUUACUUUUAAAAUUUUUAAUUACAUUAAAAUAAAUAUAUUUUAUAAAUAAUUAAAUAAUUAUAUUUUUUAUUACUUAUUUUAUUAAAAAUAUUUUAUUAUUAUCUAUAUAUUAAAAAUAGUAAAAUAAAAAUUAAAUUAAAUUAAUUUUAAAAAUUAAUUUUAUAUAUAAUUGGGGCGGGGUGGGACGGGGCAAUACCCAAACCUGCUUCGGGUUUUAAAAAAAAUUCUCAAACUUGUCCCAAACCCGUUUAUUAAAAUUGAACUCCGUCCCAUUAGGGACGAGGCGAGUACCUCGAAAAAACCUGCCUUAUUGUCAUUCCUAAGCACACUUUCAUUUUUUUUUUUUCAUUUUUAUUGCUUUUAUCUUUUUCCUCCCUAAGAUCAAUCAUAUUGUAAGCACCCCUUUUUUUUUUCUACCACAUCUUGUUGCAAUCAACCUUGUAAGUUUUUUUAAUUUAAAUUUUUUUUCCACUAUGGAGGCACGUACAACCAUAAAACCCCAUCUUUUUUUAUUUUAUUUUUACAACUCUCAAAUCUCUCAACCUCCAUACUAUUAGGUUUUAUUCAUUCAUUUAUUUAUUUAUUAUUCCAUAUCCAAAACUAUAAUUAAUUUUCUUUUAUAUUUUUUUAUUUUAGAUCUAUUAAUUUGAAUAUUCAAAAUUUCUAAUCUUUACUAAUAACUCUAAAGCAUUCAAAACUAAUUAAUAAAUAUAAAAUAUUAAUCUAAGGAUUAAAAUCUUAUAUAGAAAAUUGAUCUUCAAAUCUUAAACCCCCAAAUUUUCAACCUUACAUUGCGUUGUCUAAUAUCUCAAAUCUCCAUGUAAAAGGGCUUUUGAAUAGAGUAAAUAAGAAAAAUUUAAUUUAUACCUAAAAUUUUUAAAAUAGAGAAAAAUCUUUCUACCCUUAUUAAUUUAAUUUAAUUAAUUUUUUAAAAUUAUGUUUUUACCCUUUAAUUGGGUUUGGGCAUCACACAUCAUACUAAAAAGUUAUCAAUAACCGUCCUUUGAGGCAUAUUAGCAUAAAUUUGCAACUUUAGUUGUGUUCUAGGUGCAAUUCUAUUAUGUUUAAUUGAAAAAUAACACACAUAGCACAACCAAGCCUAAUUGAAAGCAUUUGGGCAAAUAAAUGGUAAAUUUCUAAAAGUUCACCAAAACAAAAAAAAAGAUCAUAGAGGGCAUAUUUUUCAAGUCAACCUAGUUUUGGGAUAGCCACUUUCAAGCCUAAUGAUGUUAAGAUGUCUUAUUGCAAUCCAAUCUAAGAAUGCAAUAAUAGCUCUUUAAUUCAUAAUUUUAAAUUCACAAAAGAUAUCACCAAAAAUUACCAUAGGUUACCAAAGCAUCAACAACAUACAGAAAGCUUAGAAAUGCUUGGAACCUAUCGGAUUUUCACUUUUUAGGAAUAAAAAAAAAAAUCAACUUUAAGGAUUUUAGGGUAAUACUUGCUUGAACCAUCUUUCAAUCCUUUUGUUGGUGGUGGGCCUUUUACCUAUAGGAACAGGAAUAAGAGGUGAAAAUGAGGGAGCCUUAUGAAAACAGAUCCCUAGGGCUUAAGAAGGGGUUUUCAAUUUUAGGGUUUGCCUUUUCACCAAGGAUGUGAAUGGGAAGAUCAAGUGAAGUUAAGAGAUUGGUGAAGCAAAGUGAGGGCAUGGUAGGGUUUGAAUAAGGGAAAUUCUACACUAUUAAUGAAGAUGAUAAUCUCGAGAAAGCAAAGCUAAGGUAAACUAGGGUUUUAAUAACAUUUUUCAAUCUACACUAGUGAAGACGAUAUCUUCGAAAACCAAAGCUAGGGUAAGCUAGGGCUUUAAUAAUGAAUUUCAAUCUACAAUGGUGAAGAUGAGAAUCUUCGAAAACCAAAUCUAUAAUGGUGAAGAUGAUUGAAAACUAAAUCUAUACUGGUGAAGACGAUUGUAAAGCAAAUCUACACUAGUGAAGAUGAUAAUCUUCGAAAACCAAAUCUAUAAUGGUGAAGAUGAUUGAAAACUAAAUCUAUACUGAUGAAGAUGAUUAGAAAGCAAAUAUUCACUGGUGAAGACAACGAAACCAAAGGUAGGUCUUCUAAACUAAACCCUUUUAGGGAUUUUCCAUUUUUUUUCCUUUGUUUUCAAGAAAGGUAAACUCUCUUGAAAACCAAAAAACUAAUGCAUUCUUAAAUCCAGAUCACCAUUUUCAACAUAGUAUUUGGAUUUCCACCUUGCAUUUUUUAUUUUUUAUUUUUUUUAAUAGUCAAGGGCAUUUUAGGGAUUAUUGAAGGAUAAUAUCAAUAAGCUCAAUUUCCUACAUUAGUUAGGUCUUAGGCUCAAAUGUGAAACUUAUAGGGAUGUUAGGCCAAUUAUCAAACUUACUUGCCUAAAGCAUAAUUUCCCCUUUUCAAAAUAGUUGUUAAACAUCAAUCCCAAACAUGUGUAACCCUUUGAAGUACUUGUAUGUCAACCUUGUUUCCUUUCCCUCAUGCAACAUGACUUAUUGAUGGUUGCAUUGAAUCAUUAUCAUUCACCAAAUCCAUGCAACUAUGGACUACCUUUCAAAUCCCUUGAACAUAAAUGGUAAUUCCAAAACAACUCAAGUAUAAUCUUUCCGGCCUUUCAAAUGAUUUAAUUAAUUGAUGUUUGAAUAUACUUCAUAUAUUUUUUUAGAGCAAUUUUUAGGCAUAUGACAUAAAUCUCUAAUUUUUUUUAUUUUUAUAAAAGGUUUUAUAUUUUAUAUUACAAUUUCCUCUCUUUUUUUUCAUCUAAAAAACAAAAUAUAAAACCUUAAUAAACGAGUUUUGUCACAAUCCCUUAAAAGGUAAUCUAUUUUUAAAAAUUACUUUAACCAUUUUAGAUAUAUUGAUUCAGUCUAAUUUAAUUUUAAUAUUUUUUAUAAAAUAUUUUUAUUUUAUAUGAUUAUAAAUUAAUUACCAUUGAUUGCAUAUUAUAGAAUAUAUAUUCUAAAAUAUAUCCUAUUGACAAUAAUAUCAUAAGAUAUUAUAUCCAUAUCCUAAUAUAUUAUAUACUUUUAUUUUGUGCAAUUAGCAACAGGGUGGAAGACGGCUUAGGCGGGAGACGGCUUAACGGAAAUGUCGUCUGCCAUGCGUGUCCCUUCCCUUAGUGAGUCUGAACAGCUCCAACAUUUCUGACACGCCCUUCUUCGGUUAGCUCUUAAGUAUUUUCGUUAACCCCAUCACAUUUCGCCAUGUGGAUCUAAGCCUCAUGGUCCUUUCGUUCGUACUAUGAAUAUAUUCCUUAUCUAGAGUCUGGAUCCUUUAUCUCUGCACGUGUCUAUGGCUCUUCACCCCAGCAAGUAUGGCAUUACAAGGGCAAUAUCGUCAUUAAAGACCCAAAAGGCAAACGAAUGGCAUUAUCUUCCUUUUGGGUCUAUUCUAUUUAUAUUUAUAUUGCAAGUUAUUCGUGAUGACUUCUCUCAUAACAGCUAAAAACCACUCCAACAGAGCACACUUCACUUCUUCGUUUUUGUCUUUCCUCUUUUUUUUCCAGAGAAGCUGAGAAAGCCCAGCUUGCCCUCAACUCCCCGAUGGGUUUGAUGAAUGUUCUCAAAUUCUCAGCUGCAUGCUUUGAUCUUCUUGGCUGGUAUGUUGUCCACGGAUUUUCUCGUCAUUGGAAAAUGAAGUGGAAUUCUAUGUUUGAGGACAAAACUGGGAUUUGCUUUGAUUUCUCCAUGUUGGUUUUAUCCCUUUCCUUUGAAUUGUCCACAUUCUUGUCAUUGGUUGUUAGUUAUUUGUUUGGAUUUCUACUUGCAGGCCUCUGUUUGCACUGGGUUAUCCUCUGUAAGUCUUGGUCUUACACCCCAAGAUAUGAUCAUUCAUUUACUCUUUUCUUGUUCUAUGAAUUCUUAGUUCUGUUACAUUUAUUGGGUUGGAUUAUUAGUUAUUAUAUUAAUAAUCAUCAACGUCAUCUCGGUUCUUCACAGAUGUGCUUCAAUUCGGGUAAUUGAGACUAACUCAAUCUCAGACGUUCGGAAGUUGGUGGCGUAUUGGGUUCUAUUUUCCUUGGUUUCACUCUUUGAUCAUACUUUUGCCAAGCUCCUUGAAUGGUAAUUUUGCUCAACUGCAUUCCACUAUAUGUGGCUCUAUUUCUUUCAUUUCUCUGCCCUUAAGGAAUUUGGAGUUGCUUUUUUCAGUUUUCUUCCCUGUGAAAAUAAUCGAGAUGUUUAAUGUUCCAGGCCUGCAUGCUCAAGGAAGUGGUGUCAGCUUUGGAAAUAAGAUGGAUCUACUAGUUUUUAUUUCUCAUCUUUAUAGGGAACUUUCCAUAAUCACAGUGAUGAAUAAUUGUCUUGUUUGAAAGCAUGGUUGCACUUAUUUCCAUGGAAUUUGUCUGCUGAGAAACAAAUGGAAAUAGAAAAUUCAGAAUCUGACAAGUUUGUGUAGGGCAACUGGAUCUAAUCUCUUAGUCGAAGCUUAAUUGGGGCAAAUGCUGAUCAUCUUUGGACCAUUGAAGGCUCUAAUCUGUGCACAAUUCUAAUGUUUUUGUUUUCUUCAUUUCUUUUUCAACUGUUCAUAAUAGAUGUCAAAAGAUAAAACCGAACUUAUGUAGUCCAUCCAAGUGGAUGCAUAUAAAUUUAACAGAAACUGAAAUUCGAAGAAAUUUAUUUAUUUUUUUAAAUAUUUUAUUUUCUUAUAUAAUGCAUGUCAGGAUACCAUUCUGGCCUUACAUAAAGCUGAUGGUCAUCUGCUGGAUGGUGAUACCGCAUUUUGAUGGUUCAUAUUAUGUCUAUCAACACCUAGUUCAUCCAUGCUUGUCCAUUGAUCCACAAGUUGUCAUGAAUUGGCUUUUCAAUGAAUCAAAAAAGAAGUUUCAUAGCAGAGAAAACUUUCUUGUUUCAGCAGACCAAUAUAUUAAGGAGAAUGGACCUGAAGCUUUGAAGAAACUACUUGCUAGGAAGGUAUGCCAUUAUAAGUAGGAUUAUCAACAAGUCAAACAGAGUUUUAUUUGAGAUGUUCAAGUAAAAAAUGACUAUAGCAGGUCAUCUAGAAUUAUGUGGUCUAAAUUCAUGUAUAUAUCUAUAUAUAAUUGUGUUCUCUUUUUUUCACAUAUGCAUGUGCAUUUAGAUUUACAUAAUUAUAUAUGCAUAAUCAGAUUCAACUGUGAUAGCCCGGGAUUUAAUUCAGUAAUCAACUCUUCUGGGAACAUGUUGGUUAUGGUUUCUCUCUCACUGUCCUCUUAUUUAUACAUGACUUUGGCUUCAGUUGAGGAGCACAAAGCCUAAUGUUGAAGUGAAAGAGAUCAAAGCACCUGCAGCACCGGAGAAAAAAGGGGAAGCGGUAUGCACUCUAAUGUGGCUAUUUUAUUUCUAUGGAGGCAGAUCCCCAGAAAAAUGUUGCUCAUGUAAAUUAGUGAUGCAUUUAAAAGAAAAACCACUUUAUGUAUGUUUCUGUGAAAAAGAGAACAAGUUUAUGGAUUAAGUGAUAUUUUUUAUGGUGAAAUAAUCAAUAAUUUUCAAAAUAAUAAUAUAUUCGUGCAUGUUUUUGCAAUUCAUGAAUUCCUUUUACGAUUGAUUCUUCUCACCUCAGUGGAAGUGUGAAGAGCCUAAUGUUGCAGAAAAGGAGAUCCAAGUAGUCAAAGUAACAGACAUAAAAAAUGGGGGGAUGGAGCAAAGAGGGUAAGUUUUCCUUUUUAUUUAUAAGGAAGGCUGUCUUCACACAAGGAUUAUUGUUAUUAUUUUUAAGACAUGAAUGUUGAAUGCAUUUGGAAUUGUCGUUGAAUCAUGUGAAGUGUGAAGGUGCAAAUGGUGCUAAGAAGGAGAUCAAAGUGAUGGAAGUAACACAGAUAACAUUUGGUGAUACAGAACAGUGGGUAAGGUUUCUUGUCAUACUUAAACGGCACCUCAUAUUUCACUAGGAUUAAUUUUGGCCUACAAACAUAUUUGGCUACAAGUUGAAGACAGAUUUCCAGAUACUGGUAGAAGUUGAGACAUAAGUAAUGAAUGAGUUUAGAAACAUGCACAACUCUUGUGUGAAACACAAUGAGAGUGGAAAAUAGCUAAGUUGAAAAAUGGCCAAAUACUAUUUUGUAGUUCCCCCCACCACUUAAGUAAUUUUUGUCAUCCUUUGUGAAUGGACAAUGCAGUCCCUUCAGUAAUUCCGCUAUAUUCAUGACUUGGUGAAGCAUAUAACCAUUAGUGUCUUGUCCUAAGUUGACCUUUAAUGAUGAUCCAUUGAGAGGGAUCUGACUUUUGUCAACCCUCUUAGAGGUUAAACAUACGGGGCUUAACCCACUUUUCAAUCUCAUUGGAUAUAUGGCACGUGGUAUCCUCUUCAUCUUGAAAGAGUGAAGUGGUCAUACUCUUUCCUCCGAGUCCAUCGUGGCCAUGCACUUCUGGCUCAUUGGGCUGAGUGAAAGGAUUCCCUUCUGCUUCAAAUCAUAGAGAGAUAUGCCAUGGUCAGCCUCUUUAAUUUGAAGGAUUGAAGUACUCAAAUCCAUUUCUUUGCAUCCAUCUUAGUCCUGCUUCCAUGUCUCAUGGUUAACCAGGAAGAUCAAGCUUCCAUCCAUGAGAUCAGCAUCUGCAGGGUUAUGACUCCACCCUUCCUUGGCAUAGGAAAGCGAUCAUUAAGCCACAUGUCGGAUGACAGAAGUCGUCAUUCAGGUUAUCUUGAGAACUAGGGAAGUUGGAAUUCUAAUUAUUGCAUAUGGUUCUUGAUGUUUAGCCAAUAUACUAUAGGAUUUUAAGCAUCAUGCCCAUGUGCAUUGUGGUUUUUUAUCAGCUAUAUGGUUUACCAAACUGAGGGAUUGAUUAUAGUCAUAAGUACCCUUUUCCCAUUAAUUUCUUGCAUGUGCUUUGCUGAGAUUAUGUUUUUGACAGUGCUAAUCAGGGCAAACCAACAAACAGCUUUAUGUUAACUUUUACAAACUGCCACAUUUUCAGGUUGAACGAUCAGACAUAAAUCUUGGUGAAACUAGAAGUAAUACAACCUGUGCUGUGGAGAUAAAAGAAAGGGCAGCAGCACUGGUGGCUGCAGAAAUUGAGGCAUGUAGAGACAAUAGAACCCCCGAGAUACCUCUGCAUAAGAAAGUCCAGAAAGAGUGGGCUUGUGCUGUAUGCCAGUUCACAACCCAAAGUGAAGUGACCUUCAAUUCCCACCUUCAAGGGAAGAGACAUCAGGCCACUUCUGAGCAGUUGAGAGCCAAAAACCAGGCAACCAAAACCAAUUGUUCCCCAUCUGCUUCAAAGGCCAAGAAAUCUGAUCAGUCCACCAAAGAGGAGCAACCAAAGUGUCCUUCCAACAAUCUGAAUUCCAAAAACAAUGGAAUCUCAGCUGCUUCAACAGUGAAGAAACCUGACGAGACCAAAGAUGAUGAGCAACAAAAGUGUGCAUCCAGCAAUGGACCAAACCAGAAGAAUAACAAAAAGCAAGAGGAGAAGGUGCUAGUUCUUGAGACCAAUGAGCAAGGCCAUCAGAAUAAUUUUGAUCCACGAUCCCACAUUUAUUUUGGGUCUCACAAGUUUCAAAUUUGCAGAAAAAUGAAAGAUGUUUGAGAGAAAAUUAAAUCAUAUUGCACUACUGUUAGGAAAAAUAUGGCUGAAUCCAAUUGCUUUUCUUCUCCAAGUCUAUUAAAAAUAUAAUUUUUUCUCCAUUCCUGACAAAAUUUAAAUUUUUUCCUUAAAAAAAAAAAAAUUAAGUUUGAUCACCUAACACAUCUUUCUAAACUCAAUCUCAACUUGAAAAAUCAAACCUUAAUGGAUGGACUAUAGAAAUAGUGAGAAAACACUUCUGGGGUUUUUUUUUUCUUCCAACAUCAAAUUUUUCUAUAUAUGGGAUUUCACAUGCAAAAGCAGGAGUAGAUUUGCUUGUGUUUGAUGUAUGUAUUAGAAAAAUUUGUCCCUUCUGGGAUGUUUAAUACUUUUCUAUUCUUUUAUAUGCAUGUUUAGCUAGAAGAUAUAGAAUCGAUACCAUUCCUUAAAAGUGAUAGCCACAACUGUGAUAAUUAAACACCAAAGAAUGUGAAGAUCUAUAUAUUCUUUUUUUUUUCCUCUCUCUUUCAAUAAUGAAGCUAAGAUGUGUUGUAAGCAUCAAAUGCAUUGUCUCUGCUUGAAUAUAUACAAAGCCAAGGACCACAAGAUGGAUAGAUAUGGGGACGCACAAAACUUCUCAAACAUGAUUAUAUUAAUCAAGAAUUCAACUAAGCUUAAAUUCAAGAUGUUGAUUUCUAGCAUCUCUGGUGCUAUAGGAUGACUAUUGAUCCUGUACUGUUAUGUGCCCUACUGAUAUAUUCUUCGGGUUGUUAUGUAUAAAUAAAAUUUUUGGGAAAGUUUGCUUGGUGGUUACACUAUCACUAUUUAGGCCAGUAAAAAUUGGAAGCCUUUGUAAAAAACUGAUGGUCCAAGAGCUAUUCUACUUCAUCAUCCAUGUAAUAUGACGAUACAAAUUUGACUAAAUGCAGCUAUAGAAGGCUUAGGACCAUAAACCAAGCCUAGUCGAUGUCACUCACCUAAAUUUAUGCAUAAAGCUUUUGGAUGGCUCAGAGUUAUAUUUAAUUACUGUUAUGUUCGCAACUAUAUUUUCAUUGGAUUUAUAGUCCAGCUUGAGAACUAGUCCUCCAUUGCACAUAAUGUCCACACAAGGCCACAGUGCCCGCUCAAAGGCCAUAGCGCUACUCAAGGAUAUAGUGCUUACUCAAGGCCAUAGAGCCCACCUAAGGCUAACGACCCAAAAGGAGAAAAAGGUUGGUUCCACGUACUCUAAUAUUUACUAGAAAAGGUUCUUCCUAUUAAAGAACAAAAAAUUGCAUUCCCUUGUGACCAAUCCAAACAGUAGACCACUGACUUGUAUAAGGCAUUAUUCACCAUGCAAGCACUUUUUCAGCAACCUACCAUCUGGCAUGAACCAUUUUGGAUUGAUUCACAAAGCAAUGGUGUUAUAUUAAGCAUAUUCAAUAUAGAACCAAAUUGUGCCUCCUUAGAUUAACUAAAAUAUUUCCAUUGCAAGAUGUGCAGAUAGGCAUAUGAUCAUGAAGUAAUUUCCUGAUGAUAAUACCCCACAAAAUAUUUCUUUUUCUCACUGAUCUCUCCUAGAUUUUCAGUUCACCCAUCCAUGGCGCCUGACUAAAAAUGGGGGCAUUUUGGAUACCCCGAGCAGUAAGUUAGCCUGGUAGGCAUCCCGUUGCAAGCAAAGUCAACCCGAGCGGUCCAUUUGACCAAAGCUUAUCCAGGCAGUAAGCGUCCAUAUACAGCUAACUGUUAUGCACCAUCAACAGGUUGAGGUUACAAGAUUAAAGAGUCAUAAUGGCCAAAUGGAAGUUACACGACUCGGCCUAUAUAAUAACAGUAUGACAAAAAAUGCAGGUAUGAAGAACUAUCACUGAAAAAAUUUAUUCCUAAAAAUCCUUUAAGCUCCUUUAAGCUAACUUGGGCAUUGGAGAGGUCUCUCCGAAGCACACUCGAGCUUACCUUUUUGUAAGACAUCGAGAACAAGAGGCAUUGAAGUGAUUGUCCGGAGGGUUGAACUUGGUCGGGAACCAACAAUACACACUAUUCAAAAAUAGGGAUCAUAUUAAAUUAUUAAUGCAACCAUAGGAAGCAAUUGAGGACAAGGGUGUUAUUUGAUUAAAAGGGUAAUUGAAAACCUAAAUUUUGAAAUUUAACCCUCCAUUCUAUUUGGCCUUAUGUGAACAAAAAUGCCUUCAUUAUUUUCUUGUAAAAAUAACUCACCCAUUUAAACCUUACAUGAAAAUACUUAAAAUGGUAAAUGAUAUGUUAAAAAUUGAUUAUUUUUCAAAUAAAACAUAAGAAGGGUCAAAUUCAUGAAAGGAUUAUUUCAUCCCUUUUAAUCAAUUAAUUCGAUUUAUUUCUUUUUAUUUUUUUUCUCUCCAUGUUAAUUUUCACAUCACCCAACAACACCACUCUUAAUUCACACAAGUUUGAAGUUUUUGAAUGAGAUAUAUUCGUAAUUAUAUUGUAAUUGUGUUAUAAUAACCAUUUCGUACUUGGAUUUGUUCUUUCAGUCCAUUUAACCUUUUUGUUUAUUCAUGUCAAAACAAUGUACUUAUAAUCGAAUCCAUUUAUGACAUGUUGAUCUUAUAUAAAUUUAUUAAUUUUAUAUAUUUAAAAAUUAUAAAAAUUAAAUAUACUUUUUCAAUUAUGAAUAUCAUAUUACUAAAAUAUUAAAUAACAAAUUAACUUGAAAUGCUAUAUAUUUCAUUAAUUAUUUUAUAAUUAAAACAUUAAAUGAAAUAAUAAACAAGUAUAAAAUAGAAAAUUCUAUCUUAGUUAGAAAUUAUAAACUGUUAUUGAGACAUAUAAGUAUUAAAAUUCUACCCAUUUCACUACCAAACAACUUAUGUUUUUAGUCAUAAUUUAACCUUAUGAUGAACACUUAAAUAAAAUUUGUCAUCUUUUUCUAUUGAUUUAUAUUUAUUUAUUUAAAAAUUUUGUCUGGCAUAAACUAUCAUCUCACAAAAUCAUCAUUGAUGAGUAGGCUAUGCCCCAGUGUAAGCAUCUCCAAAUCAAACAUCAAUGAGAGGAGUACAACCAAUCAUACAUCAUCUUAUCAAAAUGAAUCUCCGCUUUUCAAAGUCAUCGUGGUAACGUGAAGAGAGUAUUUGACCUCCUCUAAAGAAAAAACAUGUCUUGAUGUGAAAAAGAUCAAGCAAAGUGGUAUGCCUCAACAAAAAUGUGCUCAAACAUGAUCAUGCCCCGAUGUAAGUUAGUAUCUCUAAGAUCAAUCGCCAAUGAAAAGGUUAUUCCCCAGUAUAGGGCAAACUCUGAAAUGACUAAACUCCGUUGCAAGCUCUCAUAAGUGUCUGUGUCAUGAUCCAAUCAUCGCAAAAAUUUGUCAACAAUGAUGAGAAGGCUAUGCUCCUAUAAUCACAUCAAAGAAAUCACUCGGUCAUAUUACUCCAAUGUGAAAGAAAUCUAAUCACCUCCAAGGAACAGCUAUGCCUCAAAACCAUCAUCGACUGAGAGGGGGAUGCCCCUGAUCCAAUCACCACCCUAACUAACGUACCCAUCAUGAGGAACACUUGUUUGAGCUCCAUAAUGGGGAUCAACCAUUAGAUGAACAAGAUUCGAAUAUUACUUGCUCCCCAUUUCAACCAAUGAAUGAUGUACCUGGAAACCUUGUAGACAACCAUAGUUUUCAGCCUUCUUCCUCGCGAUCAUCUAGAACAGAGUCGGUAAGCUUCACUCAUUUCUUAUAAUGGACCUUGACCCACAACGUCGAACUACCUGUAUGCAAAAUUAUCCGUCCAGAAAACCCAUCCAUACAAUUCAGGUUCAAAACCCACAAGAACCACCCUAUGAAUAAACUAAUUAUAGCUGGCUUCGUUGCAAUAGGCAUUAACUUUCUUAUGCUGACAGUCCUAGCAUCAUUUACCAAAGGAUCAACAACUUUUCCAUGUCAGAGAACAUUAUCAAUCACAAUGACACCCCUGGUCCUCACUAGUUGCGAUAGCAAUUUAAAGUAUUCUUGAUUCAAAGGGUAAACAAAACAAAAAAGAAAACCCUAAGUGUGACUCCUUAUUUGAAAAAUGUGGUUUAUGAAAAACCGGAUCGAGCUUAGGGGUCAGGUUACUUAUCGGGAAGGUACAAAAAAAACCGUAGCACCCCUCUAAGUCCCUAAAAUGGGUCUCUAUUGAUAAAAUGAAGCAAUCAUGGCAAUUGGUAAGGAAAUCAUUGAGUAUCAACAUGAUCACACAUUGAGAGUUAAAGCAUGCAUGAGGAAUGGUCAAAGUGAGAAAGGAUGCGUACCUUAGCAACGAGUCCCAAUGCGCUAUCAAGAAAUUGGGUUAGUGCACAAUCAAUAAAUAUAAAAUAUAACACACAUGCAUCACUAAAUAGGGUAAUAAAUCCCCGAUGACAAACCUUGCACUUCACUCAGGUUUAUUUCUACUUCUCUGAUGUUGGGCCCCACCAAAGCUCAUUUUAUUUUGCAUGAAUCAACUCCAAUAACUCCAUUAUUCGGAAUUACGAAAUUUAAUUCUUGCUUAUUUUAAAGCAUUUUAAAAAUAGAGGAGAUAUGAGAAUUGCUCGCCAGAAAAGAAGAUGGCGGCAAAAUUUUAAUGAAAAACGAGUUUUUGGAACCUAAGAAAAAUGUUAAGGAUGGAAAAUUUUGGAGGUUUGAAAUUAAUUAAAAAUUAGAAUUGAGGAAUUUAUUUACAAAAUGGGGUUUAGGAAAAUUAUUUUCAAAAAAAAAAAAUGAUGAAAUGAGAGAUGGCACGUGACACAAGGGUGGCCAUGCUGAAGGCGUUCUCUUCUGGCCCAAGCUGGAAAUGCACUCCAAUUAUCCUUCUUUUCUGGUAUAACACCUUCAUCAAAAUAAAUAGCUUUUGCACCAUACUCUGAUAGACAAGGACCAAUAACAAUGCCUAUAUUUGCCUUAAGUAGACAAAGUAAGUCACCCAUUGAACCUCCAAUAUAAAUUGUCAAGUGCUCUGUGUCAUUACUGCAUCCCUCCUUCAAGAUGUCCUUAGAAACCUAAAGCUUUUCCACGACAUACUCCAUCUUCUUAAUGAUUUCACCCGUGGAAAUGGAUUCUUCACAAGCCAACUCAUUUGAAUAUACUCUCAAAACACCCAUAUCACCUGAUGAAAAUGCUGAUCUAACGAAAUCGCCACACCAACAGUAUGAAAGUCCAUGAACAUCUGCUUUCAGAUUAUUAUUUUUAAGAAUCUUUUGGAAGAAACCUGUGCAACCAUCUUGAAGAAUUAGACCUUGACCAACCUGUUUUAUAUCAUCUGAAUUUAAACCCUUCAAUACUCCAGACUGAGUCACUCUUGAAUCUGCCUUUUCCUCAAAAUCAGAAAGUUGCUCAAGUGCUUUACAUAAGCCUUCAUAAUUGAAUUUUUCCACUGUUUCACUGGGGACGAUGCUUCCCAUGCAUUUUUCAAGCUCUUCAGUAUGCUGGGUAGAUAGAACACCCCAUGUGUGUGUCCAGAUCACCAUGAGUGACCAUUUGAACCUUGACGAAUGAGAGAGUACAUAACAUUUAAGCACACAGGACAUAUAUUAACAUUCUCCAUUAGCUUCUCUUUGCCUUUGUCCACCUCUUGACCUCCCAUGCAGCCAACUGUGAAGACCACGUCCAGGUGCAGUCACGUGGUGACACAUCUCAUGGUCUUCCUCAUCCAAUAAAUCACAUGCUCUGUUAAAUCUGCUACCCGAAUGGAUACCUCCUAUCCAUCAACCUGAAUAUACUCCGAGCUUUCUUCAUAAAACCCAAGAAACUCCAGAAGGCAUCAUGGUUCUCCUCCAUCAUUGAAAUGAUUAGGGAUAGUAAAUCACUCAUCCCUUAGCAAUAUCCCAUUUUUAAACCAUAGGGUGCGUAGGCUUCUAGAAUAGUAGCAAAGUGAGCAACACGGAAAAUCUUGCGUGGAUCCAAGUUCCAUGAUGGUGAUCGUAGCCUCACCUUUGAAAUCACAAGACCCAGAACCCAUUCGUUCUUCCUGGUAAUAACUAUCAGAUGCAUAGGAGGCAGGGUUCUUCAGAUUGUUGAUUUGGUAAAAGCCUCUUCUGGUUGAACCCCUGAAUGAUUCACUUUUCUCAGUCCGCAAACCUAGUUCAGAACAGCCCGCAAGAUCAGAACCUUAACCUAGGCGUGGAGAUCCAGUGUUGUAUAACGCCUCAAUUGUCGGAAGCAGCCAUGGCCCAAACAAUGAUAUAAUGGUCAGCAAGUUGUCCCCAAGGACCAUGACAGUGAUGAGCAUUUCCGGGCAGCGCGUCACCACGUUCCACGUCGCGACGGUAAUGGCUAUGGACUGAGUGUCAUGGUCAGGGAGCUUGAUGAAGCAGGUGAAAAUCUGGUGUUUUAGAUUCUGAGGCAAUGACUGCUUGAUCGGUCGGAUUCUAGUACCGGCGUUACAUUGGGGAGGCAAUCUUAAAGUUCCAACGGAGGUAGUAGUGGACUAAUAUUCCUCAAUAACCAAACUUGAGUUUCUCACUUUCCGCUUCUCAAGGCAUUCACCUGAAACGCUUCAGGCGCCCAAACCCUUUCUGCUCAUCAGUAUAAUCACGCGCAUGAAAGUCUUAACUGCCUUCUAAACUUCACAACUUCAUCUUGCAUCUGGGUCAUCGUCGGCACGAACUUAUCACCUGAUUCAGUUAAUAUCCCCAUAUAACAAGUUCCAAUGAAGUCGCAACUUUGCAUCUUCUUUUCUGCGAUUACUUUGAUUCUCAAAGCCGAUUACUUGUUGCAGUCCAUAGGAGAUUCAAUAAUCAAACAUCAUGCACAAGCAAAAAGGCAACAAAAUACAUCGGCAUGUGGCCCAUACACCCUCCAAAAUCUUCACUCAUUUAGUAAGUUUUAGAUUCAAAAGAGUUAGCCUUCUGGUGAGCAACCCGAUACCCAUAACGAAUGAUGUAUCUGAAACACCUUUCCCACGUGGCCCUUGAAGGAUUCACUAGAAGGUGACCAUGCAUAGUAGGUCUUCACUCGCAGGAGAAUGAGAAGGAAAUAAACCUAAAGGGGGGUUGACAGCGUAGUCUAGAAGGUGAUGAGCUGAGCGGGUGGGGGUAUUAGGGUGGUCAAGUUCAGUGGGUAUGAAGGGUGGAAAGAUGGCAUGAUAGAGGAAUAAGCAGCUGAUAGUGGGUGCGAUGAUAUAAGGUAGGUUGACUAUGGAGAGUAUGGCAUUAAAGGAUGAAGACUUAGAGAGAGAGAGGUGGGUUUAAGGGUAUGGUGAGAUGGAGGGUUGAGGGUGAUAGGCUUGGAUAGUUGCAUGAGGAGGAUGAAAGGUGGGUAUGGAAAAUGUGCAUGGGUAGGAAAUGGGUAUAACAAUGGGUGUGAAUAUUGAGAGGUAGUGAAAUGAAGGCAGCCUUGCUCGUAUGGAUCAGUGUCGGAUUGAGUUAAGAAUGGUGAGAGAAAGGGAUUCGAUGAAUAUUGAAUGAUGGAAAAUGGUGAUUGGUUAGAUAGGGAUUUGUGGUCGAAUGGAAAUAGGAGACAUGAACAUAGAGAUGAGUGUGAUGGAUGAUAGUGGGCAUGAAGGGUAUUGGAUUUGUUCAUGGGUAUAGUGGUUAAAAGAGUGGUGAGAAGAAAAAAAAAUGGCCAUGUAAAUAGCAAUUAUACAUGUGGGCCCGUGAUUGCAAACGGGACUGCAUUGUUGCAUCUCAUGCUGAACCCUCACCUCCUUCUAGGAUCAUUUUCUGCAUCAAAGCUAGAUAAACUUAGAUGGUAUUUCCUGCCAAUUUUGGAUGCCCCCCACUUUGGAAAUAUUUCCUUUUCACCCAUCAGAAUAUGCUUAUCAGGUGUACUUGACUCAGGUUCAUUCCCAUAUUGCCUCUCUGAUUUAUGAUCUUCAAAGGUUUUGCAUGAAGGAAGCCUUUCACUGCAUUCCCCUUCAUCCACCAGACCUUCAGAGCAUCGUUUCCAACAAAAGCAACCUUGACUCUUCUAGUCCCAUCAGAAAAAAGUCUGAAUAUCCUCAGUUUAUGUCAUCCCUUGAUGCCCAACUCAGAAAUGAUCCAAAAAACAGUCAUCUCCCAUAUUUGGCUUCCCAGAAACACCUCGACUCAGAUGGCCAGUCCAAAUGUGAUACCCAACAUUCUAAAAAUGCUAAAAACAGAGGAGAUGAUGAAGAAAAACAGAGCAUGUAUAAAAGAAAAAAAAAAGGACUGUUAAAUCUCACUCCAUUCCAUAAAUGCUAAUGGGGUGGAUAUGGUGGAAUCAAAAGGAAGCAAGAGCGUGAUCUUCAAAAUCAAAAGCAAUGAUGGAUCCAUAUUCAAAACGUUCCAGAAUAGAGAAAGACACAAAUAAGGAGCAGGGUUUUUUUUUGUUACUGGCAGGAAGAUAUUUUUUCUAGAGAGUAACUAGAGAGAAAAAUAGGAAGAAAAGGGAAGAGCAUAGAAGACAUCUACAUAGGAGAGUAUUCAUUGUUGUGAGGAGUAGUAGAGAGCUUAGGAGGAGUUACAAAGAGAGUGAGUUUGGUUAGAGGAGGAAGUUUUGUUGGUUUUUCAGAAAGGAUUCUAGCUUGAGUGAGAGCCAUUCUAGAGAGGGUUAGAGAGGAGAAAGGUGUGUUUUGAGCAGCAAAGACACGAAGCAAAAUAGAGCAGCCAGGAAAGAGAAGCAGAAAAUCAAAAUUACUAAAAAAUUAGUGAAAGCUGUGAAAUUUCAUAUUGUUACUAAUUAUUAUAAUUUUUUUUUGUAUUUUCAAUAUUUCAACCAAUAUUUUAUAUAAUUAAAUUUAAAUUAUAAGAAUUAUAUUAUUAAUACACAUAACUAUCUUAAUGUUUUAACAAUGUAUACUUAUUUAAAUUUAUUUCAAUUUUUUUAUUUUUUUAUAAAUAUCUAAUUAGACUUAUAAUUCAUUGAAAUUAUUCAUUUUUUUUUUACUUCAUAAACCAAUUAUAUUACUUUUUGUAUUUUCAAUAUUCAUUUGGAAAAAAUAAUUUCAAUUUAAAAUAAAAUAAAUUAAUUAACUCUCAAUUUAUAAAUUGUGUCAUUGAAUUAUUUUUUAUUUAUAAUAUUUAGUUUAUUUUAAAUUUAAUUUUUUUUCUUCACCUUUUGGUUUAUCACUUUAUAUUAAAAAAUAAAAUAAAAUUGAAUUUCUUUUAAUUUAUAUUUUCACAAAUUAUUCAAUAUUUUUUUAAUUUUUAUAAAAUAAAUCCUCAGAUUAUAUAAUUGGAUGUUGUAAAGAGUUAAAAUUUUUGUGUUGCAUUGAAUUAUUUUUUCUAACAAAAGUAUAUUUGGGUACCGUAGACAUUAUAUCCAUAUCUUAACGUAUUAUAUACUUUUAUUUUGUGCAAUUAGCAAUUGAGCGGAAGACGCGGAGCCGGCUAACGGAAAUACCGCGUGUCACGCGUGUCCCUUCCCGUACCAAGUCUCAACUGCUUCAAGAUUUCCGACGCGCCCUUCUUCGCUUAACUCUUAAGUCUUUUCUUCCACUCUUCCUUAAACCCAUCACAUUUCGCCGCGUGGACCUAAGUCUCAAUGUCCUUGUGUUCAUACGAUGUAUGUUCCCCCAAUUCCUCAUCUACACUGAAACUCCAUACUCGCCUACUCAAUCACUUCUCUACUCUAGAGUCUGGAUGCUUAUCUCUGCGCGUGUCGAUGGCUCUUCACCCCAGCGAGUAUGGCAUUACAAGGGCAAUAUCGUCAUUAAAGACACAACAGAGUGUCUAUUUUAUUUAAGCUGUACGUAAUCGUGAUUGACUUCUUAGUAUCCUUUUGCUCCUAGUCUUCUCCCGCGUCUCUUAUAAAAACUAAAGAAAACCACUCCAAGAGAGCACACUACAAGAAUCUUCUUCCUUUUUUUCUUUCCUCUUUCUCUUUACAGAUAAACUGAGAAAGCCCAGCUCAUCCCUCAAUUCCCAGAUGGGUUUCAUGAAUGUUCUCAAGUUCUCAGCUGCAUGCUUUGAUCUUCUUGGCUGGUAUGUUGUCCACGCGUUUUCUUGCCAUUGGAAAUUUUUGGGAAAUGAAGUGGAAUUCUCUGUUUGAGGACAAACAUGGGAUUUUCUUUGAUUUCUCCCUGUUGGUUUUAUCUAUAUUCUUUGAAUUACCCACAUUCUUGUCAUUGAUUGUUAGUCAUUUGUUUGGAUUUCUACUUGCAGGCCUCUAUGUGCACUGGGUUAUCCUCUGUAAGUCUUGGUCUUACACCUCAAGAUAUGAUGAUUCAUUUACUCUUUUCUUGUUCUACGAAUGGUUCAGUUACAUUUAUUGUGUUGGGAAACUGAAAAGGAAAAGGAUUAUUAGUUAUUAUCGUAAUAAUCAUCAACAUCAUCUCGGUUCUUCACAGAUGUGCUUCAAUUCGGGCAAUUGAGACUAACUCAAUCUCAGACUUUCGGAAGUUGGUGGCGUAUUGGGUUCUAUUUUCCUUGAUUUCACUCUUUGAUCAUGCUUUUUCCAAGCUCCUUGAAUGGUAAUUUUGCUCAACUGCAUUCCACUAUAUGUGACUCUGUUUGUUUCAUUUCUUUGCCCUUAAGGAAUUUGGAGUUGCUUUUUUCAGUUUUCUUUCCUAUGAAAAUAAUCGAGAGGUCUCCAUGUAUUUUAUAUUCCUUCAUUUCUCUGCUUUGACAAAGGCCCACAUUCUGAUCAGCAGAAAGGUUAUAACAUUUGAAAAAGAAGUGCUUUAUUUUUGUUUUUUGUUAGUACAAUAAUUUUCGUUUGGAUAAAUGGUCUGAAGGGUGUUUGUGUUUGGCUGAGUUCAUGGAAUUUUCUAGCUAAUUUGGGAUUUAUUCUCAAUUUCAAGAUCAUUGUGGAUAUGUCAGAAAUUAAUGAAAUAUAAACGGUGGAAUGUGAUUUUCUUGUUUAAGAAAAGUUUUUCUUUGAAAAUACGGGUGCACCUGACCUACCUUAUUGUGCUACUUGGAACACAAAACAUUAGUACAGGUAAUUUAUUAACUAAAUUGUACACUUUUUGAUAGUUCAAGGAGGUGGUUUUCUUCUUUUAGGGUGUCAGCUUUGGAAAUAGGAUGGAUCUAAAAGUUUUUAUGUCUCAUCUUUAUAGGGAACUUGAAAGCAUGGAUGCACUUAUUUCCAUGGAAUUUGGCUUCCUUGAAAUCAAAUUAAGCUUUAUGCAUCAUUUGGAUGCUGAGAAACAAAUGGAAAUAGAAAAUUCAGAAUCUGACAAGUUUUUGUAGGGCAACUGGAUCUAAUCUCUUAGUCGAAGCCUAAUUGGGGCAAAUGCUGAUCAUCUUUGGACCCCAUUGAAAGCUCUAAUCUGUGCACAAUUCUAAUGUUUUUGUUUUCUUCAUUUCUUUUUCAACUUUUCACAAUAGAUGUCAAAGGUUAAAACCAAAUUUACGCAGUCCAUCCAAGUGGAUGCAUAUAAAUUUAACAGAAACUGAAAUUCGAAGAAAUUUAUUUUCCCUUUUGUAAAUGGUGUUUAAAUAUUUUAUUUUCUUAUAUAAUGCAUGUCAGGGUACCAUUCUGGCCUUACAUAAAGCUGAUGGUCAUCUGCUGGCUGGUGAUACAGCAGUUUGAUGGUUCAUAUUAUGUCUAUCAACACCUAGUUCAGCCAUGCUUGUCCAUGGAUCCACAAGCUGUCAUGAACUGGCUCUUCAAUGAAUCAAAAAAGAAGUUUCAUAGCAGAGAAAACUUUCUUGUUUCAGCAGACCGAUAUAUUAAGGAGAAUGGACCUGAAGCUUUGGAGAAACUACUUUCUAGGAAGGUAUGCCAUUAUAAGUAGGAUUAUCAACAAGUCAAACAGAGUUUUAUUUGAGAUGUUCAGGUAAAAAAUGACUAUAGUAGGUCAUCUAGAAUCAUUUGGUCUAAAUUCAUGUAUAUAUCUAUAUAUAAUUGUGUUCUCUUUUUUUCACAUAUGCAUGUGCAUUUAGAUUUACAUAAUUAUAUAUGCAUAAUCAGAUUCAACUGUGAUAGCCCGGAAUUAUUUCAGUAAUCAACUCUUCUGGGAACAUGUUGGUUAUGGUUUCUCUCUCACUGUCCUCUUCUUUAUACAUGACUUUGGCUUCAGUUGAGGAGCGCAAAGCCUAAUGUUGAAGUGAAAAAGAUCAAAGCACCUGCAGCACCGGAGAAAAAAGGGGAACAGGUAAGUUCUCUAAUGUGACUAUUUAAUUUCUAUGAGGCAGAUCCCCAGAGAAAUGUUGCUCAUGUAAAUUACUGAUGCAUUUGAUUCAAUGGCAUGGUUUUAAAAGAAAAACCACUUUAUGUAUGUUUCUGUGAAUAAGAGAACAAGUUUAUGGAUUAAAUGAUAUUUUUUAUGGUGGAUUAAUCAAUAAUUUUCAAAAUAAUAAUAUAUUCGUGCAUGUUUUUGCAAUUCAUGAAUUCCUUUUAUGAUUGAUUCUUCUUGCCUUUUUUCUCACCUCAGUGGAAGUGUGAAGAGCCUAAUGUUGCUCAAAAGGAGAUCCAAGUUGUCAAAGUAACAGAGAUAAAAAAUGGGGGGGAUGGAGCAAAGAGGGUAAGUUUUGCUUUUUAUUUAUAAAGUAGGCUGUCUUCACACAAGGAUUAUUAUCUUUAAGACAUGAAUGUUGAAUGCUUUUGGAAUUGUCCAUGAAUCAUGUGUAGUGUGAAUGGCCUAAUGCUGCUAAGAAGGAGGUCAAAGUGACAGAAGUAACACACAGAACAUUCGGUGGUACAGCACAGUGGGUAAGGUUUCAUGUCAUAUUUAAAUGGCUCCUCAUAUUUCACUAGGAUUAAUUUUGCCCCUACAAACAUAUUUGGCUACAAGUUAAGACAGAGUUCCAGAUGCUGAUAAAGUUGAGACAUAAGUAAUGAAUGAGUUUAGAAACAUGCACAACUCUUGUGUGAAACACAAUGAGAGUGGAAAAUAGCUAAGUUGAAAAAUGGCCAAAUACUAUUUUGUAGUUCCCCCUACCACUUAAGUAAUUUUUGUCAUCCUUUGUGAAUGGAAAAUCCAGUCCCUUCAGUAAUUCCGUUAUAUUCAUGACUUGGUGAAGCAUAUAACCAUUAGUGUCUUGCCUUAAGUCGACCUUUAAUGAUGAUCCAUUGAGAUGGGUCUGACUUUUGUCAACCCUCUUAUUCCCUUGAUCAUAGAGGUUAAACUUAGGGGGCUUAACCCACUUUUGAACCUUAUUGGAUAUAUGGCACAUGGUAUCCUCUUCAUCUUGAAAGAGUGAAGUGGUCAUACUCUUUCCUCUGAGUCCAUUGUGGCCAUGCACUUCUGGCCCAUUGGGCUGAGUGAAAGGAUUCCCUUCUGCUUCAAAUCAUAGAGAGAUAUGCCAUGGUCAGCCUCUUUAAUUCAAGGGAUCGAAGUACUCAAAUCCAUUUCUCUGCAUCCAUCUUAAUUCUGCAUUCAUGUCUCAUGGUUAACCAAGAAGAUCCAGCUUCCAUCCAUGAGAUCAGCAUCUGCAGGUUUAUGACACCACCCUUCCUUGGCAUAGGAAAGGGAUCAUUAAGCCAUGUGUUGGAUGACAGAAGUCAUCAUUCAGGUUAUCUUGAGAACUAAGGAAGUUGGAAUUCUAAUUAUUGCAUAUGGUUCUUGAUGUUUAGCCAAUAUACCGUAGGAUUUUAAGGAUCAUGCUCAUGUGCAUUGUGGUUGUUUAUCAGCUAUAUGGUUUACCAAAAUGAGGGACUGAUUAUGGUCAUAAGUACCUUUUUCCUAUUAAUUUCUUGCAUGUGCUCUGCUGAGAUUAUGUUUUUGACAGUCCAAAUCAGGGCAAACCAACAAACAGCUUUAUGUUAACUUUUACAAACUGCCACAUUUUCAGGUUAAACGAACAGAGAUAAAUCUUGGUGAAACUAGAAGUAAUACAACUUGUGCUGUGGAGAUAAAAGAAAGGGCAGCGGCACUGGUGGCUGCAGAAAUUGAGGCAUGUAGAGACGAUAGAACCCCCAAGAUACCUCUUCAUGAGAAAGUCCAGAAAGAGUGGGCUUGUGCUGUAUGCCAGGUCACAACCCAAAGUGAAGCGACCUUCAAUUCCCACCUUCAAGGGAAGAGACAUCAGGCCACUUCUGAGCAGCUGAGAGCCAAAAACCAGGCAACCAAAACCAAUUGUUCCCCAUCUGCUUCAAUGGCCAAGAAAUCUGAUCAGUCCACCAAAGAGGAGCAACCGAAGUGUACUUCCAACAAUCUGAAUUCCAAAAACAAUGGAAUCUCAGCUGCUUCAACAGUGAAGAAACCUGAUGACACCAAAGAUGAUGAGCGACAAAAGUCUGCAUCUAGCAAUGAACCGAACCAGAAGAAUAACAAAAAGCAAGAGGUACAGACCAAUGAGCAAGGCCAUCAGAAGAACUUAAAGCAAACUGGCGAUGGAAUGAAAGAGUUGAGAUUAUGCUGCAAUAUCUGUAAUGUAAGCUGCACAAGUGAGCUUGACAUGGCCUCUCAUCUCAAUGGAUGGAGGCACUUUAAUAUGAUAAAGGAGGCGUCUGAAUUAUGGUGCAGUAACUGCAAUGUAAGGUGCAACAGUGAGGCUGUCAUGGCCUCUCACCGAAAUGGGAGGAGGCACUUGAAGCAGCUGAAGGAACGGUCGGGAUUAUAGUGCAGUAUCUGUAGCGUGAGAUUGUGUUAGGAAGAGGUGGAAUGGGUUCCAAUCAGGAAUUAAGACUCGGUUCCAAGACAUGGAAAGUGUCUUUAGAUUAUGUUAUCUCCAUUUUUUUUAUUGUGAGAGGGGAGUAUAAGGAAUGAAAAUAAAUAUAUAUAUAUUUUUUAAUAGAGAUGAAUUUGAUAAUUUUAAUUAUUGUGUUUUGAUGUAUUUAGGAAUGUAAAAUUAAAAUAAUUAUUUAUUUUCAUUUUAGUAUUUGACAAUAAUAAAAUUAUGAAUUAAAAAAUAAUGUGAUAAUAAUACAUUUAUAUUUAAUUUAAAAUAUUUUUUAUUUUAUUUUAGAAGAAUAUGGGUUAAAUUCUUUUUUUAAAUAAUAAGCUUAAGAAAAAUAAUUUUUACUCAAUAAAUAAAAUUAAUCAUAAAAAGUCAUAACAACCUAAUAAAAAUAUAGGGGUAAAAUAAUAAUUUUAAAAUAUUAUUUAAGUUAUCCAAACAAAUUUGACUCUUCAUUCUCUCUCUUGAACCAAAUACGGUCUUUUAAGCGUUUGUCAACUUAUUUUUUUUUGCAAAAUAUCAAUAUUUUACUAAUAUUUUUAUCGAUUAUUUGCCAAUAUUUAUCGCCACGUCACCAAUUCUUUGAGUUUGACUUUCAAAAUUUUGAAAUGAUAUUUGAAGUCCAGUUCAGCCCAAAUCACUACACCCAUGAUUUUUCCCUUUUCUUUUUCUCCUUAAUUUUCACAUCACCCAACAACACUACUCUUAAUUCACACAAAUUUGAAGGUUUGGAACGAGACUUCUUCCUAAUUAUAUUGUAAUUAUGUUAUAAUAACCAUGUCGUAUUUGGAUUUAUUUAUUCAGUCCAUCUAAAUCUUUUGUUUAUUCAUGUAAAAAGAAUAUAGUUAUAAUCGAAUCCAUUUGUGACAUAUUCAUCUUUUAUAAAUUUAUUAAUUUUAUAUAUUUAAAAACUAUAAAAAUUAAAUAUAUUUUUUCAAUUAUGAAUAUCAUAUUACUAAAAUAUUAAAUAACUAAUUAACUUGAAAUGUUUUAUAUUUCAUUCAUUAUUUUAUAAUUACAACAUUAAGUGAAAUAAUAAAUAGGUUAAAAUAUAUAUUUUAUUUUAGUUAAAAAUUAUAAAUUGUUAUUGAGACGUAUAACUAUUAAAAUUCUACCCAUUUGACCAUCAAACAAACAACUUAAGUUUUUAGUCAUAAUUUAAGCUUCUGAUAAACUCUAUUUCCAUAAAUUAGAAACCGAAAUCAAUUUCUUCUUAGACUCAAAAACAUAAAGACAAUCUUUUAAUUCUAGAAGACAUCUAUCAUUUAAGAUAAGGGUAACAUAUCCCAUUGCCUAAACAACAACUCUUGCUUCAAAAGCCAAUGUCAAGUACAUAUCCCUAUCAUUCAACCUUUCCCUUAGCUAAAACCCCUAUAAAGAAUUAUAAACAUAAUCAAUGGCUCCAAAAUUUAUCCACCAAGAGUUAGUGGAAUCCAACACUAAACAUAAUUCAACUAUAAGAGAAUGAUGCAUAGUUGACUAUCUCUUCAAGAACUAAGGACAUUCCUUCUUCUUCUAAUGGCAUUUUUUACCACAAAGGAAACACUUGUCAUGACCCUUACUCUUCUUCUUCUUCCCCUUAGCCUUAAACUUCCCCUUCUGCUUGAUGAACUCUAUAGUGUUCUUCUUAUUUUGGCUAGAAAAACCUAAAGAACCCUUAACUGCCAUAUAAAUACCUCUCUGGUCCUUGAGAAUUCCCUCAGUCAUUUUGUGUUCUCUCAUUAGUUCAAUUGUAGUUUAAGAAAAAUAAUGUUUUUUAUUUUAUUUUAUGUGAUUGAACUUGGAAUGAAUUUCCAAGUUGCAUACAUACUUGGGUUGAGAUCAAGUCAUAACGUAGUUUAAGAAAAAGAUUUUUUAUUUUUUAUGUGAUUGAACUUGGAAUGAAUCUCUAAGCUACCUACGUAUCCAAGAUGGGAUCAAGUUCUAACAUAGUCACAAUGCAGUUCAAGAUUUUUUUUUUUCUUUUUUUGUGCUCUAACUUUUGUCAAGACUAAAGAUCUUAAUCUUGCAAGCAUGUCCUAACUUUUGUCUAGGUCACCUUUCCAAGUUUUCAACUUAGCAAACAUUUUUUUUUUUUGUUCUCUAACGUUUGCCAAGACAAAAGAUUUUAAUCUUGCAAGCAUGUCAUAACUUUUACCUAAGUCAGAUUUUUAGGUUUUCAAUGUGGUGGAUUUUUUUGUUUUUUAUUUUUUAUUUUUUAUUUUUUGUGUCGUAGGCAAUUUAGCUCAUACGGCCCAGAAGCGAUGUGUAGUUUGUUGGGAUUCAACCCUUAAAAGCAAAACAUGAUGUAACAAAGUUAGACUUAACUAUCCCCUUGCUAUCAUUUUGGUGUAUUAACAUUGAUUUAAACAUUCAACUCAUAUUUUACAUUGUACAUGACUUAGGUGCAUUAGGAGUUGCUCAUAAGAUACAUGGAUUCCUUGUAAGUAGAUGAGUUAUCCAUAGUCAGUUCAUGGAUUUGGGCAAUCUAGUAGAGACUGUAAUGCACCACCUCUUAAUUGAAGAGAUGACUUGUCUUGACAGUUGGGAUAGGUUUCCUAUGGUGAGUGCACUAGUAUAUAUGAUGCACAUUGGAUAGGACCUACGGUAAAUCAUGAGCAAAGCUAUCAAUUGUCAUGAUUCACCAAGUUACGAUACUGCAUGGACUCUCAAUCUUGAGAGGACAUUGAACCUGUGCCAAAAUCAACAAAAAGCUUUCACCUAUAGAUGAGACCUUAAAGUGAUCAUAUAUCCCUAUGGAUUGAGUCACUAUUGAUGAAGGUUGGUGGUAAUAGGUAUUCUCAAUAGAGGCACCAUGAUAUCUCAUGAGAUUGAGACGGUGUGUCCCCUUGGGUGAUACAAAGGACAUGUGAUCAUAAAAUCUGUGACCAUAGUAAUUCUUUUAUUGAAAUUUGACAUAUACCCCUUCGAGCUAGAGUAUGUCAGUUGAUUACAUAAUAAGUGGCAUCUAUAACUUAAGGAUUUGAGAGGUAAUCUUGAUAGGUGAUAGCACUACCUUGUUAGAUUAUGGACACCAGUUCAUGGGGAAUCUACAUGCAGUGGAUGAUAUGUCACGAACGCGAGCUUCAUAUCGUUGUUAUUAACAUAGGAUACUGGAGUGCAAUUGAUUCUCUUUAGUAGAAUGUUGAAUCAACUUCAAAAUGGAUUAUGAGGGAGCCAAUACUCCUAUGGGUCUUAAUGGUCCCCACUCUGAGCUCAUAUACCAUGAUGACACAGUUUAUGAGGGUUUGAUUGGCUUUAUGUUCAUUUUUGUGCAUAAGGGCAUUUUGGUAAUUACACAAGGUUACAUAGGGGAUAGUCAAUAAGGUCUUUAGAUUGGGCCAAUUGAUUAAUUAGAUGACCUUAUGUGGUUAAUUAAUCAAUUAUGAUAUGUUUAGGCUAGAUUAAAUGACCCAAGCCUUGAUGAAUUUAAGUCACUUAAGCCUAGCAGAUAACCUUAUAAAUACCCUCUUAUGGGUUAGGGUUUCCUAAUGACUUUCAGUUAAUCAUCUUCCAUCCCUAGAAAGAGAAAGAGAGCCAAAUCUUUCUCCCUUCCAUUGCCCACACUUUGGUAUGCCAAGAUCAUGGUUCAAGUCACUGGGAGGAAGAUCUUGGGUGUACAAGACCUUCGGACUCUUUAAGUUUCUUCUUCGUUGGAUGAAUUUUUAUUUGGGACACAUCUAGAUCAUAAGUAUGUGUUAGAAAAUUUGGCUAAUUCAACUUAAGGUAAUCACUCUAGAGGAGGGGUGAAUAGGGUGAUGAUCUUUUUUUACAAAUUUAAAUUAUGUGAAUGCAAGAGACAAUUAUACUAUGCAAAUAUAUAGUAAAACCAUAUAAAAAUAAUUGCAUAUAAAGUACAAGGGUAGAAAAUAGAGAAUAUAAACACAAGAUUUUUAUAGUGGUUUGGUGCAACUCGGCCUACAUCCAUUCUCCUCUAGCUUCAAUCCCAAGUUUGAGGUUCCACUAAUUCAAGGCUUCCAACCUAACCCUUCAAGCAAUACAAUUGGAUUAUGGUUCCAAUCAAACCUUUUGGACUUUUGGCUCUAAGCACCUUUUACAAUCUUUGAUUCGUGCCUAACUGGUGUUUGCCCUGUUGAUUGGUGUUCAAUCAACUGAUGUGCUUUGAUUUCAGUCCUCAGACGAGAGUAAUCAACAAAAUUUAUAAACCUAUUUCACCAUAUACUAGGGUAGCAUUAGCUAGCAUAGCAUAGUGGCUCUAGGAUCGUCCACAGGGAUGGGUUUUCAAAUUACAAUUGAUAUUAGUUCAAAAACUGAAUUGGUGUUUUUUCUUUUCAAGGUUAGCUUUAAAAGAAAACAUAAGUAUGUGUGAAAAGGUUGGUUUUAAGUGAAACCAAAAAUAAAGUAACUGAAAUUACUUACAAAGAAAAGUGCUUCUUGGAGUUUUAGAUCACUAGGCUCAAGUUCCUUAUACAAAAAGAGAGAUUCCGAUCACUUGGAUCUUUUCCUAGCAUUGGGGAUUUAACAUAUAGUUAUUUCCCGAACCGGUGCGGUACAGAUGCUUCCCCUUAAUGGUUUCAAACACUAAAUCUCUAUCACUGAAUCAUCUUGUAAUGGUUCAUACCUCUCACCUGGUAUUGGUCAUUUAAGGUGAUCAUUAACCUUGGAUUACCCGUCAAAAGCUCGCAAAAGAUAACUAAUGAAUGUCUCCUAGGAGUCCAAAAGCUUACCAAGUGUUGGCUAUUCUAGAUAAUCCUACCUUUAAACCAUCUCCCAAAAGCUCGCAAGAGAUAAACUAGUGGAUCUCAAUGGACGGAGUCCACUUGCCUUACCAAGUGUUGGCCCAAGUGAUUUUAAGGGAUUUUAAGUUAACUAAAAAGAUAAAAACCAUUAACGGGUCACACUUUCUCUUCAUUAAAACCUGAAACAAUGAAACUUCCACUUUUGUAUACGAAACCUUACCUAGCUUCCUUCACUCCAAGAAACAAAAAGCCUAGCCACUCAUCCUCUAGGAAAACAUCCUCAGAGUUUGAUUUGGUAGAAAUAAAAAUAAAAGAGAAAACCAAAUGUGAAGGUAAGGCCGAGCAGAGCUCUGUGUAUUACUUUAUGAAAAACUAUACAAAAUUUGUCUCUAAGAGAAACUCCCCCGAGAUCUCUUUUAAAAGAAAAUUACAAUAGAUAUCAUAUAAAGAGGCUAUUCACCCCUCUUGCUAACUUCCCAACCAUGAAAACUUGUCAAUGGUGGGUUACAAGGAGAAAAUAGGGAUUUACACACAAAUAUUUGAAGAUAAACAUCAAACUGAGUCGGUGCGCAAAUAUCUCAGAUUACAAGUGGAUUUCGCAAGUUCAAACGCAACUUGCAAAAAUUUUGCAAGUUGAAAUUAUGGUUUCGCAAGUUGCGAAAUUGUCCUGCAACUAAUCAGCUCUCUGUCCUACAACAAUUCCUUUCCUCUUCCUAUUUCGCAAGUUGUGAGAAUUUCGCAAGUUGGAUUCCACAACUUGCAAAAUUGUUGGAUGGUUGAUUUCUUUUGUGAUUUUCUUCCUUGCAUCCUCAUUUGGCUUUGGCAAAGGGUUAUGAAGCUCCAAAGCUUAGUUUCUUCAUGAAUUUGAGCUUCAACUUGCUUUGCCAUGAACUAUACAAAGAUCUCCCUCAUUCUUGGAUUGCUUUGGUGAUAAAAAAGCUAUGAAAAACACCAAAACUUAACACAAUUUGAUUAGAAACGAUUGUAAGGGUCUUUAACAUGCCAAUUGAGUUAAAAGGUAAUAGCUACUACUCAAAAGUGUUUAAAAGAGUUAAUUACAAGCUAUAAAAUGACCCUUUUUGAAGUUCAACCCCUUAAGUGAUACCCCUUAAGUGAUACCCCUUAAUUCAAGAGAUGUCUUACUCUUAAACAACCCCUUAAGUGAUACCCCAUACUUGAGAUUCCCUAAGUGAUGCCUCACACUUAGAUUUUUCAUCUCAAAGAUUUACAAAUGAAGAUAGGAAAUAAUCUCACAAAAUCUUAAUACAAAACAUUAGGCUCAAAUGAUACAAGAUAAACUAUGAUUGAAUGGUGCACUAAUAAUAUGCAAGUUUUAAAACAAUGAGUACUAAAAAACACUCUCCUAAGGUUCAAAUAUAUUCAAGAAAGAUUUAAGAAGGUUAAACUCUUGAAACAAUAAAGAUUGAAACCUUUUUAUGGAGGAGAAAUGCCAAACUAGUUGUUGGGGGUUUGUCCAGUCGAGUUCUGGUUUGACCGGUUCACUAACCGUUAGCAUUUAAUGCAUGAUAGGUGAUCAUUGGGCCUUGACCAUCCCUCGACCAGUACUCAACCGGAUAAAGUUCAACCUUAAUCAAUCGAAUAAGCAUUCUAGAAUAGAGAGAAGGUUUUUGCACCUUUCAAUCAGUUGAGUUGAACAAAUAGACGGAUUCCUUAUCCAGUUCAACCGGUUGAGCCAUUUUUGGCUCAACAAUCAUCAUUUUCAACUUAAAACCUUUUAAACAAGUUUAGAAAGCAUUUGACACAAGGAUUUAGUUGAAAACAUUAAAUCAUCCUAUUUUUAAAAGAUUUAAAACAAAAUACCUCUUGAAUGAUUUUGGUGUAUAAGUAAAUAAUGUAAUGCAUGAAAAACCCAGUGCGCCAACAACCUUACAAAGAGAUCUUAUGAGGCUUAGGUAUUGAAAAACACUUCUCUUUAAGGCAGACAACAUCGUGUGAAUACCAAAGGGGAACUCUACGUUCCUAGGGAAAGAUGCCUCGUCAGUACGUCUUGAGGUUGUUCACUAACUUCGGGGUUACCGGCUUUGAGAGGAGCCCUUUGAUGACAUUUGGGCAUGCAACUCUUCAUUUUCUUCCUUGAUUCGCCUUGUUUGGUGGAUCAAAGAUUGCAUAUGCCAGUCAUUUUUGCACUAGGUUCUCUCCAUGCUUUCACGCCAGCCAAAGUAGCUUUCGUUACCCAUAGUUGAGGAUCGGCUUCUAAAGGGUACUAACAUCCUUAGUCAUUCCCACAGAUGACACCAAUGUUGGUUCUGAGUCGGCUGAAGUCAAAUUCAUCCAACUUAACGGAAGUUUGACAACCUUCCUCCAUUUUUUGUGCCUCUUAGAGAAUCCACCUAGCAGUAAUGAGAUUGGGCGAACUCCUUUCUUGCACAAAAGAAUGUUCAGAUGAGUACUUCGGGUACGCCCUUCGAAGCUUAAGUGAGGCAAAAAUAGCUCAAACUACUUAAUGAGAGAGAGUGGAUAGGUGAAUAUGUGCCUACCUUGUUCGUGCUUUUUGAGGGGUUUAUAUAAUGUUGAUGAGAAUGCCACUAUAGUGCUUACUAGACACUUUAACUUUCUUCUAUAAUGAUGAUUGUCUUGCAGGCGGUUGGGCAAUCAUCAAAAUUUUGGGUGGCUGAUAGGUGCCAUCAACUAACGUGCCAUGAUCUUAGACCAUGCAGUAACCUGUUCCCUCAGUCUGUUGAUGGCCUAAGGUUAUGUGCAACAAUUAAUUGACAUGGACUUGAGGGCUAGAAGAGGUCCCAUCGGCCGUUCACAUGUCAAGUGUGAAUGAUCACUCAUGCUAGUGGGUCUUGAAGAUUUGACUAGACAACCUUACCUAUUUGGGAGGUCCAACCUCCCAUUGCCGUUGUUUUGGCCUUAUAGGAGAAAAGGGCUUUCUCAUGUAUGGUGCUAGAGGGACUAGUCGUGAUCCAGAUGAGUUGCAUACCCAUGCUAGAUGGUCGAAGUGUCCGGGUUGGAAAUGGAGGGAAGCCUCCCACAAAUAUGAGGGAGCCUUAUGAAAACGGAUCCUUAGGGCUUAAGAAGGGGUUUUCAAUUUUAAGGUUUGCCUUUUCACCCAAGGAUGUGAAUGGGAAGAUGAGGCGAAGUUAAAAGAUUGGUGAAGCAAAGUGAGGGCAAGGUAGGGUUUGAAUAAAGGAAAGUAUACACUAUUAAUGAAGAUGAUAAUCUCUAGAAAGAAAAACUAAGGUAAACUAGGGCUUUAAUAAUAAUUUUCAAUCUACACUAGUGAAGAGGAUAUCUUCGAAAACCAAAGUUAGGGCUUCAAUAACGAAUUUCAAUCUACAAUGGUGAAGACAAUAAUCUUCGAAAACCAAAUCUAUAAUGAUGAAGAUGAUUGAAAACUAAAUCUAUACUAGUGAAGACGAUUGGAAAGCAAAUCUACACUGGUGAAGACAAUGAAACCAAAUGUAGGUCUUCUAAACUAAACGCUUUUAAGGAUUUUCCUUUUUUUUUUCCUUUGUUUUCAAGAAAGGCAAACUCUUUAGAAAACUAAAAAAACUAAUGCAUUCUUAGAUCCAGAUCACUAUUUCCAACAUGGUAUUUGGAUUGCCAGCUUGCAUUUUUUAUUUUUUUAUUUUUUUAAUAGUCAUUGGCAUUUUAGGGAUUAUUGAAGGAUAAUAUCAUUCAGCUCAAUUUCCCAAAUUAGUUAGGUCUUACACUCAAAUGUGAAACUUAUAUGGAUGUUAGGCCAAUUAUCAAACUCAUCUGCCCUAAAACAUAAUUUCCCUUUUUUAAAAUAGUUGUUAAACAUCUAUCCCAAACACGUUUAACCCUUUGAAUUGCUUGUAUGUUAACCUUGUUUCCUUUUCUUCAUGCAACAUGGCUUAUUGAUGGUUGCAUUGAAUCAUUAUCAUUCACCAAUUCCAUGCAACUAUGGACUACAUUUCAAAUCCCUCGAACAUAAAUGGUAAUUCCAAAACAACUCAAGUAUAAUCUUUUCAACCCUUUCAAAUGAUUUAAUUAAUUGAUUUUUGAAUAUAUUCAUAUAUUUUUUUGAGCAAUUUUUAGGCAUAUAACAUAAAUCUCUUUUUUAUAUAUAUAUAAAAGGUUUUAUAUUUUAUAUUACAAUUUCCUUUUGUUUUUUCAUCUAAAAAACAAAACAUAAAACCUUAAUAAACGAGUUUUGUCACAAUCCCUUAACAAGUAAUCUAUUUUUUAAAUUACUUUAACAUUUUUAGAUAUAUUGAUUCAAUCUAAUUUACUUUUAAUAUUUUUUAUAAAAUAUUUUUACUUUAUAUGACUAUAAAUUAAUUACUAUUGAUUGCAUAUUAUAGAAUAUAUAUUCUAAAAUAUAUCUUAUUGACAAUAUAAUCAUAAGAUGUUAUAUCCAUAUCCUAACAUAUUAUAUACUUUUAUUUUGUGCAAUUAGCAACAUGGUGGGAAGUGGCAAGCAGCUUAACGGAAAUGUCAUGUGCCAAUGUGCCAUGCGUGUCCCUUCCCUUAGUGAGUCUGAACUGCUCCAACAUUUCCGACAUGUUAUUUUUUACUUAGCUCUUAAGUAUUUUCGUCUCGUUUUCGUUAACCCCAUCACAUUUCGCCACAUGGAUCUAAGCCUCAUGGUCCUUUCGUUCGUACAAUGAAUGUUCCCCCAAUUCCUUAUCUACACUAAAACUCCAUACUCGCCAUCUACUCAACCACUUCUCUACUCUAGAGUUUGGGUCCUUUAUCUCUGCACGUGUCUAUGGCUUUUCACCCCAACAAGUAUGGCAUUACAAGGGCAAUAUCGUCAUUAAAGACCCAAAAGGGAAACCAAUGGCAUUAUCUUCCUUUUGGUCUAUUCUAUUUAUAUUGUAAGUUAUUCGUGAUGACUUCUCCCAUAAAAGCUAAAAACCACUCCAAUAGAGCACACUUCACUUCUUCAUUUUUUUUUUUCCAGAUAAGCUCAGAAAGCCCAGCUCAUCCCUCAACUCCCCGAUGGGUUUGAUGAAUGUUCUUAAAUUCUCAACUGCAUGCUUUGAUCUUCUUAUCUGGUAUAUUGUCCACGCAUUUUCUUGUCAUUGGAAAAUUUUGGAAAAUGAAAUGGAAUUCUAUGUUUGAUGACAAAACUGGGAUUUGCUUUGAUUUCUCCAUGUUGGUUUUAUCCCUUUUGUUUGAAUUGUCCACAUUCUUGUCAUUGGUUGUUAGUUAUUUGUUUGGAUUUCUACUUGUAGGCCUCUGUUUGCACUGGGUUAUCCUCUAUAAAUCUUGGUCUUACACACCAAGAUAUGAUGAUUCAUUUACUCUUUUCUUGUUCUAUGAAUUCUUAGUUCUGUUACAUUUAUUGGGUUGGAAAACUGAAAAAGGAAAGGAUUAUUCGUUAUUAUCAUAAUAAUCAUCAACGUCAUCUCAAUUAUUCACAGAUGUGCAUCAAUUCAGGUAAUUGAGACUAACUCGAUCUCAGACAUUCAGAAGUUGGUGGCAUAUUGGGUUCUAUUUUCCUUGAUUUCACUUUUUGAUCGUACUUUUUCCAAGCUCCUUGAAUGGUAAUUUUGUUCAACUUCAUUCCAUCAUAUGUGGCUCUAUUUGUUUCAUUUCUUUGCCCUUCAGGAAUUUGGAGUUGCCUUUUUUAGUUUUCUUCCCUGUGAAAAUAAUCGAGAUGUUUAAUGUUCCAAGCCUCCAUGUAUUUUAUUUUCCUUCAUUUCUCUGCUUUGAUAAAUCCCCAUGAUUUGAUCAGCAAAAAGGCUAUAACAUUUGACAAAGAAAUGCUUUAUUUUGGUUUUUUAAGUACAACAAUUUUCAUUUGGAGAAAUGGUCUAAAGGGUAUCGGUGUUUGGAUGAAUCAUGGAAUUUUCUCGCUAAUUUGGGAUUUAUUCUCAAUUUCAAUAUCAUUGUGGAUAUUUCAAAAAUUAAUGAAAUAUAUAUGAUGGAAUGUGAUUUUCUUGUUUAAGAAAAGUUUUUCUUUAAAAAUUUAGGUAACCCUGACCUACCUUAUUGUGCUACUCGAAACACAAAACAAAAGUACAAGUAAUUUAGUAACUAAAUUGCACACUUUUUGAUAGUUCAAGGAAGUGGUGUUAGCUUUGGAAAUAAGAUGGAUCUACUAGUUUUUAUUUCUCAUCUUUAUAGGGAACUUUCCAUAAUAUAGCUUAUAAAUACCAUAAUCACAGUGAUGAAUAAUUGUCUUGUUUGAAAGCAUGGUUGCACUUAUUUGCAUGGAAUUUGUCUGCGUUGAAAUUAAAUUAAGCUUUAUGCAUCAUUUGGAUGCUGAGAAACAAAUGAAAAUAGAAAAUUCAAAAUUUGACAAGUUUGUGUAGGGAAAUUGGAUCUAAUCUCUUAAUCGAAGCUUAAUUAGGGCAAAUGUUGAUCCUCUUUGGACCUAUUGAAAGCUCUAAUCUGUGCACAAUUCUAAUGUUUUUGUUUCCUUAAUUUCUUUUUCAACUUUUCAACAAAGCAUCAAUUUGCUAUAAUAAAUGAGAACCAACUUGACGAUGAGAAAAAUGACUGGUGAUGAUGUCAUAGAGAAUCGCAGAUGAGAACAACCAAAAAUACUAGGAUUGGUACCACUGAUGGUAAUGAAGAAAACACAAAAAUGGUGCAAAUGGUGAACAGGAAACUCAAAAUGGAAUGGGAAAAGAAACCUAAACAAUAGUCUCCUAUAUAAAGCACACAACAUGUACAUCGAGGCAUCUGAAAGGACACGCUGCCUGAGAAGUCACUCUAAUUGAUGUGACUCCUCAUGACGUGGGUGGUGGACAUAUGUCCCAUGGUGCCAAAAAUUUCAAACACUCAAGCAACCGAAUACUUUCACUUAGUCAUUUAAAGCCUAGCUAGACUCAAUUGCAAGAAUUAAGGGCAUUGUGGGAUGCUCACCACCGUCUAUCAUGGUCCUCAAACACUGUCUGGUGUGAGACAUAUUGGCACAAGAGCCAUGUAGCUUCUCUAUCCACCCCAAGAUACUCCUAGGGUAGCAAACGAACACAAUCCGACCAAACACUAUGCAUUCCUACCCUACAAGCAUUAAUUUCAAUGAGCAAUAAGUGUAUUAACACAUUAAUGAAUGCAACCGUUAUAACGCUAAAACGCCAUACUUUAAGGUUCAUCAAGACACAACAACCAUUAUGGGCCGACAAUUAUUGGCGUUAAAUAUGGUAAUGCGCAAUCAAAGGCUCAAUUAAGGCCCUUUAGAAGACGUUACUAUUGGGCAAAGAUAAAUAACCAUUUUUUACCACAAGAAAGUCUGAUGCCAUUUUUUUCACAAAAACUUUUGCUUAAGUCUUCCAUCUCUAACCUAAGCUUUGAAGGGGUGUACUUGGAAAACCUAUCCGAACAUUCCUUUAUGUAGGUGCAAUCAUCGUUUAUGUCACGCGAAGGCUAGUCAAAGACCUUUAUUGGUCGUGCACCAAUAAAUCUAUUUAGUAUAUCUCAUUUAUCCGUUCAAGUGAGAUGAAGGAGUGACCUAAAGAUAGAUUGGAAACAUCAUAGUUUCUUAUAUUGGUAAGGCAGCAACAACCUCGGCUAGUGCAUCAACCUGCUCGUUUUCCUCUAGGGGUACGCGUUUGAUAAACCAUUCAUUCAAUUUUUCUGUUCAAGUGUACCAAAGAGAGGUAAUGAGCCAUGCAUUCAUCUCAAGCUUCAUAUUUUAGUUAGAUUUGUUCACCCACUAGUUGUGAAUUGCUUUUGAUUUCUACUUUCAUGGUUGUGAGAGCUAAGGCUAGAUCGUCUCAUAAGAAUUGCUUCAUAUUUUGCCUCAAUAUUAGAUACUGGAAAGUUGAGACAGACGACUUGUUCAAUUUGCUCUCCUGUAAGGAAUUGUUGUGUUAGUCCUAUCCUAGCUUCUGAUGUUCUAGAGGCUUCGUCUACAUGGAGAACACGCCAUUGUUCUUCAUUGUUAGACCUUGUCCAUUUUUGGGGUGGUUCGACUAUGAAAUCAAUGAGAACUUGCUAUUUGAGAUACUAAUGAGGUUUGUACCGUAUGUAAUAUUCACUCAAUUUGAUUGCCCAAUUCACCAUUCGACUAGAUAGAUUUAGCUUGUGCAACGUGACCCACAACGGUUGAUUUGUCAAGACCGUUAUUUGGUGCGCCUGAAAAUAUGGACAAAGCUUCUUGGCAGCGAUCCGUAAGUUCAGAGCCAUUUGUUCCACUUAAGAAUAUCGUGUUUUUGUGUCAAUCAUAGCUUUUCUCACAUAGUAAAUAAGUCUUUGUUCAUUACUCUAAUUGUGUGGAAACAAUAUGACAUUGACAGCAAAGUUUGACACAACCAGGUACAUGUAUAACUCUUCUCUAGCUUCAAGACUACUUAAGAUUGGUGGCUUCGUAAGAUACUGUUUGAUGUCUUUAAAGGCAUGCUCACACUCAUCCAUCUAACUAGACAUCUUUGCUCCCUAGAGUUUGCUCAAGAAAGGUCUGAGCUUAUUUAUGAAGCGUGUUAUGAACCAACCUAAGGUGAUUAGACACCCAGUUAGACGUUGCACUUCCUUCUUGCUAGUAGGAGCAGGGAUUUCUAACACUACUUUCACUUGAGCCAGAUCGACUUCAAUACCCCCUUUGAGUCACCAUGAACACAAGAAACUUCCACUCACUUACUCUAAAUGCAUAUUUUAUUGGAUUAAGCUUCAUGUCAUACCUGCACAUUAAACUGAAUGCUUCUUCCAAAUGGAGGAGCUUCUUGGAACGAGUUAUUCUCUUAAUGACAAUGUCAUCGAUAUAGACUUCCAACGUUCGACCUAUCAAGGGCUUAAAAAUAUGGGUCAUCAACUGUUGGUACGUAGCUCCAAUGUUCAUUAACCCAAGCGACAUGAUCUUGUAAAAGUACAACUCCUUAUGUGUAAUAAAUGUCAUCUUCUCUUUGUCAUGUGGAAACAUUGGUAUCUGGUGGUAUCCAAAAGAAGCAUCAAGAAAAGACAACAUUCCAUGCCUGGUUGUGGCAUCGACUAUCUAAUCUAUCUAGAGCAAUGGGAAGCUAUCUUUCAAGCAGACUUCAUUCAUAUCCACGUAGUCUGCGCACACCUGCCAUUUUUCUCCUUUCUUGGUACCACUACCACAUUUGUUAACUAGUCCAAGUAGGUCACCUCCUUGAUAAAUCUUCCUUUUAAUAGCUUCUCAACUUCUAUCUAGAUAAUUUUUUGAUGAUCCAACUAGAAACGUCAGACUUUAUAUUGUAUGGGUCGUGCUGUAGGAAGAAGGUUCAACUUAUGAGAGCUCACCGCUAGGUCUAUUCCAAGCAUUUCCGAAUGAAUCCACACGAGGAUAUCCUUGUUUUUACAAAGCAUUUCACCAACAUUACCACAUUCAUCCCUAGUUAGCAAAAAAUUAGCGUAAGUCAUCUGCUUAUUAUUUUUCGACAAAGAUAGCUAUUGUAAUAGGCUGAUUGCCAAUGAGUCUCUAUCCUCUAGUUUUCCUUCGACCUAAUUCUAUAAUUGUUAUUAGCUCUCUCUUGAUGAUUUGAGUUCAUCUUUAGUUGGGCCUGAACUCCAUCGCCACUUAGUAACACUACUAGGUGGCUAAUUGGAUUCCAUGUGGAUCCACUUACCCAAAUUCUGUCAGGUAGCUCACCAUCUUAUGAUAGGUGGAUGGAAUAACUUUCAUCUUAUGUAGGUACGACAACCUUAUGAUGGUGUUGUACGACGGUAAAUCCUCUACUAUAGAAAAUCAUACGUUGAGAGUAGGCGGGUUGGCUUGGACAAGAAGUACCACGUCGCAUAGUGAUAUUGUGGCAACCCUAUUAAACCCAAACAAAAGUCGAACUAGAUUUUCUAAGGCAGAUGACGAACAUCCCAUUUUCCUGUAGGUUGACAUAUGCAAUAAAUUGGAAUGAUCAUUUUAGGAAGGAUCACUUGAUUAAUGUUAAUUGAAGGGAAAGUGAUUGGGUCAUUGACUGGUCGGGCACUUUCGACAGUAAAUGUGCACUGAACUGCACUUACUCUUUCCCUCCCUGUAGUCGCACAGAGCAUUCGUCUCCUUUGUUGUUUGGAGUGAUAUUUGUCAUCUACUAUUUCCCCAUGGAUAUAGUUAAUCACUACUCGAUGUGUUGUGGGAGAGUCAGGAACUCACUCUGACACUUCACGUGUCAUUUCUUUAUGUCCACCAGUUGCUCAGACAUACAACUUGAGAUGUCCGGUAAUGAUUAGUUUCUCCACCAAGUAGUGCAAAUUUUUGCACUCUUCUGUGGUGUGCCCAUGCUCCUUAUGAUAGAAUCAUCGCAAUCCUCGAUCAUGCUUGGACGAAUCAGUUUUGAUGGGCUCUAGCCACUUGAACUCGAGCAGCUCUCAAAUCAAGAGGAGAAUUCUAUCAUAAAAAAUGGUCAACGGGGUGAGCCUAGGCGAUUAUCAUUGUUGUUGUCUUUCUUGUCCUUGAUUAGUCUAUCUAGACUGGCUUGAGGGCUUUAAGCUCUUAGCCUUCUUUUUUAAUUGCUCGGUUUAUAACCAGGAUUUGUUGAGAGGUUACCUAAACAUCCUCCUCAAGCAUGACAUGUUUGCCCACUCGUCUAAAUAGGUCAUUCAUUGUAGUGGGCAACUUUUUGGCCAUGGACUUGAAGAAUUGAGUGCUUGGACUGAUGAUCCAUUUGAAGAUCUGCAGGAUAGCAUCCAUGUUGUAAGAUUCCAUCUAGAACACCGCUUGUCUGAAUCACUUCAUGAAGUCCCUUAGCGAUUCAUUCUCCUACAUCUGAAUGUUCUAUAAGGUGCUUAUAUUCUGCUUUUGGCGAGCAAAACAUAAAUAAUGGCCCACAAAGGCCUCUAAAACAUCUGUCAUCUGUUGUUGGAAGUGCAUCAGGUGAACAAAAGAGUCACCAUCCCAUAGUAAAUAGUAAAUUUGGGCACCGGAAACCCCUGGGCAGCUCAUAACUAAUGAUAUGUGGGUCAAACGACAUGAAGAGCAUGUCAUCCAAUCAUCUACUUAUGGAGUCAAGAGGGGCUUUUGUCAAUGGGUUAUUUGUCGAUUGUAGUUCUAGUAUUGAACAUUAAGGCAGACGGCUUGGUGAUGCCUCAUCGUUUGAUUGGCCUAAUUGUGCUUUCAAGGCCUCCAAUAUGCAUGGCGAUGCUAGUGUUCUUCUCUCCUGAUACCCAAGAUAGGCUUUCAGGGCAUCUGAGAGACGUAAGCCCCAUUCUUAACCCAUUUUCCAUUUUUCUCCAAUAGAGCUUGCAACCUCUUUCGCUUGAGUUCGAUCGACUACUGAAUGCACUAGUUCAAGUAAUGUUAGCGAACUGCUAGUAGACAAUCCCUCAUCCACUGUUUGUAGAGACGACUUAGUGUAUCAUUGAAGAACUUUCAUUGUUUGGCUUCAAACUACUCUUGAAGUCGUCUAUUGGUUGGAGGUACGAUGACUUUUUUAUCAGCACCCCAUAGCCACUUGUGCUCGUAGCUCUUGGUUCUCUUGCUGUAGUUGUUCUGCCUGUUGGACAGGGACUACAUAGGUUAUUCAUAUUCUUCUUGCUUUUUUUCUAUCUUUCCUUGCCAAGCUUGGAAUCGCUCGUCAACAUUUGCAGAAUGAGUUGCAGGAGGCGUGUUAACCAUCGUGUUUUUUAGGCAUUUGUGGUUGAUUCCCAUAGACAAUGCCAAUGUUGGUGCACGACCAGUAAAAAAAGGUGUUUGGCUAGUCUCCAUGUAACAUAGAUGACGAUUGCACCUGCACAAAGGAAUGUCUGAAUGGGUUUUUCAGGUACACCUUUCCAAAGCUUAGGUCAGAAAUGGAAGACUUAAGCAAGAGUUUUUGUGGAAAAAUUGGUAGCAUACUUUUCUUGUGGUUAAGAAUAACUAUUUAUCUUUGUCCAACUAUAAUAUCUUCUCAGAUGCCUUAAUUGAGCCUUUGAUUGUGCAUUAUCAUCUUUAAUGUCAAUGAUAGCCAACCCAUAAUGGUUGUUGUGUCUUGAUGAACCUUAAAGGUUGGCGUUUUAACCUCAUAAUGAUUGCAUCCAUCAAUGCGUUAAUGCACUAAUUGCCUAUUGCAAUUAAUGCUUGUUGGGCAAGAAUGCAUAGUGCCCGAUUAGAUUGUGUUUGUUUGGUACCCUAAGAGUACCCUGGGGUGGACAAAAAAGCCACAUGGCUCUUGUUCUAACAUGUCUCGACUAGACAGUGUUUGAGGAUCAUGUUAGAUGGUGAUGAGCAUCCCACAGUGAAGACGUAUGAUGAAAGCAAAGGUAGGGCUUCUAAACCAAACGCUUUUAGGGAUUUUUUUUUUUUUUUCAACAAAGUUGACCUCUUCAAGGAAAAAAAAAAAGGUUAAAAAAACUAUUGCUUUUUUGGAUCCAAAUCACCAUUUCCAAUGUGAUAUUUGGAUUUCCACCAUGUAUUUUUUUUUUUUUUAACAGUCAAGGACAUUUUAUGGAUUAUUGAAAGAUAAUAUCUUUCAACUUAAUUUCCUACAUUAAUUAAGUCUUAGGCUCAAAUGUGAAACUUAAGUGGUUGUUAGGCCAUCAAACCCAUCUGCCCUAAAGUAUAAUUUCCCAUUUUCAAAAUAUAUAGUUGUUAAACAUCUAUCCCAAACUAUUGUAACCCUUUGAAGUGCUUGGUAUGUUAACCUUGUUUCCUUUUCCUUAUGCAACAUGGCUAAUUGAUUGUUGCAUUGAAUCAUUAUCAUUCACCAAAUCCAUUCAACUAUGGACUUACCUUUCAAAUCCCUCUAACAAAAAUGGUAAUUCCAAAACAACUCAAGUCUAAUGUUCUCAACUCUUUCAAAUGAUUUAAUUAAUUGGUGUUUGAAUAUACCUCUUAUAUUUUUUUAGAGCAAUUUUUAGGCACAUAACAUAAAUUUCUAAUUUUUUUUUAGAAAAGGUUUUAUAUUUUAUAUUUUAUAUUACAACUUCCCCUUUUUUUUCCAUCUAAAAAACAAAACAUAAAACCUUAAUAACCGAGUUUUGUCACAAACCCUUAACAAAUAAUCUAUUUUCCAAAAAUUACUUUAACAUCUUUAAACAUAUUGAUUUAGUAUACUUUACUUUUAAUAUUUUUUGAAAAAUAUUUUUAUUUUAUAUGAUUAUUAAUUAAUUAAGAUUGAUUGGGUAUGGUAGAAUAUAUAUUCCAAAAUACAUCGUAUUGAGAACAAUAUCACAAGAUAUUAUAUCCAUAUCUUAACAUAUUAUAUACUUUUAUUUUGUGCAAUUAGCAAUUGGACGGAAGGUAGGGAGCCGGCUUAAUGGAAAUGUCGCAUCUCACGUGUGUCCCUUCCCUUACCAAGUCUCAACAAAGGAUGAAAAUAUCGGUAAUCACGGAUAUAUCGGUACUUCGAUUUUACGGAUAUAUUAGAUAUAUCAGAGAUAUAUUGACGGAUAUUUUGGAAAAAAAUAUCGAUAAGCCUAAAAUUGAUCAAAAUUUAUAAAAAUAUAAAAAAAACUUCAUAAAAAUGUAAUUAAAAGAAGGUCGUAUAAGUUACUCAUGUUGAUCAUGUGAUAUAUCACGAGAUAUAAUCGAUUUUUGGGAAUUUCUCACGAAAAUAUCGCGACAUUUCUUCCUUGUCUCGACUGCUCCAAGAUUUCCUAUACGCCCUUCUUCGCUUAGCUCUUAAGUCUUUUCUUCUCCUCUUCCUCAAACCCAUCACAUUUCGCCGCGUGGAGCUAAGUCUCAAGGUCCUUUUGUUCGUACGAUGUAUGUUCCCCCAAUUCCUCAUCUACCUUGAAACUCCAUACUCGCCAUCUACUCAACCACUUCUCUACUCUAGAGUCUGGAUGCUUUAUCUCCGCGAGUGUCGAUGGCUCUUCACCCCAGCGAGUAUGGAAUUACAAGGGCAAUAUCGUCAUUAAAGACACAACAGGCAAACCAAUGGCAUUGUCUUCCUUUUGGUCUAUUUUAUUUAUGCUGUAAGUAUUCGUGCUUGACUUCUCCCGCGUCUCUUAUAAAAACUAAAGAAAACCACUCCAACAGAGCACACUUCAAGAAUCUUCUUUUUUUUUUUCUUUCCUCUUUCUCUUUACAUAUAUACUGAGAAAGCCCAGCUCAUCCCUCAAUUCCCAGAUGGGUUUUAUGAAUGUUCUCAAGUUCUCAGCUGCAUGCUUUGAUAUUCUUGCCUGGUAUGUUGUCCACGCAUUUUCUCGCCAUUGGAAAUUUUUGGAAAAUGAAGUGGAAUUCUCUGUUUGAGGACAAACAUGGGAUUUUCUUUGAUUUCUCCCUGUUGGUUUUAUCUAUAUUCUUUGGAUUACCCACAUUCUUGUCAUUGAUUGUUAGUCAUUUGUUUGGAUUUCUACUUGCAGGCCUCUAUUUGCACUGGGUUAUCCUCUGUAAGUCUUGGUCUUACACCUCAAGAUAUGAUGAUUCAUUUACUCUUUUCUUGUUCUACGAAUAGUUCAGUUACAUUUAUUGUGUUGGGAAACUGAAAAGGGAAAGGAUUAUUCUUUAUUAUCGUAAUAAUCAUCAACAUCAUCUCGGUUCUUCACAGAUGUUCUUCAAUUCGGGCAAUUGAGACUAACUCAAUCUCAGACUUUCGGAAGUUGGUGGCGUAUUGGGUUCUAUUUUCCUUGAUUUCACUCUUUGAUCAUGCUUUUUCCAAGCUCCUUGAAUGGUAAUUUUGCUCAACUGCGUUCCACUAUAUGUGACUCUGUUUGUUUCAUUUCUUUGCCCUUAAGGAAUUUGGAGUUGCUUUUUUCAGUUUUCUUUCCUAUGAAAAUAAUCGAGAUGUUUAAUGUUCCAGGCCUCCAUGUAUUUUAUAUUCCUUCAUUUCUCUGCUUUGACAAAUGCUCACAAUCUGAUCAGCAGAAAGGUUAUAACAUUUGAAAAAGAAGUGGUUUAUUUUUGUUUUUUUUAAGUACAAUAAUUUUCGUUUGGAUAAAUGGUCUGAAGGGUGUUUGUGUUUGGCUGAGUUCAUGGAAUUUUCAAGCUAAUUUGGGAUUUAUUCUCAAUUUCAAGAUCAUUGUGGAUAUGUCAGAAAUUAAUGAAAUAUAAAUGGUGGAAUGUGAUUUUCUUGUUUAAGAAAAGUUUUUCUUUGAAAAUGCGGGUGCACCAGACCUACCUUAUUGNNNNNNNNNNNNNNNNNNNNNNNNNNNNNNNNNNNNNNNNNNNNNNNNNNNAUCAGAUUCAACUGUGAUAGCCCGGAAUUUAAUUCAGUAUUCGACUCUUCUGGGAACAUGUUGGUUAUGGUUUCUCUCUCACUGUCCUCUUCUUUACACAUGACUUUUCAGUUGAGGAGCACAAAGCCUAAUGUUGAAGUGAAAGAGAUCAAAGCACCUGCAGCACCGGAGAAAAAAGGGGAACAGGUAAGUACUCUAAUGUGGCUAUUUAAUUUCUAUGGAGGCAGAUCCCCAGAGAAAUGCUGUUCAUGUAAAUUACUGAUGCAUUUGAUUCAAUGGCCACGGUUUUAAAAGAAAAACCACUUUAUGUAUGUUUCUGUGAAUGAGAGAACAAGUUUAUGGAUUAAAUGAUAUUUUUUAUGGUGAAAUAAUCAAUAAUUUUCAAAAUAAUAAUACAUUCCUGCAUGUUUUUGCAAUUCAUGAAUUCCUUUUAUGAUUGAUUCUUCUCACCUUUUUUCUCACCUCAGUGGAAGUGUGAAGAGCCUAAUGUUGCUCAAAAAGAGAUCCAAGUAGUCAAAGUAACAGAGAUAAAAAAUGGGGGGGAUGGAGCAAAGAGGGUAAGUUUUGCUUUUUAUUUAUAAAGUAGGCUGUCUUCACACAAGGAUUAUUAUUAUUAUUAUUGUUAUUAUUUUAAGACAUGAAUGUUGAAUGAUUUUGGAAUUGUCCUUGAAUCAUGUGAAGUGUGAAUGGUCUAAUGCUGCUAAGGAGGAGGUCAAAGUGACAGAAGUAACACAGAGAACAUUUGGUGGUACAGCACAGUGGGUAAGGUUUCAUGUCAUAUUUAAAUGGCUCCUCAUAUUUCACUAGGAUUAAUUUUGCCCCUACAAACUAUUUGGCUACAAGUUAAGACAGAGUUCCAGAUGCUGAUAAAGCUGAGACAUAAGUAAUGAACGAAUUUAGACACAUGCACAACUCUUGUGUGAAACACAAUGAGAGUGGAAAAUAGCUAAGUUGAAAAAUGGCCAAAUACUAUUUUGUAGUUCCCCCUACCACUUAAGUAAUUUUUGUCAUCCUUUGUGAAUGGAAAAUGCAGUCCCUUCAGUAAUUCCAUUAUAUUCAUGACUUGGUGAAGCAUAUAACCAUUAGUGUCUUACCCUAAGUCGACCUUUAAUGAUGAUCCAUUGAGAUGGGUCUGACUUUUGUCAACCCUCUUAUUCCCUUGAUCAUAGAGGUGAAACUUAGGGGGCUUAACCCACUUUUCAAUCUUAUUGGAUAUAUGGCACGUGGUAUCCUCUUCAUCUUGAAAGAGUGAAGUGGUCAUACUCUUUCCUCUGAGUCCAUUGUGGCCAUGCACUUCAGGCUCAUUGGGCUGAGUGAAAGGAUUCCCUUCUGCUUCAAAUCAUAGAGAGAUAUGCCAUGGUCAGCCUCUUUAAUUCAAGGGAUUGAAGUACUCAAAUCCAUUUCUCUGUAUCCAUCUUAGUUCUGCAUUCAUGUCUCAUGGUUAACCAAGAAGAUCCAGCCUCCAUCCAUGAGAUCAGCAUCUGCAGGUUUAUGACACCACCCUUCCUUUGCAUAGGAAAGGGAUCAUUAAGCCAUGUGUCGGAUGACAGAAGUCAUCAUUCAGGUUAUCUUGAGAACUAAGGAAGUUGGAAUUCUAAUUAUUGCAUAUGGUUCUUGAUGUUUAGCCAAUAUACUAUAGGAUUUUAAGCAUCAUGCUCACGUGCAUUGUGGUUGCUUAUCAGCUAUAUGGUUUGCCAAAAUGAGGGACUGAUUAUGGUCAUAAGUACCUUUUUCCCAUUAAUUUCUUGCAUGUGCUCUGCUGAGAUUAUGUUUUUGACAGUCCAAAUCAGGGCAAACCAACAAACAGCUUUAUGUUAACUUUUACAAACUGCCAUAUUUUCAGGUUAAACAAACAGAGAUAAAUCUUGGUGAAACUAGAAGUAAUACAACCUGUGCUGUGGAGAUAAAAGAAAGGGCAGCAGCACUGGUGGCUGCAGAAAUUGAGGCAUGUAGAGACGAUAGAACCCCCAAGAUACCUCUUCAUGAGAAAGUCCAGAAAGAGUGGGCUUGUGCUGUGUGCCAGUUCACAACCCAAACUGAAGCGACCUUCAAUUCCCACCUUCAAGGGAAGAGACAUCAGGCCAUUUCUGAGCAGCUGAGAGCCAAAAAUCAGGCAACCAAAACCAAUUGUUCCCCAUCUGCUUCAAUGGCCAAGAAAUCUGAUCAGUCCACCAAAGAGGAGCAACCGAAGUGUACUUCCAAUCUGAAUUCCAAAAACAAUGGAAUCUCAGCUGCUUCAACAGUGAAGAAACUUGAUGAGACCAAAGAUGAUGAGCAACAAAAGUCUGCAUCUAGCAAUGGACCGAACCAGAAGAAUAACAAAAAGCAAGAGGUACAGACCAAUGAGCAAGGCCGUCAGAAGAACUUAAGGCAAACUGGUGAUGGAAUGAAAGAGUUGAGAUCAUGGUGCAAUAUCUGUAAUGUAAGCUGCACAAGGGAGCUUGACCUGGCCUCGCAUCUCAAUGGAAGGAGGCACUUUGAUAGGAUAAAGCAGCUGUCUGAAUUAUGGUGCAGUAACUGCAAUGUAAGGUGCAACAGUGAGGUUGAUAUGGCCUCUCACCGAAAUGGGAGGAGGCACUUGGAGCAGCUGAAGGAACGGUUAGGAUUAUGGUGCAGUAUCUGUAGUGUGAGUUGCAACAGCAAGGUGGACAUGGAUUCUCACCUAAAUGGGAAGAUUCACUUGGAUCAGAUCAAGGACCAGUUAAGAUUAUGGUGUGGGGCAUGUAAUACAACCUGCAAGAGUGAGCGCAACAUGGCCUUUCAUCUGAAUGGGAGGAAGCACUUAGAGAAGAAGGGGAAUACCUGAUUUGCAUGUUUCUUCAGAUUAUUGAUACUUACAAAUGGUUUUAGUUAGAAGCAUACAGGCCAGUGGGUGGUGGUCACAGAUGCCUCUAUUUUGUUGUAUGAAGUAAAAACAGUAUUUCCAUGUCCAGAAAUCAACCACUUGUUUAGUGCAUGCAUGGCUGGUUCAAAAUUAAACCUAAUUGUGAAUGACUAGGAGCAGGGAGGGAAAAAUUGAAGGGAAGAAUGUAAGAUUAUGGCUUCAUUUUUAUUUUUUCCUCUUCUGAAAAUUGUAAGAUUGUGUUAGGAGGAGCUGGAAUGGGUUCAAAUCAGGAAUUAAGACCCAGUUCCAAGACAUGGAAAGUGUCUUUAGAUUAUGUUAAGUUAUUUCCAUUUUUUUUUCUUUUCUAUUUUUUUUCUUUAUUUAUUGUAAGAGGGAGCAUAAAUGAAUUUUUAUUUUUUAUUUUUUUUUUCAGAAUAAAGAUGAAUUUGAUAAUUUCAAUUAUUGCGUUUGGAUGUAUUUCGGAACGUAAGAUUGAAAUAAUUAUUUGUUUUCAUUUUAGUGUUUGAUAAUAAUGAAAGUAUGAAUUAAAAAAUAAAUUGAUAAUAAUACUCUUACAUUUAAUUUAAAACAAUUUUUUAUUUUUAUUUUUAUUUUAGAAGAAUAUGGGUUAAUUUUAUUUAUUUAUUUUUUAAAUAAUAAGCUUAAGAAAAAUAAUUUUUACUCAAUAAAUAAAAUUAAUCAUACAAAGUCAUAAAAACCAAACCAAAAUAUAAGGGUAAAAUAGUAAUUUUAAAAUAUUCAUUUAAGUUAUCCAAAUGCAUUCCUACUCUUCAUUCUCUUGUACGAAAUACGGUCUUUAAGCGUUUGUCAAACUUAUUUCUUUUUUGGCAAUAUAUCAAUAUUUUAGUAAUAUUUUUAUCGAUUAGUUGCUGAUAUUUAUCGCCACGUCACCAAUUCUUUGAGUUUGACUUUCAAAAUUUUGAAAUGAUCAUUGAAGUCCAGUUCAGCCCAAAUCACUACACCCAUGAAAGGGAACGGCUGGGCCACCACACUAAUAUGGCCCAUACAUGGGACCUCGUAAAAGAAUACCCAUCUUCAAAAAUAGGGACCAUAUUAAAUUAUUAAUGUAGCUAUAGGAAGCAUUUGAGGACAAGGGUCAUGAUUUUUCCCUUUUCUUUUUCUCCUUAAUUUUCACAUCACCCAACAACACCACUCUUAAUUCACACAAAUUUGAAGGUUUGGAAUGAGACUUAUUCGUAUUUAUAUUGUAAUUAUGCUAUAAUAAUCGUGUCGUAUUUGGAUUUAUUUAUUAAAUCCAUCUAAAUCUUUUGUUUAUUCGUGUCAAAACAAUAUAUUUAUAAUCGAAUCCAUUUAUGACAUAUUCAUCUUUUAUAAAUUUAUUAAUUUUAUAUAUUUUAAAAUUAUAAAAAUUAAAUAUAUUUUUUCAAUUAUGAAAUCAUAUUACUAAAAUAUUAAAUAAUUCAUUAACUUGAAAUGUUUUACAUUUCAUUAAUUAUUUUAUAAUUACAACAUUAAGUGAAAUAAUAAAUAGGUAUAAAAUAUAUAUUUUAUUUUAGUUAAAAAUUAUAAAUUGUUAUUGAGACAUAUAACUAUUAAAAUUCUACCCAUUUGACUAUCAAACAAACAACUUAAGUUUUUAGUCAUGAUUUAAGCUUAUGAUAAACUCUAUUUACAAAAAUUAGAAACCAAAAUCAAAUUCUUCCUAGACUCAAAAACAUAAAGACAAUCUUUUAACUUUAGAAGACAACUAUCAUCUAAGAUAAGGGUAACUCAUCCCAUUGCAUGUACAACAAUUCUUGCUUCAAAAGCUAAUGUUAGGUACAUAUCCCUAUCAUUCAACCUUUCCCUUAGCUAAAACCCCUAUAAAGAAUUAUAAACAUGAUCAAUGGCUCCAAAAUUUAUCCACCAAGAGUUAGUGGAAUCUAACACUAAAAAUGAUUCAACUAAAAGAGAAUGAUGCAUACCUAACUGUCUCUUCAAGAACUAAGGGCAUUCCUUCUUCUAGUGGCUUUUUUUACCACAAAGGAAACACUUAUCAUGACCCUUACUCUUCUUCUUUUUCCCUUGCCCUUGAACUUUCCCUUCUGCUUGGUGAAUUCUACAAUGUUCUUCUUAUUUUGGUUAGAAGAACCUAAAGAACACUUAACUGCCAUAUAAAUACCUCUCUGGUCCUUGAGAAUUCCCUCAAUUGUUUUGUGUUCUCUCAUCAGUUCGGUUAUAGUUUAAGAAAAAAAAUGUUUUUUUUAUGUGACUAAACUUGGAAUGAAUGUCCAAGUUGCAUACAUACUCGGGCUAAGAUCAAGUCAUAACGUAGUUUAAGAAAAAAGAUUUUUUUUUUUUUUUUUUUUUUUUUUUUUUUGUGAUUGAACUUGGAAUGGAUUUCUAAGCUACUUACGUAUCCAGGAUGGGAUCAAGUUCUAACAUAGUCACAAUGCAGUUCAAGAAUUUUUUUUUUCUUUUUUUGUGCUCUAACUUUUGCCAAGACUAAAGAUCUUAAUUUUGCGAGCAUGUUCUAACUUUUGCCUAGGUCGCCUUUCCAAGUUUUCAAUUUAGCAAACAAGGUUUUUUUUUUCUUUUUUUUCUUUUUCUUUUUUUAGUUCUCUAACUUUUGCCAAGACUAAAGAUUUUAAUCUUGGAAGCAUGUCUUAACUUUUACCUUAAGUCGAAUUUUUAGGUUUUCAAUGUGGUGGAUUUUUUUUUUUUUUUUUUUUUUUUGUGUCGUAGGUAAUUUAAGCUCAUAUGGAUUGGAAGCAAUGUGUAGUUUGUUGGGAUUAAGCCCUUAAAAGCAAGACAUGAUGUAAUAAAGUUAAACUUAACUAUUUCCUUACUAUCUUUUUGGUGUAUCAACAUUGAUUUAAACAUUCAACCCAUAUCUCUUACAUUGUACAUGAUUUAGGAGCAUUAAGAGUUGCACAAAAGAUACAAGUUAUGGGUUCCUUGUAAGUAGAUGAGUUAUCCAUAGUCAUUUCAUGGAUUUGGGCAAUCUAGUAGUGACUAUAGUGCACCACCUCCUAAUUUAAGGGAUGACUUGUCUUGGCAGUUGGGAUGAGUUUCCUAUGGUGAGCGUACUAGUGUAAAUGAUGCACAUUGGACAGGACCUAUGGUGAAUCAUGACGCAAGGCUAUCAAUUGUCAUGAUUCACCAAGUUACUAUACUACAUGGACUCUCAACCUUGAGAGGACAUUGAACCCAUGUCAAAAUCAAUAGAAAGUUUUGACCUAUGGGCGAGACCCUAAAGUAGUCAUAUAUUCCUAUGGAUUAGGUCAUUGUUGAUGUAGGCUGGUUAUAAUAGGCAUUCUCAAUAGAGGCACCAUGAUAUGUCAUGGGAUUGAGAUGGUGUGUCCCUUUGGGUGAUCCAAAGAACAUGUGAUCAUGAAAUUUGUGGCCACAGUAAUUCCUUUAGUGAAAUUUGACAUAUGCUCCUUGGAGUUAGAGUAUGUCAAUUGAUCACAUAAUAAGUGAGAUCUAUAACUCAAGGAUUUGAGAGAUAAUAUUGAUAGGUGAUAACACUAACUUGUUAGAUUUAGACACCAGUUUCAUGAGGAAUAUGCAUGUAGUGGAUAGUAGGUCAUGAAUGCGAGCUUUGUCUCGUUGUUAUUUACAUAAGGUACCGGAGUGUAGUUGAUUCUCUUUAGUAGAGUGUUGAAUCAACUUCAAAAUUGGAUUAUGAGGUAGUCAGUACUCCUAUGGGUCUCAAUGGUCCCCACUCUGAGCUAAUAUACCAUGAUGACACAAUUUAUGAGGGUUGGAUUGACUUUAGGUUCAUUCUUAUGCAUAAGGGCAUUUUGAUAAUUACACAAGGUUGCAUAGGGGAUAAUAAAUAAGGUCUCUAGAUUGGACUAAUUGAUUAAUUAGAUGGCCUUAUGUGGUUAAUUAAUCAAUUAAGACAUGUUAGGGCUAGAUUAAGUGACCCAAGCCUUGAUGGGUUCAAGUCACUUAAGCCUAAUGGGUAACCGUAUAAAUACCUCCUUAUGGGUUAGGGUUUUCUAAUGACUUUUAGUUAGUCAUCUUCCACUUUUAGAAAAAUAGAGAGAGCCAAAGCUUCCUCCUUUCCACUGCCCACACUUUGGUAUGCCAAGAUCGGGAAUCGAGUCAUCGAACAAAAGAUCUUAGGUGUACGAGACCUUUGAACUCUUUAGGCUUCUUCUUCGUUGGAUGGAUUUUGAUCUGGGAACAUCUAGAUCACAUGUAUGUGUUAUAAUAUUUGGUUAAUUCAACCUAAGGUAAUCACCCUAGAGAAGGGGUGAAUAGGGUGAUGAUUUUUUUUUGCAAAUUUAAAUUAUGUGAAUGCAAGAGACAAUUAUAUGCAAAAUAUAUGGCAAAACCAUAUAAAAACAAUUGCAUAUAAAGUAAAAGGUUAAGGAAGAGAGAAUAUAAACACAAGAUUUUUAUAGCGGUUCAGUGCAACCCGACCUCCAUCCAUUCUCUUCUAGCUUCAAUACUAAACUUGAGGUUCCACUAAUUCAAGGCUUCCAAUCCAAGCCUUCAAGUAAUACAAUUGGAUUAUGGUUCCAAUCAAACCUCUUGAAAUUUUAGUUCUAAACACAUUUUACAAUCUUCAAGAGAUACCUCACUCUUGAACAACUCCUUAAGUGAUACCUCACACUUGAGAAUCCCUAAGUGAUACCUCACACUUAGAUUUUUCAUCUCAAAGAUUUAUCCGCUCUGCACCCACCUCCCGAGUAUAUGCUUCAACAGGAAUCACACAAGGGUAGAUUGAUACAAUAGAAACCUCUGGUAAAAUGCCCGCUCGUAACCCAGCAGAUAAAGUACAUUACAUAGUCCGUUUUAGGGAUUGGCUACUUACCCAUUCAGUGACUUUGGCACUGGACGUUCCCAAAAUGGGUACUAUCGGGUCGGGUGAAUUCAAUAAUAGACGCCUGUUGGCAUUCCAGCCUUCCUUCUCCUUUCAGGGCCUAUCCGAAAGAGAAUCCAGUACUUCUUGGUCAAAUGAAGAUAGGAAAUUAUUAGCCUAAGGACUCUCCUAAUCGGGUUUUGAUGAUAACAAACCAUGAUUAAAUGACUAAUUGGUUUAAUGGUUAAGAAUCUCAAGCAUAAACUCGAAAAUUCAUCAAAUGACCAAAUGGAUACAAGAUCGAGACAUUUGGAAGACUUGUGAUCAUAGGAAACUAAUGUAAGAUGAAUGCAUGAGUGCACUUAGGAUUUUCAUACCGUUUCAUACAAUUUAGAAAACUCAGUUUAUUCUUUAAAACUUCAAUUUCAUUAAAACCCGAGUUUUAACAAUUGUACCUCAGGCAAAAUGUUUUAAAAUUGGCAUAAUAAUUCACCUAAAAACCUUGCCUAAGUGUUAGGAAAGAAAGGAAUUGAAAAAGAUAGGUUUUCGGGGCCAAAAGGCUCAACCGGUCGAGGCUAUGGCCAACCAACUCAACCGGUUAGGGAAUCGGUCGACUGGUUACCCUUGUCCAGUUGAGGUCCGAUCGAAGGAUGCACAAAAUUUUCUCUCUCUCCCAGUAGCCUUCUCUUCCCGGUUGAGGUUAUUCUCUUCCCUGUCGAGGUCCGGUAUAGGCAACGGUAACCUGUCAAGCAUUAAAUGCUCCAACGGCUAGCGAACCGGUCAACCCCUAGCUCGACCGGUCAAGGUUACCUUUUGUUGUUUUUGACUCCCGAGCUUAGAAACCUAUAAAUUGAGAGCUCCACUUCAUUUAUUGACGAGAUAACACUUGCAAUCAAUUGUCUACCUAUUUGUUCUUGAUCAGAAAGCUCUCAUUUCUUUCUUAGUACAUUAAAUCAUCACUUGCAUAUCCUUUAGUGCACUCUUGUGUGUCAUCCUAGAUUUGUCUUGUAUUUGAGCUAUCUUUAAGCUAGGUUGAGGGAUUCAUUCUUGUAAAAACCGAGUGUUAAAGCCUUCAAGAAGUUUAAAUCUUGAAGAGAUUGUGUAAGAGUCCAUUGGAGCCAAAAUCCAAGUGUAAGAAGAUUGGAAGUUUGGUUGAAGUUUCAAGUUAGUGGAACCUUCACUCGGUUAGGAGAUUGAGGAGACUGAACGUAGGCAAAGAAGUGUCGAACUACUAUAAAACCCGAGUUUGAAUUCUCUAACUCUAGCUCUUUAUUUUGCUUAUAUUGUGCUUGAACUCGUUGUGAUUUAAAAGAAUUUAAAAAACCCCUAUUUGGGUGUUUUUCUUAAUUAAGCAUAGCCUUUAUUUUCUCAUAAAUAAUCUUACAAAAUCUUAGUACAAACUUUAGCCUUAAAUGAUACAAAAUAAACUAGGAUUGAAUGGUGCACUAAUGAUAUGUAAGUUUUAAAACAAUGUGUACAAAAAACACUCCCCUAAAGCUCAAAUAUAUUCGAGAAAGGUUUAAGAAGGUUAAACUCUUGAAACAAUAAAUAUUGAAACCUUUUUAUAGAAGAGAAAAACCAAACUACCUGUUGGGGAUUCGUUCGAUCAAGCUCUGGUUCGACCAGUUCACUAGCCUUUAGCAUUUAAUGUAUGAUAGGUGACCAUUGGACCUUGACUACCCCUUGAUUGGUACUCGACCGGAUGAAGUUCAACCUUGAUUGAUCGAAUAAGCAUUCUGGAAGAGAGAUAAGGUUUUUGCACCUUUCAACCGAGUAAGCUGAAUAGGUCGACUAAUUUCUCAUUCGAUUCAACCGAUUGAGUCAUUUUUUGCUCAACAACUAUUAUUUUCAACUUAAAACCUUUUAAACAAGUUUGGAAAGCAUUUGACAUAAGGUUUUAGUUGAAAACAUGAAAUCAUCCAAUUUUUAAAAGAUUUAAAACAAAAUAACUCUUGAAUGAUUUUGGUGUAUAAGUAAAGAAUGUAAUGCAUGAAAAACCCAAUGCACCAACAACCUUACAAAGAGAUCCUAUGAGUCUUAGGUCUUGAAAAACACUUAUCUUUAAGGUCUUCUUCUUCUUAUUGAUUUUAUCUUUGUGAUUGCCACUUUGGAAAUCAUCUUGCCUAGUCACACUUAAAAUAUAAUCAUUAGUUCUAAAUCUUGUUUUGUUAUCAUCAAAACUAAGAUUAACCAAACCUUGGUUUCACAAUAUGAAUAUUGUAUCUCUAGAUCUAUAGUUAAUAGUGGUUUUUAUAGUCAUUUGUUUCCAUUGCGAUAAAUUUAGAGAAGCUUAGGGAUAGAUGAAUGCACCCUAUGAGAUCUAGGGCAUAGGAAUGGAGUAAUCCGGGGUUCCUAACAUAGUUUAGGCUUGUGCUUCAUGGAGUGAUAACAAUUCUUCAAGCAUAGUUAUGCUUUAGAAAUUUGUUAUUGAUUGGUCCAAUUUUUAGACCAUCUUCAGCAACAAUCUUGUGUGCACCAUUGAUAUAAUCUUGUUAUACAAAAUAUGAUCUAUCACAUUUUUGGCAAGAACUUUCCACUGGUUUUGUGCAUGGUAAUGAUCAUGCAUGCAAACUUAACUAAGUUAUACACUAGAUGCCAAACUACUACAAUUCUUAUACACCUUCCCGUUUUGUGCAACUGAACAAUUCAACAUCAUAACACCAAAGUUCUUGCUUAGAUUUCCUACAGUGCUAAAAUUUUGAAAUGAUUAAUUUGUUUAUUUUUCUUUCAAUCCCAAGACCCACAUACAUCAUGUCAUGCCCUAAGACCCACUCUAAGGGCAUGACAAUCAUUUCACAUCUCAAGGUCGAAAGCUCAAAGUGUAAAUUGACCUUAACAUUCAUUUUGUAACUGGAAAAUUAUCAAUUACCAAAUUCAUAUUUAUAGUAGUAGAAUAAAAUUCUACAAGUUUCAAAUCUCAACUUUAAAGUUAACACAUCAACUAAAGUGUUAUUGUCCAAACAACUUCAAACUUAACAAUUCAAGCAAUCAUUAAAUUCUAACUUUCAAAAAAUAUUUUUUAAAAAUAAAGAUUUAACGAAAAGUCUUAGUAUUGCCAAAAUCUCAUCCUAACCUUCACUCCUAGCCUGAAUUAAGGUGCCUAAAAAAUUGUCAAUGAAAGGAAAUGAGAUCAACGCUCAAUAAGGAAUAUUAAUAAGGUUUCAUGGAUCAAACAUUUUUAAUUAUAAUUCCAAAUAGGAGAUAUAAUAUAUAAUCAUUUUCAUAAGAAAUUUUGAGUUUAAAUAUAAUAAUAUAUUGAAAACUUUUCAGCUAAACAUUUUCAUAUCUAUGUCAAAACAAUUUCAUAUCAAAUUCAAAUCAAAUAUAUACAAAAUAUUUUUACUUUGGUUAUCAAAUGUCACAUGGUGUCAAGUUAGGUGGGACUUUACAAAUUGGUGUCUAACCUCAAAUUUUUUCCUUUCAAGGUGGACGAAACCAAACACUACUAGUAUUAUUAACAUCUAACCAAAUCCCUAAAGGGUGAGAUCUAAAGCAAUUACAUUCUCCGCCAAGAAAUAUAAGGUCAACAAUUAUAACUCGUUGACUAGGGACAAAAAUAAACUAGAGUCAAACACCUUAUUUCAUUAAUUCAAACUUGCAAAACAAAAACAUCAUAUCUCCAUAAUUUUCAUUUUUUAUAAACAAAAGAAAUGUUCUAACAUAGUUUUUUCAUGAAAAAUAUAUAUUUGAUCCAUGCAUAAAAAUAAAAAUAAUUUUUUUAUUAUUCAAAAUAACAUAUAAAAAUAAAUAUGUUCUUUUGGCCAAAACAUGUAUUAAUUUUUCUUACCUCAAAGAAACACUCAAAGACCUUGAAGCAAUUAAUCCUAAAGAAUUUCACCCCAAAAAACAUAUUUCACACCUUACUAAAAAAAAAAAAACAAAACAAAAAAAUUACUAUUGAUUAUUUAUCUAAUAAUAGUUUUGUAUUUUAUAUCACCUAUAUUAUUUUUAACUUCCUAAUAAAUAACAAUUUAAUAAGCGAUUUUCCAAAUUUUUAAAAGUUAUGUUCUUUCCAAAAUUUAUUCAUAAUAUUCUAUUAUUAUUAUUAUUAAUUAAAUCUCUCAAAAAUAUGUUUUUUCUAUUUAUUGCAUUAAACUAUUAUUAUUAUUAUUCAAUUUCAAUUUGAUUAAUUGGUUUUUUCUUUUAAAUUCCUAAUUUAUAUAAGAUUCUUGUUUUGAAAAUCUUCCAUAUUUACUUAUUUGUUUAAAGUAAAUUUCUCCAAAACUUGUUCCUUUUGGUUAAACAAGUAUCUUUUCCUAUUAUUAUUAUUAUUAUUAUUAUCCCUAAUAUUAUAUUCAAAUAACUAAACAAUAAUAAUUUAAAUUAGUGAGUUUCCAAAUUUUUAUAAAACUCAUAUUCAUUCUAAAUCUUAUCAUAUAUAUCAAUUUCUUUUAUAUACUUAAAUUAAAUUAAAAAAUUUACUUAAAAAAUAUAUAUAUUAUAUUAUUACUUUCAACAUCCUUCUACCACCCAAACAAUUACUUCAAGUAAAAGUCAUAUAUCCUUAUUCUACUAACUAUCCUCUCUCUUGCAAUAGCACACUUAGGGAUGGCAAUGGGGUGGGUUCGGGAUGGAUCGCCCCUAUCCCAACUCCUCCCCAUUUAUUCAAAAUAAUUUUCAUCCUCGUCCCAUUUAAAAAAUUAAAUGAGGCAGGGCGAGUAUGAUAAAUUCUCAUAUUCGCCUCGCCCCGCCCCGUUUAACUCUUUUUUGAAUUUUUUUUUAAAAUUACUUUAAAAAUUUUUAAUUACAUUAAAAUAAAUAUAUUUUAUAAAUAAUUAAAUUAUUAUAUUUUUUAUAACUUAUUUUAUUAAAAAUAUUUUAUUAUUAUCUAUAUAUUAAAAAUAGUAAAAUAAAAAUUAAAUUAAAUUAAUUUUAUAUAUAAUUGGGGUGGGACGGGAUGAGGCAAUACCCAAACCUGCUCCGGGUUUUAAAAAAAAUUCUCAAACCUAUCCCAAACCCGUUUAUUAAAAUUAAAUCUCGUCUCAUUAGGGACGAGGCGAGUACCUGAAAAAACCUGCCUCAUUGCCAUCCCUAGGCAAACUUUCAUUUUUUUUUUUUUUUUUAUCUUUUUCCUCCUUAAGAUCAAUCCUAUUGUAAGCACCCUUUUUUUUUCUACCACAUCUUGUUGCAAGCAACCUUGUAAGUUUUUUUAAUUUAAAUUUUUUUUCCACUAUGGAGGCACGUACAACCAUAAAACCUCCUCUUUUUUUUAUUUUAUUUUUACAACUCUCAAAUCUCUCAACCUCCAUACUAUUAGGUUUUAUUCAUUUAUUUAUUAUUAUUAUUAUUAUUAUUAUUAUUCCAUAUCCAAAACUAUAAUUAAUUUUCUUUUAUAUUUUUUUAUUUUAGAUCUAUUAAUUUGAAUAUUCGAAAUUUUCUAAUCUUACUAAUAACUCUAAACGUUCAAAACUAAUUAAUGAAUAUAAAAUAUUAAUCUAAGGAUUAAAAUCUUAUAUAGAAAAUUGAUCUUUAAAUCCUAAACUCCCAAAUUUUCAACCUUACGUUGCCCUAUGUUGUCCAAUCUCUUAGAUCUCCAUGUAAAAGGGUUUUUUUUUUUAAUAGAGUAAAUAAGAAAAAUUUAAUUUAUACCUAAAAUUUUAAAAUGGAGAAAAAUCUUUCUACCCUUAUUAAUUUAAUUAAUUUUUUUAAAUUAUGUUUUUACCCUUGAAUUGGGUCUGGGCAUCACACAUCAUACUAAAAAGUUAUCAAUAACCAUCCUUUGAGGCACAUUAGCAUAAAUUUGCGACUUUAGUUGUGUUCUAGGUGCAAUUCUAUUAUGUUUAAUUGAAAAAUAACACCCAUAGCACAACCAAGCCUAAUUGACAGCAUUUGGGCAAAUAAAUGGUAAAUUUCUAAAAGUUCACCAAAAAAAAAAAAAAACAAAAAAGAUCAUAAAGGGCAUAUUUUUCAAGUCAACCUAGUUUUGGGAUAUUGCAAUCCAAUCUAAGAAUGCAAUAAUAGCUCUUUAAUUCAUAAUUUUAAAUUCACAAAAGAUAUCACCUAAAAUUACUAUAGGUUACCAAAACAUCAACAACAUAUAGAAAGCUUAGAAAUGCUUGGAACCUAUCGAAUUUUCACUUUUUAGGAAUAAAAAAAAAAUGAACUUUAAGGAUUUUAGGGUAAUACUUGCUUGAACCAUCUUUCAAUCCUUUUGUUGGCGGUGGGCCUUUUACCUAUAAGAACAGGAAUGAGAGGUGAAAAGGAGGGAGCCUUAUGAAAACGGAUCCCUAGGGCUUAAGAAGGGGUUUUCAAUUUUAGGGUUUGUCUGUUCACCAAGGAUGUGAAUGGGAAGAUGAGGUGAAGUUAAGAGAUUGGUGAAGCAAAGUGAGGGCAUGGUAGGGUUUGAAUAAGGGAAAGUCUACACUAUUAAUGAAGAUGAUAAUCUUUAGAAAGCAAAGCUAAGGUAAACUAGGGCUUUAACAACAAUUUUCGAUCUACACUAGUGAAGACGAUAUCUUCGAAAACCAAAGCUAAGGCAAGCUAGGGCUUUAAUAACGAAUUUCAAUCUACAAUGGUGAAGAUGAUAAUCUUCGAAAACCAAAUCUAUAAUGGUGAAGAUGAUUAAAAACUAAAUCUAUAUUGGUAAAGACGAUUGGAAAGCAAAUCUACACUAGUGAAGUCAACGAAACCAAAGGUAGGUAAAAAUAAUAAUAAUAAUAAUGCAUUCUUAGAUCCAAAUCACCAUUUCCAACAUGGUAUUUGGAUUUCCACCUUGUAUUUUUUGUUUUUAAUUUUUUCAAUAAUCAAGGACAUUUUAGGGAUUAUUAAGUGACAAUAUUCUUCAACUCAAUUUCCCACAUUAGUUAGGUGUAAGGCUCAAAUGUGAAACUCAUAUAGAUGUUAGGCCAAUCAUCAAACUCAUUUGCCUUGAAGCAUAAUUUCCCCUUUUUAAAAUAGUUGUUAAACAUCUAUCCCCAACACUUGUAACCCUUUGAAGUGCUUGUAUGUUAACCUUGUUUCCUUUUUCUCAUGAAACAUGGCUUAUUGAUUGUUGCAUUGAGUCAUUAUCAUUCACCAAAUCCAUGCAACUAUGAACUACCUUUCAAAUCCCUCGAACAUAAAUGGUAAUUCCAAAACAACUCAAGUAUAAUCUUUCCAAGCCCUUCAAAUGAUUUAAUUAAUUGAUGUUUGAAUAUACUUCAUAUAUUUUUUUAGAGCAAUUUUUUAGGCAUAUAACAUAAAUCUCUAAUUUCAUUUUAUUUUUUUUAUAAAAGGUUUUAUAUUUUAUAUUACAAUUUCCUCUCUUUUUUUUCAUCUAAAAAAAAAAACAUAAAACCUUCGUAAACGAGUUUUGUCACAAUCCCUUAACAGGUAAUCUAUUUUUAAAAAUUACUUUAACAUUUUUAGAUAUAUUGAUUCAGUCUAAUUUAAUUUUAAUAUUUUUUAUAAAAUAUUUUUAUUUUAUAUGAUUAUAAAUUAAUUACUAUUGAUUGCAUAUUAUAGAAUAUAUAUUCUAAAAUAUAUCCUAUUCACAAUAAUAUCAUAAGAUAUUAUAUCCAUAUCCUAACAUAUUAUAUACUUUUAUUUUGUGCAAUUAGCAACAGGGUGGAAGACGGCUUAGGCGGGAGACGGCUUAACGGAAAUGCCGUCUGCCAUGCGUGUCCCUUCCCUUAGUGAGUCUGAACAGCUCCAACAUUUCCGACACGCCCUUCUUCGCUUAGCUCUUAAGUAUUUUCGUCCCGUUUUCAUUAACCCCAUCACAUUUCGCCAUGUGGAUCUAAGCCUCAUGGUCCUUUCGUUCGUACGAUGAAUAUUCCCCCAAUUCCUUAUCUACACUAAACCUCCAUACUCGCCAUCUACUCAACCACUUCUCUACUCUAGAGUCUGGAUCCUUUAUCUCUGCACGUGUCUAUGGCUCUUCACCCCAGCAAGUAUGGCAUUACAAGGGCAAUAUCGUCAUUAAAGACCCAAAAGGCAAACGAAUGGCAUUAUCUCCCUUUUGGGUCUAUUCUAUUUAUAUUGUAAGUUUUUCGUGAUGACUUCUCUCAUAACAGCUAAAAACCACUCCAACAGAGCACACUUCACUUCUUCGUUUUUGUCUUUCCUCUUUUUUUUUUUUAGAGAAGCUGAGAAAGCCCAGCUCGCCCUCAACUCCCCGAUGGGUUUGAUGAAUGUUCUCAAAUUCUCAGCUGCAUGCUUUGAUCUUCUUGGUUGGUAUGUUGUCUACGCAUUUUCUCGUCAUUGGAAAAUUUUGGAAAAUGAAGUGGAAUUCUAUGUUUGAGGAGAAACUGGGAUUUGCUUUGAUUUCUCCAUGUUGGUUUUAUCCCUUUUGUUUGAAUUGUCCAGAUUCUUGUCAUUGAUUGUUAGUUAUUUGUUUGGAUUUCUACUUGCAGGCCUCUGUUUGCACUGGGUUAUCCUCUGUAAGUCUUGGUCUUACACCCCAAGAUAUGAUGGUUCAUUUACUCUUUUCUUGUUCUAUGAAUUCUUAGUUCAGUUACAUUUAUUGGGUUGGGAAACUGAAAAGGGAAAGGAUUAUUAGUUAUUAUCAUAAUAAUCAUCAAUAUCAUCUCGGUUCUUCACAGAUGUGCUUCAAUUCGGGCAAUUGAGACUAACUCAAUCUCAGACGUUCGGAAGUUGGUGGCGUAUUGGGUUCUAUUUUCCUUGAUUUCACUCUUUGAUCAUACUUUUGCCAAGCUCCUUGAAUGGUAAUUUUGCUCAACUUCAUUCUUUGCCCUUCAGGAAUUUGGAGUUGCUUUUUUCAGUUUUCUUCCUUGUGACAAUAAUCGAGAUGUUUAAUGUUCCAGGCCUCCAUGUAUUUUAUUUUCCUUCACUUCUCUGCUUUGAAAAAUGCCCACAAUCUGAUCAACAGAAAGGUUAUAACAUUUGAAAAAGAAAUGCUUUGUUUUGGUUUUUUAAGUGCAACAAUUUUCAUUUGGAGAAAUGAUCUAAAGGGUAUUGGUGUUUGGCCGAAUUCAUGGAAUUUUCUCGCUAAUUUGGGAUUUAUUCUCAAUUUCAAGAUCACUGUGGAUAUUUCAGAAAUUAAUGAAAUAUAUAUGAUGGAAUGUGAUUUUCUUGUUUAAGAAAAGUUUUUCUUUGAAAAUGUGGGUGACCCCAACCUACCUUAUUGUACUACUUGGAACACAAAACAAAAGUUUUUCUCGCUAAUUUAUUAACUAAAUUGCACACUUUUUGAUAGUUCAAGGAAGUGGUGUCAGCUUUGGAAAUAAGAUGGAUGAUUGUAGGGAACUUUAUUUCUCAUCUUUAUAGGGAACUUUCCAUAAUAUAGCUUAUAAAUAUCAUAAUCACAGUGAUGAAUGAUUGUCUUGUUUGAAAGCAUGGUUGCACUUAUUUCCAGGGAAUUUGUCUGCGUUGAAAUUAAAUUAAGCUUUAUGCAUCAUUUGGAUGCUGGGAAACAAAUGGAAAUAGAAAAUUCAGAAUCUGACAAGUUUGUGUAGGGCAACUGGAUCUAAUCUCUUAGUCGAAGCUUAAUAGGGGCAAAUGCUGAUCAUCUUUGAACCUAUUGAAGGCUCUAAUCUGUGCACAAUUCUAAUGUUUUUGUUUUCUUCAUUUCUUUUUCAACUUUUCAUAAUAGAUGUCAAAAGUUAAAACCGAACUUACGUAGUCCAUCCAAGUGGAUGCAUAUAAAUUUAACAGAAACUGAAAUUUGAAGAAAUUUAUUUUCCCUUUUGUAAAUGGUGUUUAAAAAGUCUGUGUGUAGUUUGGUUUUUUUCCUGGAAGAUCAGAUGAUUUCGUGAUCAUUUUUUCUAUUUGCCUUAUCAUCAUGAGAUUUAAGUAUUUUUUUUAAAAAAAUAUUUUAUUUUCUUAUAUAAUGCAUGUCAGGAUACCAUUCUGGCCUUACAUAAAGCUGAUGGUCAUCUGCUGGCUGGUGAUACCGCAUUUUGAUGGUUCCUAUUAUAUCUAUCAAUACCUAGUUCAUCCACGCUUGUCCAUGGAUCCACAAGUUGUCAUGAAUUGGCUCUUCAAUGAAUCAAAAAAGAAGUUUCAUAGCAGAGAAAACUUUCUUGUUUCAGCAGACCAAUAUAUUAAGGAGAAGGGACCUGAAGCUUUGGAGAAACUACUUGCAAGGAAGGUAUGCCAUUAUAAGUAGGAUUGUCAACAAGUCAAAUAGAGUUUUAUUUGAGAUGUUCAAGUAAAAAAUUACUAUAGCAGGUCAUCUAGAAUUAUUGGUCUAAAUUCAUGUAUAUAUCUAUAUAUAAUUGUGUUCUCUUUUUUUCACAUAUGCAUGUGCAUUUAGAUUUACGUAAUUAUAUAUGCAUAAUCAGAUUCAACUGUGAUAGCCCAGGAUUUAAUUCAGUAAUCAACUCUUCUGGGAACAUGUUGGUUAUGGUUUCUCUCUCACUGUCCUCUUAUUUAUACAUGACUUUGGCUUCAGUUGAGGAGCACAAAGCCUAAUGUUGAAGUGAAAGAGAUCAAAGGACCUGCAGCACCGGAGAAAAAAGGGGAACAGGUAUGCACUCUACUAUUUUAUUUCUAUGGAGGCAGAUCUCCAGAGAAAUGUUGCUCAUGUAAAUUAGUGAUGCAUUUAAAAGAAAAACCACUUUAUGUAUGUUUCUGUGAAAAAGAGAACAAGUUUAUGGAUUAAGUGAUAUUUUUUAUGGUGAAAUAAUCAAUAAUUUUCAAAAUAAUAAUAUAUUCGUGCAUGUUUUUGCAAUUCAUGAAUUCCUUUUACGAUUGAUUCUUCUCACCUCAGUGGAAGUGUGAAGAGCCUAAUGUUGCAGAAAAGGAGAUCCAAGUAGUCAAAGUAACAGACAUAAAAAAUGGGGGGGAUGGAGCAAAGAGGGUAAGUUUUCCUUUUUAUUUAUAAGGAAGGCUGUCUUCACGCAAGGAUUAUUGUUAUUAUUUUUAAGACAUGAAUGUUGAAUGCAUUUGGAAUUGUCGUUGAAUCAUGUGAAGUGUGAAGGUGCAAAUGGUGCUAAGAAGGAGAUCAAAGUGAUGGAAGUAACACAGAGAACAUUUGGUGAUACAGCACAGUGGGUAAGGUUUCUUGUCAUACUUAAAUGGCACCUCAUAUUUCACUAGGAUUAAUUUUGGCCUACAAACAUAUUUGGCUACAAGUUGAAGACAGCUUUCCAGAUACUGGUAAAAGUUGAGACAUAAGUAAUGAAUGAGUUUAGAAACAUGCACAACUCUUGUGUGAAACACAAUGAGAGUGGAAAAUAGCUAAGUUGAAAAAUGGCCAAAUACUAUUUUGUAGUUCACCCCACCACUUAAGUAAUUUUUGUCAUCCUUUGUGAAUGGAAAAUGCAGUCCCUUCAGUAAUUCUGCAUAUAACCAUUAGUGUCUUGUCCUAAGUUGACCUUUAAUGAUGGUCCAUUGAGAGGGAUCUGACUUUUGUCAACCCUCUUAUUCCUUUGAUCAUAGAGGUUAAACAUACGGGGCUUAACCCACUUUUCAAUCUCAUUGGAUAUAUGGCAUGUGGUAUCCUCUUCAUCUUGAAAGAGUGAAGUGGUCAUACUCUUUCCUGAGUCCAUCGUGGCCAUGCACUUCUGGCUCAUUGGGCAGAGUGAAAGGAUUCCCUUCUGCUUCAAAUCAUAGAGAGAUAUGCCAUGGUCAGCCUCUUUAAUUUGAAGGAUUGAAGUACUCAAAUCGAUUUCUUUGCAUCCAUCUUAGUCCUGCUUUCAUGUCUCAUGGUUAACCAGGAAGAUCAAGCUUCCAUCCAUGAGAUCAGCAUCUGCAGGGUUAUGACACCACCCUUCCUUGGCAUAGGAAAGCGAUCAUUAAGCCACAUGUCGGAUGACAGAAGUCGUCAUUCAGGUUAUCUUGCGAACUAGGGAAGUUGGAAUUCUAAUUAUUGCAUAUGGUUCUUGAUGUUUAGCCAAUAUACUAUAGGAUUUUAAGCAUCCUGCCCAUGUGCAUUGUGGUUUUUUAUCAGCUAUAUGGUUUACCAAACUGAGGGAUUGAUUAUAGUCAUAAGUACCCUUUUCCCAUUAAUUUCUUGCAUGUGCUUUGCUGAGAUUAUGUUUUUGACAGUGCUAAUCAGGGCAAACCAACAAACAGCUUUAUGUUAACUUUUACAAACUGCCACAUUUUCAGGUUGAACGAUCAGAGAUAAAUCUUGGUGAAACUAGAAGUAAUACAACCUGUGCCGUGGAGAUAAAAGAAAGGGCAGCAGCACUGGUGGCUGCAGAAAUUGAGGCAUGUAGAGACGAUAGAACCCCCAAGAUACCUCUUCAUGAGAAAGUCCAGAAAGAGUGGGCUUGUGCUGUGUGCCAGUUCACAACCCAAACUGAAGCGACCUUCAAUUCCCACCUUCAAGGGAAGAGACAUCAGGCCACUUCUGAGCAGUUGACAGCCAAAAACCAGGCAACCAAAACCAAUUGUUCCCCAUCUGCUUCAAAGGCCAAGAAAUCUGAUCAGUCCACCAAAGAGGAGCAACCGAAGUGUCCUUCCAACAAUCUGAAUUCCAAAAACAAUGGAAUCUCAGCUGCUUCAAUAGUGAAGAAACCUGACGAGACCAAAGAUGAUGAGCAACAAAAGUGUGCAUCCAGCAAUGGACCAAACCAGAAGAAUAACAAAAAGCAAGAGGAGAAGGUGCUAGUUCUUGAGACCAAUGAGCAAGGCCAUCAGAAUAAUUUUGAUCCACGAUCCCACA